CAGCCUAUUACAGGAUAUGGAGUGUCUAAAGUUUUGAAAUCUGGUGAUUCAAAUUUCCAAGAAGGUGACUUAGUUUGGGGAAUGACUGGAUGGGAGGAAUAUAGUAUUGUAACAACUCCUCAAAGUAUGUUUAAAAUUGAUCAUGACAAGGAUGUGCCUCUUUCCUAUUAUACAGGAAUCCUUGGUGAGUGUUUUCGACUGGGUUAAAGUCUUACAUUAAUUAGUUGGGGUCUCUAACUUAUAUGCAUUUAAAAAAAAAAAAAUCGGGGUUGAGUUAGACCCCAGCAUCAUAAUUUUACAUGAUAUAUAUCUAUAUAUGAACCCUAUUUGGGAUCUUGGUCCACACACUCCAGUUGGGCUUGGACUUGAAGGGAAUGCUAGAGUCCCACAGUGGUACUAUAACCAAAAACAGCUUUUAGCGGCAAUAAAUAGACACAUUAAUAAAGAGUGCUAAAGUCUUUACCGGCAUUAGUUAAAUGUCAUUAAUUCAAUGUCGCUAAAGGCUUUAGGGGCAUAUACAAAGAGUGCUAAUUGCCGCUAAAUAUACAUAUUUAGUGGCAAUUGAGCUAUUACCGCUAAUUAAUUGCCACUAAAGAUCGUUUUUGAUGUAGUAUGAUUGGUUGGGGAAUAGACUGAUAAUCUGCUUAUAUGGACUCGGACAAUAAUCUUCUGCUCUUGCAGGGAUGCCUGGGAUGACAGCUUAUGCUGGUUUUUAUGAGGUUUGCUCCCCUAAGAAGGGAGAAACUGUGUUUGUUUCAGCUGCUUCUGGAGCAGUUGGUCAACUUGUUGGACAAUUUGCAAAGAUGUUAGGUUGUUAUGUUGUUGGUAGUGCUGGAAAUAAACAAAAGGUAAGUACUUCAACAUUUCAUUCUUGAAUUUUAUUAGUGGCUAAUUAGUUAUCUUACUCAUCUUAAUCAUUGUUAAAUAAUCUAGCUAUCUCAUCUAUUCAUUAUUAUUAUUAAAGGUUGAUAUGUUGAAGACCAAGUUUGGUUUUGAUGAAGCGUUUAACUAUAAAGAGGAGCAGAAUUUAGAUGCAGCUUUGAAGAGGUAAGUAAUCUUUUAAAUUUCCCACAAGAAAACACUUAACUAAUAUGGAAAAAAACAGUUUCCACGAUGAAGGUGUAGGCGACGACUUCUUUUUAAUUUUUUUUUUAAGCCAUCACCUUAACGGUGUGUGUGUGUUGGGGGGGGGGGGGGGGCUGCUUGACCCCUACCAUGUCUAUAACAUCCAAAAAGUUACAAAAGCAGAAGGGGACAUGGACCUAACCUCUUGAUAGUGAACAACGAGGAUAAACUAAACAAUCUACCGAAAGACUAAGAUGACAUAGACUUUCAACUAUAAGCAAAAUACAUUGGUUCAACUAACAAAAAAAAAUUACAUUUGUCGUAUCUUCUCCUUAUGCUAAAGUUGCCACUUAUCUAGUCGAAAUAGUCCCUUCACCUCAGAAGAAUUAAGUGUGGUGGAUUGAACAUUAAGGGCAUAAAUGAAAAGAUAGCUAAUAAAACGCUAAAGGUAUGUAUGAACUGAUAGUAUAACGGAAAAGCAAUACUAGACCUUUAAUUUUCAAUAAUAUAGGAGUAAAUAUGACCUUUUUUUCGUUUUGGUUUAUUCUAUUAGGUACUUCCCUGAUGGAAUUGACAUUUACUUUGAGAAUGUUGGAGGUAAAAUGCUUGAUGCAGUUCUUGUGAAUAUGAAACUUCAUGGUCGUAUUGCUGUGUGUGGAAUGAUUUCACAAUACAACCUUGACAAGACUGAAGGAGUGCACAACUUGUUUUGCCUCAUCGCGAAACGAAUCCGUAUGGAAGGAUUUCUUGUUUUUGAUUACUAUCAUCUUUAUCCUAAAUAUCUUGAAAUGAUCUUUCCACAAAUAAAGGCUGGUAACAUUGUGUAUGUGGAAGACAUAGCUGAAGGUUUUGAAAGUGCUCCUAGUGCUCUAGUUGGUCUCUUCUCUGGUCUCAAUGUUGGAAAGCAAGUUGUGAUGAUUUCAUGUGAAUGAAUGGAUUUGGAUCUUUUCCAUUUUCUCUCAAGUUUUUACUUGAAAGGAAAGAUAUUGUGUCAUGGUUAAAUACUUAAUGCACAAACAUUUCUAUCAUGUAUUUACUAAUUCUAUGUAUGGUUUGAAAUAAUUAGUCAUAAAUUGAUAAUUUCAUACUAGAUUUCAAGUCAGUUAUACCUAGGUACAUGUAUUUUUGCUACUAGGUACAUUUUGAAAUGCAGAUACAUAGGAAGAGAGGGAGCGAGAGAGGAGAAAGGAGAGAUGAGAGAGGCGAGAGGCAAGCGAAAGAGUUAGUGUAUCCCAGAUAUGUGCAAAUUACACUAGAUAAUAUGAGAUAUCAUAUACAAUUCAUAAACAUUCUGAAAUACAGAUACAUAAGGAGAGAGGCGAGCGAGAGAGGGAGAGAGGCGAGCAAGAUAAGAGAUAUGAGUGAGAGAGUCAGUGUUUCCAUCAUAUAAAUUAUGCUUGAAUACAGUAUGUCAGAAAUAAAUUGGACCUAAUUUUAAUUUAUAUAUCCAAGAUACAUAUAUUUGGAUGUGUCGCAUACAUGUGUUUGGGAACUAACAUCUGACACAAACAAUAAUUUCAAAGAGGCACAUAAUUAGACUCUAAACUAAAGAAAUUCUUAUCGUUUGCCCUUGAACUUAUUUAGGCAAAUAAAAGGUCGGAAGAGAUUUAAGAUUGCGAGAUUAAUAAUAAUUUAUAAAAUUAAAUAUAUAAUAUAGUAUUAAUUAUCUAAAUCAUAAAAAAGAUUUAUUUUGAUUAACUAUGGGUGUGUUUGGUAUGUGUUGACACCCAAUUUUGGACCUCCACAAUAUAAAUUAAUCAUCGAGCUUCCUAAAUUCCAAAUGAUUUGAAAUAAUUGGCUUUAUAAAAUUCAAAAUAAUUUUCAAGUCAUUUUAAGUAGUUUUGUCAUUUUUAUAAAUUCUAAAAAUAAUAAAUAUGAUAUUUUAUAUAAUUAUGUGUCUAAUUAGUAUAUUUUAUGAACGUUCGAAAAUUGUCUCAAAAGGAUUUUAGUCUUAUUUAAAUAUUUGGUUAUUUAGUCGUUUAUAUUAUUAAAUUAAUUAGUUUAUAAUUAAGUUAAUUAUUUUAUUUUAUUAAGAUUAAGAAUCUCGUUAAUUAAUUAAUAUCAAUUUAUCUUAUUUAAUUACUAGUCAAAUCUAUCUUAACUAACUUAAAUCGACUAAGUUUUAACCCCUUUUUAACCGACCCCACCCCUAUUUCUUUACAAUUCACGGCAGCCCAUCACAUAACCCAAAAAUCGGCCCAUUUUCUCCUUUUCCUCCAACCUGUCCAGCAGCCCACAACAAUUCCUAACAAUACAUACACGAACCGACCCCAUCCUCCUUAUUUCCCUCAACUCAACUUGUACAGCAACUAACACCAAUUCCCACGACCCAGCCCAGUUGCCCCUUUAACCCGGCCCAAACCCACGUUAACAAGAACAUUCAACCCCAAUGUUUCAUUCAAUAUUCACGAAGGAACCUAGAAAAUCCCCCCCAACGUCCCUUUCGGUUGGUACAAUCGCAGCAGGCACGCCUCUGUCCUCCUUUCCCCUUUCGGAAUGAGCCAAAAUCUCAAGGAAAAGGUGUUGGUCCGAAUUGAUGAAGGAAUUCAAUUUUUUGAAUUUGGAAUUCGUCCAAAAUCUACCGGAUUUCCCCCGUUUUUUUUUUAAUCCAAAAAAUUUCCCUUCUAUAUAAUUGUUUUGUUAUUCACUGUUGAAGGAGGCAGAGGUAAUUCUCAACUAAGACUGGGAUAUAGAGAAUUAUAGUUCAUAAAAAGGGAUUGGGAGAAGUUAGCAAACGGAGAAUGGAUAGCUGAACAAAAGUAUUUUCAAAUAGCUUCAAAAAGAACCUGAGUUUUUUUUUUUCUUUGAAUUUGGUUUCUUCUUUAUCGGAUCGUCGGGGUUUGCCGGAGUAUUCGGAAUCCCAUUUCAGUGGUGAAAGUUUUUGCUCGCUGCUCCGCUCGUUGUUGUCCCGUUUGCUGCACUCAGAAAGGUAAACUCUAUUUCUGCUCGUGUCAUUUAUUUCUUAAGUUGUAGUUUGUUCACUGCUUGAAAGUUAUAAGCUAUGUGAAUGCUGAAAUUUGAAAAAAUAAUCUCAAUUUGCUCUUAAGUUCGAAAUCAGUGGCGUUUCCUUGCUUUAUUUAUUUAAAUUUUCUAGUUUGUUUGGUUAGACGUUCGGCAGACUCAAUGUGAUUUUGAGUUGCUCGCCUUUCUGUUUCCUUAUCAUCUCGCUGUUUAUCUUGUGGGUUGGCUGUAGGUUAGUAUGAAUGUGAAUUUUCCGAGUCUAUAAUGCUGAUUUUUAUAGUUUGUUAGACAACGGUUACUUCAUUCGUUUAGCUAGCAUGAAUCGUGUAGGUUGAAUAGUUUUAUUUCUUCUCUUGUUUGGUGCUUGUUCCAUCCGUGUUCAAUGAAGUAAAAAAUGGUUCAUAUAUCAUCUACUUACCAUUUUAAAAAUCUCAUUCACGAUAGUGAUAAUCGUAUAGUCUCCAUCACCCCUCAUGUUUAGUCGAUUUAUCUUAGGUCCACUUCAGUCUGAUUUGGUUAAAAUUGUUAAGAUGUUAACUUGAGUCAGUUUGCUCCGUUCCAUUUUUUGCUAUUCAAAGCAAGUUCGGUUGUUUGUAUUUCUUCCUUAUUCUCAUCUUUGAAUCAUGCCAAGUCUUGAAAAGGGUAAGACUUAUGUAUCAUUUGUGGUAUUUUCUUUAGUUGCUAUCAUCGUUUGCUACCUUAUCGAUGCCGUGGAAUAUAUACUCACUAUUAUAAGAAGCCUAUGACUGGUCUCUCUCAUCAUGAAAACAUAUGUUCAUCCUUUUCCUUACUAUUUGAGUGCAUUGAGCAGUGGAAGGGCAGUAGUCUUCUCACUAUUAUUUUAUUAUUAUUAUUCUUAUUGUUAUUAUUAUUUUCUUCUCAUAAUAAAACUAUUACUUGUUCACCUAAGGCAUUAACAUAUUAGUUUGCACGUGAUCUUCUUUCCUGUUGGUUUUACUAAUUUGUUUGAGUUGGUAUUCUAAUCCCUUAAAUGCAUUAUUUUUGCUCAAGUCAUUGAGGUUUAGAUUCACUAAUAUAUCUCUUCUCUUCUCUAUUGUAUAUGAACUCCGCUCGGGUCCAAUUUGGACUCCACUUCUCUACUUUGCAUUUCGGAUGGGCCAUAAAGACCCCAAAUCCUUCUUUCCUUUCGAGUCGGUACCCCAGCAAGCAGGGACUGAUGUACAGGUCUUGGAGAAGUCCAAAACGGAAUGUAUACAUGCUGAUAUACAGCAAUAUACCUUGAUAUACGCUUCAGAAUAUUGAAUUAUAGGUGGAAAAUGAAUCGCAAGUACUUGGGAGGCUGAAAUAUAUUGUAUACGGAGGGUAUGCAUGCCAAUAUAGACGAAAAUGAGUCGAAGUGCGACCCAUAUACAACAAUAUACCUUUGCUGUAUACACAGGUGUUUGGGAGCGAAAAUGGGCUGAAGGAGGCCCAAAACGCAGCAAUAGGCCCAAAUUUGACAUGCUCUUCCUUUCCCUCCUUUAUUAUUUUAUUAUAUUUGACUAACGCUUUGAUUAUCUUAUGAUUUAACUUAAUUAAAUUCCUCAAGAAUGGUCAUUUCAAUUUAUUUUCGAAUUAAAGUAUAUAUAUUUUAUUACUUAGUUUUAUUUUAGUCUUGUUGACAUUUUAUGAACCAUUCCCCUUUAGUUCAUUCCACCUUAAGAUAAAUAAAAAAUGAUAAAAAUAAUUAUAGUAAUAAAAAAUAAGUUAAAAUAAAUGAGCUCUUUUUACUUAAUUUAAUUUUUUUUAAAAAUAAAUUAGUUAAAAUAAAUGAGUUCUUUACUUUGUUAAACUUUCAAAAUUAGUCAAAGUCGUGAGUUCUUUACUUAGUUAAAUUCUAAAAAUAAUUAGUUAAAAUAAAUAAAUUCUUUUACUUAAGUUAAAAUUUUAAAAUUAGUCAAAAUCAUUUUGGUCAAAUCGCCGGUCAACCGCGAGUUAGCGAGCAUUCCAAGGGCCUAAUACCUUCUCGGAAUGUACAUUUGAACUCGAACCCUUUUUCAAUUGAUUUUAUCUGUUUAAGUCUUUUGAAAAAUCUUGUAUUUUUCUUUAUUUUUUACUAAAAAUCAAGUGGCGACUCUGUUCUUUUGGAAAUUCGAUUUCUCUUAAAUCAUAAGUUUAAUCGAUUUUUCGAAAACUAAGUCAUUUUCCUUUUACAUAUAUUUUUAAGUAAAACACUAUGAAGGAAAACAUUUUCCGGAAAAUGUUUUGGAAAAUGUUUUCCAAAUUAACUCAUUUUCCUCAAAUUUAAGGAAAAUGACUUCCCUUCAAAACUUAAGGAAAACAUUUUCCAAAACUCUCUUCCAACUUCCCAUUAAAAAAAAAAAUUGUUGAAAAAAUCAGUUUAUUUGGUCCCUACCCUCAAACCAGCCCCCCAACCACCCCACAAAAAAAUAAUAAUUUAAAGUUUGUUUUUAAAUUCAAUAUUUUUACCCCACCCUCACCCCUACCACCACCCUCUCCCCAAAAAAAUAAUUAAAAGUUCUUUUUAAAAGAUAUUUGUAAUUUCAAUUUUUUUUAUUUUUUUACCCCUACCCUCGCCCCCCAUCAGCCCCCUAUUACCCCCCACCCCUUUCAAAAAGAAAAAAAAUUUAAGAUUGUUUUUNNNNNNNNNNNNNNNNNNNNNNNNNNNNNNNNNNNNNNNNNNNNNNNNNNNNNNNNNNNNNNNNNNNNNNNNNNNNNNNNNNNNNNNNNNNNNNNNNNNNNNNNNNNNNNNNNNNNNNNNNNNNNNNNNNNNNNNNNNNNNNNNNNNNNNNNNNNNNNNNNNNNNNNNNNNNNNNNNNNNNNNNNNNNNNNNNNNNNNNNNNNNNNNNNNNNNNNNNNNNNNNNNNNNNNNNNNNNNNNNNNNNNNNNNNNNNNNNNNNNNNNNNNNNNNNNNNNNNNNNNNNNNNNNNNNNNNNNNNNNNNNNNCCCUACUAGCCCCCACCCCCCAAAAAAAAUUAAGUUUGUUUUUAAAAAAUAUUUUCAAUUUCAACAAUUAUUUUCUACUCUAAUAAAACUAAAAGAAAUUUUUCAAAAACAUUUUUCAUUCAUAAAUCAAACACUAAAUGUUUUUUCGGAAAAUAUUUUCUACUCACCAACCAAACAUGAGAAAAUAAGUCAAAAAUCAACUUGUUUUUCAAGAAAGCAUUUUCUAGGAAAAUAUUUUCCUUCGUACCAAACACACCCUAUAUCUUAGUCAUUCAAUUUUACUUAUAUCAAUUUAGAGGGAAAAAUGAAGAGGAGUCGGAUCCAGAUAUAUUCUUGGACAACUCUUGAUUCACAUAAAUUAAAGUGAGAAAUGGCAGAGGAAGUGAUGAACAACAAACAGAUCAUUCUAAAACAUUAUGUGGAAGGUUAUCCUAAGGAAUCUGAUAUGGAAUUUAAGAAUAACAACAUUAAAUUGAAUGUUCAAGAAGGUUCUAAUGUUGUUAUUUUGAAGAAUCUUUACUUGUCUUGUGACCAUUACAUGCGUUCACACAUGAGCAAACUUGAGGGUAGCUAUUUUCAGGUGUUGACGGAAUAUAUUCUUGUGUCUAUCACAAGUGCAGUAACAGUGACAAUAGCGGGAGUUGUAAAGGAGGCGGUAACUAUCUUGGUACGUCGUAGUAGGUUCAACCUUUAAAGUGUCUAUCUAUGUAUUAUGUCAAAGCAAUUUUAUGCACUUUUAAGUCCUAUUUUUGCUGGUUGACUGAAGCUUACUUACCUCAAAGAUAUUGUACUAUUCGAACACUGAUAGACUGAGAUAGGACGUGGAUUGCUUCAAUCUUGAAUAUUUUUCGAUAUUUGUCAAAUUUCUAUGGUCUAUGGUGUCCAUGUUUUCAACAAUUUGUGUAAUAGCUGGUAAUUUGCUGCCCUGUUCAGGUUGCUGUAUUUUAUUUUCACGACGACUUUACCUGGAUGAAAGGGUUCGGUCUCAUGACGAUAAUGUUUGGUGUCAGUUUGUUUAACUGGUACAAGUAAGUGACUGAAUCCUUCAUGUUCUAGCAAGAAGUUAUCUCGUAAUGUCCCGUUCUGCACUGACAUUAAAAUUAGAUUUACUGAACACAAUAUGUGUGUAUUCUGUUUUACGUUAUCAAUUUAUGAUCCUCAGUUAGUAGACACCUUAACUUAGCCUCAACUGAUCAAAGUAAACACUCUAACUUUAAGAAUACGCAUCUAGACACCUCAACUAGUCCCCACUGUGUCUCAUGGACACCUGACACAUAAAUUUUGGAGGUGUCUAUGUUUGAUCCUUUUGUAAGUUGGAGUGUUCAACUGACACAGUGGAGACGAGUUGAGGAGUCUGGAUGUGCGUUCUCAAAGUUGGAGUGUUUAAACUAUUCCUAUCACUUUAGUCGUCCUUAAUCAAAACGAACUUAAGCUAUAGUAGUUCAAUCAAAUUGUUGAUAUCGAGCCAUUUUUAGUCGAAAAUGGGACUUCAGCAUGUGUUGAAGUCGUAAGUUUUCCAUUUUUGUUACUUAGGUAUGACAAAAUUCAUAAAGGUAGCACAAGUGAAGAUGAAACUGCAGGAUCACCAUUAGGAAAUGCAGCUACCAAGUACGUUAUACUUGAAGAAAUGGAAGACCAAGACCAUGGUCCUUGAAGUUUUACAUAUGACAUUCUAACUACGCUGCGUACUGAUGGCAUUUUGUAUUUGCAACGGAAGGAAGGGGACGAAAAAAUGCGUAGAUUUUCUAGCAAAUGAAAGUCAAGUCGUAUACAUGAAGAAGAUUUGUUAAUCAAGGAAGAUGAGGAAUUUGAGUUUUUUCACCUAGUUGACUUUAAGACAUGUUGCUUAUAGAAGAUAUUAGGAAAUAUGUUACUCCCUAUGUGCUAAAAAAAUAAUGAUAUACAUUUUUAUACUUGGUAGAAAUUUAACUUUUAAACUUCUCGUUUUACCCCUAAAGUUAGGGGUGGGCGUUUGGUAUUCGGUUCGAAAUUUCUAAAUUUCGAGUUUGGUAAUUCGAUAAUUGAUAGUAAAAAAUAGAUAUCAAUUAUCGAAGAUUUAAAUUUUGAUAAUCGAUAAAUCAAACUUCGAUUCAGUACGGUAUUUAGUAAAUACCGUAUUGAAGUUGUAGUCUAUUGUAUAACAAAGUUAGUGGGAUAAGAAACAAAUACCCCCUAGACUAUGAUCAAAAUCUCAGAGACACACCUUAACUAAACUAAGAUCCUAUUACCCCUGAACCUUUUUUUUUUUGUAAUUUUGUACACCUUAUUAGCUUACGUGGCAUCCAAACAUCUCUCAUGCACUUCAACUCGUGGAGUCACAGAGUGUGCCACAUAGGGCGGGUUUAUACGGAAUGGGGUGGGGCGGGGCUGAUUUUAAUUUUGCGGGCUAAGACAAAAUCUGCCCUGCACCGCCCCAUUGGCAUCCCUACUCACCCACUUCAUUACGCAAAUCAACAUGUAUGGGUGACUUGAAAAAGAAACUUACAAAAUGUUACUAGUUAAGAACUAACUACUUAAAUACACUACAUUACAAUAUUUUGAAUCUUACCAGAUUUUGGUGCGUCCAGAAAAUAUGUACUCCUACACUUGAAUCUGAAGUUUAAGAUUGGACGUUACAAUAUACAGCUUGAACUCCUUUAUUUUGACUAUUUUUUUAAUAUUAUUUUUCUAGAGAUAUUGUAGGAUUUGAAAAUGAAUGAUCACAAAUCUUUCUACCUUUUGUCUGUUAAAAUCAUGUCAUUUUUUCUUACUAUAAGUUGAAGAAAAAGAGAAAUUGGUCUCUUUUUUUGUUUACAUGAUAAUAUUAGUGCACCAAGUUGGAAAUGUGAGACAAAAUUAUAUGAGUUUGAAGUUGAAGUUUGAUUUCGACAUGUCAUUUAAAUUUUUAAAUUGUAUUUUUAAUAAUAAAUUUAUAAAUUAUGAUAAUUAUUGAAAUUGUCUUAAUUUUUUUAUACAAUUUUAUAAAAUAAGCAAAAAAAUUCAUAACAAAAAUAUAAAUAAUAUCAUAAAAUUAUUUUUAAAAUCUACAUUUUUUAUUGAUCGAACUUUAGUUUAAUAAAAAAAUAUAAUUAAAUAUUGCUCUCUCCGUCCUAUUUUAUGCGGUACUUUUUGAAUUUCGAGAUUCAAACAAGUCUAUCUUUGACGGUAAGUUUUUCAUAAAUCUUUUAAACAUUUUGAAUUAUUAAUUAUUGUGACUUCUAGUUUUUUUUUACAUAGUUAACAAAUAUUUAAAUUUUAUUUCAAAAAAAUUGAAGAUUUUGUAUGCAAUUUUCCGAUCACACUUAAACUGUUUGACUCUAAAAAAAUGAAAAAUAUCGCAUAAAUUGAGACAAAUGGAGUAGUAAAAUUAAUACCUAGCAAUAUUUUUAAAUUAUUAAUUAUUCUAAUAUAUCAUUUUUUUACAUAAUUUUUUUAUCUCAAUAUAUGUGGUACUGCUAAAUUUUUGAGAGUACUCACACCUACUGAAUUUCCACAUGCAGUUUGUGUUAUUUGUGUGUGGAAAGCUCUAUAAGUCCCAUCUUUUUUAUUUCUUUUUCCUUACACUUAAAAAGAUCGUUUGUUAGGUGGGAUAAGACGUGAUAUUUUUGAGUUACUUUUGAGAUAAAAUUUAUUUCAUAAAUUGAGAUAUUUAAUGAGAUAAUUAGUUAUCUCACUAAUACAUAUAAAAUAAGUAAAUUUAUCUCAAAACUGACUUAUGCUUCCAAUUAAAUGAAAAAUAAAAUUAUUUAUAUUUUAUUUUGAAAUUAUUAUCUUGUUUUCUUUGGUACCAAAUAAAUAUGAAUCCUUAAGCUUUUCCUCUUCAAUUAUUAGGGACCACGCUUAAGGCUUGUACAACAUUGCUAAAAGCUACUCACGUUUAAACCCUUGUUCUUAUUUUUGUAUUAUAUAGUUUUAAUAAAUAGUGAUUUUAGUGAUAAUUUCAAUUUUAUUCUAUUUGUUAUUUGACUAUGCACAUUUAAUUUUUAAUUAUUUAAAGUGUAAAAGUUUUGGUGCUUGAAGUUAACAAAAGUUAACUACUCUUAUUUAAUAAAAUGAUUAUUUGAAAAUAUAAAAAAUAAAAUAAAUGAUUGGUGAUUCUAAAUACUUGAGUGAAUAGAUUUACUCCAGUCCCUUAAGAAAAUUCAAAAGUAAGUCGUAUCAUCUUGCAUUCCAAGUAUUCGAUUAAUUAAUUCCUAGUUAAAACGAUAGUCUAGUUUUAGAAUUUAAUUACUCAAUCACUUUUUUGUUUGAAGACAAGGUUAGAAAAUUCGCAAAAUCACACUCUUUAACAUCUUGACACAAGUCUACUCUUUGUGGGAUCAACCCAAAUUUUUGUUGAGUUUAUUAUGGCUACGAGGCCGGAGGCGAACCCAUGUAUAUAUUUGAGGGUGCACAUGCACCUGUUAAUUUCGAAAAUUAUCAUAUAUAUAUAUAUAUAUAUAGAAACUUGUAGAAAUUAAAUAUAAUUAAUAGUAGCCCAAUGCAUAAUAAUGUGCUUUAUACCGCUAGUACAUGUUAAGACAUUCGCCCACGUGACUAGGGUUCUAUCCUAACUAGAACCUUUUUUCUUUUUAGCUUAAUAUUAAUGUACUCCUACACUUGAAUCUGAAGUGUAAGAUUGGACGUUACAAAAUACAGCUUGAACUCAUUUAUUUUGACUAUUUUUUAAUAUUAUUUUUCUAGAGAUAUUGUAGGAUUUGAAAAUAUAAUUAAAUUUUAUUCCCUCCGACCUAUUUUAUGCGGCAUUUUUUGGAUUUCGAUAUUCUAACAAGUUUAUCUUUGACAGUAAAUUUUUCAUAGAUCUUUUAAAUAUUUUGAAUUAUCAAUUAUUGUGACUUAUAGUACUUUCUACAUAGUUUACAAAUAUAUAAAUUAAAUUUAAAAAAAUUGCAGAUUUCGUACGUAAAUUUUCGAUCACACUUAAACCGUUUGACUCUCAAAAAAUGAAAAUUGUCAAAUAAAUUGGGACAUGGAAAUAAUAAUAUUAAUAUCUAGCAAUAUUUAAUAAUUUACCGGUUGGUACACCUAAUAACCGCCUACAUGAAUAGCAACAAUAUUUUAAUAAAAGAUCCGUACACAUUUAUGUAAUCUGACUGAUUUGAAUUAUUCGAAAUAAAAUUUAUCUUAUAAAUUGAGAUGUUUGAUUAGAUAAUUAAUUAUUUUACUACAUAUAAAAAAAUAAUUUAUCUCACCAUUAUAAAUUAUAUAAUUUAAUAACUAACUAAUACUCCUUAUUAUAUAAAAUUUUAAAAAAAACAAUUUUAAAGUUUAGAUCAAAAUAAUUAUCUCUUUUUCCUCUUCAAUUAUUAGGGUCACGUUUAAACGACUGGCACAACAUUUCUAGCUGUAAUUGGUAGGUAAAGUCCUUGAGUGAAUGGCUAAGAAAAAAGAAUAAAGUAUUGAACAUGUGGAAAAAAAGAUAUUACUCCCUCCAUAUUAUUGUAGGUGACAUCUUUUCACUUGACACGAUAUUUAAAAAAAAAAAAUGAUUUUUGAAAUUUAUAAUUUAAAAUAAUUUAUAGUUAUCUAAAUAUCUAUGACUCGAUUAUUUUAUUUCAUAAGUUUUAAAAAAAUUCUUUCUUACUUUCUUAAAUUUAAUGUUGAUUUAAACUAACCUGGUCAAUUUAUGUAGCACUUUUUAUUUUUCAAUAGUCAAAUGGUCUAAUCGAAAAUUUGCGCAUGUGAUCUUCAAAUUUUUAAGUCAAUUUUUUUACUUUUGAAAGUGUUUUGACAAAUACACAAGCUUAUCAAAAUACAAAGCUAAUAACACAGAUGAAAAGACAAUAAAAUUUCUUUUUAAAAAAUAUUUUAAGUUAUUAAUUAUUCUGAUAUAUAAUUUUUUAUGUGAUACUAAUAAAUUUUCGAGAGUACUCAUAACUAGUGAAUUUCCACAUGCAGUUUGUGUGGCGGUGUGCGGAAAGCUAUAAUUUAAGUUAGGGAUAUUUUCUUCUUUAUCAACUUCUCACUUAUAUAUACAUUACUUGUUCAUUUCAUCUUCUUAGGACAAGUUAAGUUUGAGUACAUUUAACUAUGAACUAUUCAAUGCAAGUUAAGAUUUUGUCCAAAAACCUCAUUAAACCAUCAUUACCAACGCCACAACACCUUAAAAAUUACAAGUUAUCUUUCUUUGAUCAAGUUCAAGGUGUAACUUAUAUAAAAGCAACGGUCAAUUGUAAGCUUGAUGAUUUCCUUCAACAAGCAAACAAAGACGUUGAUCUAGCAUUGCCAUUUUGGCCUCAAGGAAUUAUGGAUGUGGACGAGACGAAUUUAUUCGUCACGCCAGUUAUGGUUGUGCAAGUCACAACAUUUGAAUGUGGUGGUCUAGCCCUAGCUAUUAGCCAUGCACACCCUGCUAUGGACGGAUGCACCACAUUCAAAUUCAUUUAUGAAUGGGCUAAAGUGUGCAAAUUUGGUACUCCUUCUAAGGAUAUCAACUUGAACCUCAAUUUAGGCACUCUUUUCCCUUACAAAGAUUUAACAACUAUUCUUGAGCCUCCGGUUGACGAAGGCAAACGUAAAAACUCUAAGUUAGUUGCCAGAAAGUUUGUUUUUGAGGAAGAUGCAAUAUUGAGGCUCAGAGAGAAAUUUGACUCAACAACUGGCGAAGGUUUGAGUUUCAAACCUUCGCGAGUUGAGAUGAUUACAACACUUUUAUGGAGGUCACUUAUCCGUUCCACAGGAAGUACUUCACAUUUGAAACGGUCUAUAAUGGCAUUUCCAAUUAAUUUACGUGGUAAGGUAGCAGCUUUUCCUGAAAUUGCCAACUCUUUUGGGAAUCUUAUUAUCGAAAUUCCAAUAAAAUUUGAACACGACGAUGAAACAAAAAUGGAGUCGUUGCAUCACAUUGUAAAACUAAUAAGAGAGUCAGUUCAAGUGAUUAUCAGUAAAUGUGUCAAAGCUACUCCGGAUGAAAUAGUUUCUUUGGUUAUCGACUUAUACAAGGAUAGUUACGCCGGAUUAGAAUGGGGAGGAGACAAUGAAGUUAUGAAUUUUACAUGCUCAAGUUUAUGUAGGUUCCCCGUACAAAAAACUGAUUUUGGAUGGGGAAAACCAAGUUUAAUGCACUUUGGGUCAAGGCAUAGCCAAGUUUUUUGGUUGUAUGAUACUGAAUGUGAGACUGGAAUUGUUGUGCAAAUGGAUUUUGGAGGAAAAGUACAUGGAUAAACUUGCAUGUGACCAAGAUAUCAUGGAUUUUGUUAAAUUUUUAGGGUUUAAUUUUCAUGUUCUUUCUUCAUUUAAUUUGUACUCCCUUUGUUUUAAUUUAAGUACGUGUGUUGCUAUUGUUUUUCUUUGGUUUAAUUUGUUUUGAAUAUUAAUGUCAUUUUCUAUGAACUCGCUUUGACUAUAAUUAAGUAGCAUUUUAAGUUGUAGCAAAGAUUAUACUAAAAUAAAUGGGAGAAGGCACAAAUACCCCCUAGAUUAUGAUCGAAAUUCCAGAGACACACCUUAACUAAACUAAGGUCCUAUUACCCCUGAACUCAUUUUAUAUGUAAUGUUGUACACCUUUUGGCUUAUGUAGACACGUAAGUUUUGACCGAGCAUAAGACUUUACACUUGUUUUUAUUCCUUAAAUAUUUAUUUUAGGUUAAGUUAGAUAUUUUGAUUUUUGUCUUAUUUUAGUAAGUUUAUUUUAAAAGAUUUGAAAAUAACAAAAAAGAAAAGAUAUUUUCAAUAUAUUAAACUUGUUGGACAUUUAAAAAAGAAACUCGUUGGACAUUUAAAAAAUAUUUUCUUUGAUUAUAAUCUUUUAAAAAUAUAUAUUUUACAUUAUUAAUAAUUCUUAUUAAAACAAAGUAGCGUGUGAUUUUGAUUUGCUUUAAUAUCAAGCAGGAAUGAGUCCAAGACAGGGGCGGAUGACAUGGCGAGGGUGGUCAGAUGAACAACCUUCAUCGGAAAUUUUUAUGGAUAUAUAUACUAAAUAUCGAUUUUUUUGGAUAUAUACUAACUGUUGAACAACCUUGACACAAUAAAGGUUGACAGCCCAGCGGUUAAGGUUGUGCAAAGUUGCCUUAGCGUUCCUGGUUCGAGCCCAAGUGUUGGCGUUUUCUUUAAAUUUUUCAUUAUUCCAUUUGUUCUCUUAGAAAAGGCAAAACUCAGCCUGGGUUCGAUCCCAGGCUUGAACAUUUCAUUUAUUUAAUAUUUGUUCCACUUUUCUCUUAAGAAAAAGUACAAAAGUUACCUUUUUUAAGUUAAGAAAAACAAAAGGAAACAAAAGGUCUAUUUAAAUGGUUGCAUAGUGCCUUAUGUAGUAAUCAUUGUAUAUUUCUUCCUCAACCGCCAUUGAAGUGUGAAAAGGUAUUUCUUAAUUCUUUUUUUCCUUUAGUUCAGUUUUUUCUAAUCAAGUGUUGAAAGACUUGAAUAUCUUAAUUUUUAUGUUAAAAGCUACUUUAUUUAUUUGAGUAUCGAUUAACUAUUUGGUGUAUUGUGGAUGAUUUUUAAUAAGUUUGGUAUACUUGAACUUGACUACUAUUUCAGUUUGGUGUUCAAUGAGUUUGGAGAAAUAUUUUUUAGAGUACCCAAAACAAGUUUGGCGCCUCAAAAUCAAAAUCAACUACGCUGAGAUGAAAAUGUCAACCAAAUAGAAAUAUCAUCUCACUCUUCCCAAAGACAAGAAUUUGAUGUGAAUGAUUUAAAGGCUGAUCCGGCUGAAAGAACUCCAAUUUUUAAUUAUCAUCCAAACCUUUGUGAUGAGAUAAGGAGGGCAUAUAUCAUUAAAGGUCCUUGUCAACCUCAAAAUCAUCAUUUUCCUCAAACUUAAUUUUUUGGAACAUCACGUCGUUUUGUUUAUACGUGGUUUGAUGAAUCUUGUCAACCUCAAAAUCAUCAUUUUUCUCAAACUAAUUUUUUUGGAACACCACGUCGUUUUGUUUAUACGUGGUUUGAUGAAUCUCGUGAUUGGUUGGAAUACAGUAUUAGUGCGGAUGCUGCUUAUUGUUUACCUUGUUAUUUGUUUCAAGGAGAAAACAUUAAUCAAGGUGGUGGUAAUGUAUUUUCGACUAAGGGAUUUACAAAUUGACAUAGAAAGGAUAGCUUUGCUACACAUAUUGGUCUACCGAAUAGCGUUCAUAAUCAAUCCAAAAGAAAGUGUGAAGAUCUCAUGCGAGAACAACAAUCCAUUCAAGCCGCAUUUUACAAGUUGGAUGAUAAAAGUAAGCAUGAAUAUCGGAUUCGAUUAAACGCUUCAAUCGAUGUGGUAAGACUUCUCUUGGAUCAAGGUUUUGCAUUUCGUGGUCAUGACGAGAGUGAAUCGUCAUUGAACAAGGGUAAUUUUCUUGAAGUUCUUUCUUGGUUAGCUGCUAGAUGUGAUGCAAUUAAACCUUUUGUGUUAGAAAAAACUCCAAAAAAUAAUUAAAUGACUUCUCAUGACAUCCAAAAAGAUAUUGUGACUGCGUGUAAGAUUGAAACAGUUAAGGCAAUAAUAGAGGAUAUAAAUAGUGACUACUUUGCUUUAUUGGUUGAUGAAUCUAGAGAUGUGUCACGCAAAGGGCAAAUGGCUAUUUGUCUAAGAUAUGUUGACAAAAUGGGGUUUGUAAUGGAGGCAUUUAUUGGACUUGUUCACAUUAAAGAUACUAGUGCUUUAUCUCUAAAGAAAGCAAUUGUAGAUGUACUUGCUCACCAUUCUUUGACUUUAUCUAAUGUACGUGGGCAAUGUUACGAUGGGGCAAGUAAUAUGCAAGGUGAGCUAGGUGGUCUUAAAACAUUGAUUAGACAAGAAAGUAGAUCGGCUCAUUCUGUUCAUUGUUUUGCUUAUCAACUUUAAUUGACUCUUGUUGCGGUUUCUAAAAAGUGUGUUCAAGUAGGUGAACUUGUAUUAUUAAUUUCAAAUAUUUUGAAUGUGUUGGGAGCUUCUUUUAAACGUGUUGAUAAUUUUCGAGAAUCUCAAAAAAAGCAUCUUCAAAUGGCAUUGGAUAUGGGUGAACUAGAAAUGGGUAGAGGGUUGAAUCAAGAACUUGGUCUUGUUAAAGCCGGUGAUACUCGUUGGGGAUCUCACUACAAGUCAUUUGGAAACUUUAUUNNNNNNNNNNNNNNNNNNNNNNNNNNNNNNNNNNNNNNNNNNNNNNNNNNNNNNNNNNNNNNNNNNNNNNNNNNNNNNNNNNNNNNNNNNNNNNNNNNNNNNNNNNNNNNNNNNNNNNNNNNNNNNNNNNNNNNNNNNNNNNNNNNNNNNNNNNNNNNNNNNNNNNNNNNNNNNNNNNNNNNNNNNNNNNNNNNNNNNNNNNNNNNNNNNNNNNNNNNNNNNNNNNNNNNNNNNNNNNNNNNNNNNNNNNNNNNNNNNNNNNNNNNNNNNNNNNNNNNNNNNNNNNNNNNNNNNNNNNNNNNNNNNNNNNNNNNNNNNNNNNNNNNNNNNNNNNNNNNNNNNNNNNNNNNNNNNNNNNNNNNNNNNNNNNNNNNNNNNNNNNNNNNNNNNNNNNNNNNNNNNNNNNNNNNNNNNNNNNNNNNNNNNNNNNNNNNNNNNNNNNNNNNNNNNNNNNNNNNNNNNNNNNNNNNNNNNNNNNNNNNNNNNNNNNNNNNNNNNNNNNNNNNNNNNNNNNNNNNNNNNNNNNNNNNNNNNNNNNNNNNNNNNNNNNNNNNNNNNNNNNNNNNNNNNNNNNNNNNNNNNNNNNNNNNNNNNNNNNNNNNNNNNNNNNNNNNNNNNNNNNNNNNNNNNNNNNNNNNNNNNNNNNNNNNNNNNNNNNNNNNNNNNNNNNNNNNNNNNNNNNNNNNNNNNNNNNNNNNNNNNNNNNNNNNNNNNNNNNNNNNNNNNNNNNNNNNNNNNNNNNNNNNNNNNNNNNNNNNNNNNNNNNNNNNNNNNNNNNNNNNNNNNNNNNNNNNNNNNNNNNNNNNNNNNNNNNNNNNNNNNNNNNNNNNNNNNNNNNNNNNNNNNNNNNNNNNNNNNNNNNNNNNNNNNNNNNNNNNNNNNNNNNNNNNNNNNNNNNNNNNNNNNNNNNNNNNNNNNNNNNNNNNNNNNNNNNNNNNNNNNNNNNNNNNNNNNNNNNNNNNNNNNNNNNNNNNNNNNNNNNNNNNNNNNNNNNNNNNNNNNNNNNNNNNNNNNNNNNNNNNNNNNNNNNNNNNNNNNNNNNNNNNNNNNNNNNNNNNNNNNNUUGUCCUAAAGUAUGAACCCCCUUGGCGAAAAUUCUGGCUCCGCCACUGGUCCAAGAUUGUUAGAAUAAAUAAAUAUAUAUAUAUAUAAAUCAGUUUUUAUUUUGUACCUAAGAAUUAUAUGAAGGGAUAGAGUUUAGAGUUUUAAAUUUCAGUUAUGUGCUUUUGCGGUCUAUUUUUGCUGUUAGUUUUAUUAUUAUUUUGUACCAAUAAUAAAAUAUAAUUUUUAAUAUUGCUUUAAUUAGUUGAUAUUUUAUUAUAAUUUAUUAUUUAUAUGUAUAGUUAAUUAUUAUUUUUUUAAAAGUAAAAUAAAAAUAAGAAAAUAACUCACCCCACUUCCCAUACCCCACAAAUCCCAUAUACUCACCCCUAUGCUACCACAUCCCCACGAAACUAUCAACAACACAAACAGUCACCCCUAUACCCACACACGAACAAAAAAAAAAAAGGAUUGAGUUGUUGUUUUUGACGGCUUCAAGUUCACGGAUUCAAAAGUCUGCUAUAUUAAUAUUUUUGGAAAAUCAGUAGACUGUUAGGCGUUGUUUUUCGUGGUUUAAUCUUCAUAAGAGAUAACAUUUAUUUCUUCUUGGUAUAAUUUAAUGUCACGAUUGUUCAAGAUUUGAUUCCAAUGUUAUAAAGUUAUUCAAAUUUUAUGUGUGUUUAGCUUUGCCAAUAUACUAUUGAAAUACAUGAAAAUAUUUGUAUUGUUGUAUUUGGAUUAAAUAUGAUAUAACGUAUAUCGCUUCUUGCUCACUAAGGAAUCAAUAUUUUUCUUAAUUCGCUCUAUUCUAUCAAGCCGAAACGUGAUUCAUGGGUUGCUGAUAAUUAAUUUGAUCAAUUCACAUAGUUUUGAGUUAUUCGUUGAUAGUGCAAUUUAAAAAUUAUUUUUUUUAGUAAAAAAAAUGCAUUUUUAUACGAUUUAAUCGUUAUCAUCCGAAGUGUUUUAGAUUAUUGGUAUUUUAUAGGUCAUAGAUCUAAUGCCAGUUUCAAAUGUUGUGUGAAUAUAAAUGUUUGGUUUUUUUUUAUUAAAAAAAAGGCUCUUUUAUGAGUCUAUUAAUUCAGGAUACUAGCUUUUGGGGUGAUCACUUGCAAAUAAUCACGCCACUUCAUUUUUUAAGCGUAAAUAUUUGUUAAAUUAGAUAUAGCCACAUAUGUCAUUAAUUAUUAGUUAAAGUGUGCCUUUAGUGUAUUUGUUUAUUUAGUUAUGCUUUAUUGUAAAUAAUUAAUUAUAUUAAAAAAAUAUAGACUAAUAACAUUCUGUUUUGCUAGAAACUGUAAGUACUAUCAUGUUAAUAAGACAAUGUAAUUAAUUGAAUUUAAUAUUUCGUGGGCAGGUGAUAAGUUAAAUGUAGAAAAGUUUGGUCACUUUAACAUUUUACUAUUUAUUUUUAGAUUGCUUUAAUAUAAUCAUAGGUAUAUAUUAGGCUUUAUUAUACAUUAGAUGAGUAACAAUAAUAAUUAAAUUUCAUCUCAAUUAAGAAUGUGGUUCCAUAUGAGAUACUUAAGAAAUUCAAGGAUGCGGUUACGCACCUUUGCCAAAUUCAAGGAUGCGGUAACACACAUUGGCCAAAUUAUUUUAAUAAUUAAUUUUGUUAAUUCAAACCAAGAGGUGUAAAUUGGGAGUAUUAGGUGUGAUGAACUCGAGAGGGGAAGACAGUUAUGUCUCCAAAUGUCAAUAUCGGUAAUGCAGUUAUGCAUCCGGUUUAAGACUAAUAAAAAUUCAACAAUUAAAAAAUAAGCAAACCAUGACAUAUAGACACAAAUUAUCCAAAAACAUAUCAAGAUAAGUAUAAGUCAAUAAAAGCGACCGUGCUAGAACCACGGGACUCGAGAGAUGCCUAAUACCUUUCCCUCGGUCAACAUAAUUCCUUACCCAAAUUUUUGGUUCGCAGAUCAAACAAAGAGUCAUUUCCUUUUGAUUAGGCAUUAAACAAAAUGUGACUUGAAACACCAUAACUCAAUUUCAAGUAGCGACUCUGAAAAAAAUAAAAAAAUAAAAAAAAUAAUUCCUUAAUCAAUACGGUCACUUAAAUUGGAAAAACCCUUUUCGCCGUGCGAAAAAAGGGGUGUGACAUCUCUGGCGGCUCCGCUGGAGAUACUAACCAAAAUUUGAGGUUUUUUUUGUUGACUUUUAUUUUAUCUUAUUUUAUUUUUUUUGGAUAUAUUGUGUGUUAUUGCCUAGUAUGAUACUUGUUGCUCUUUUAUCGCUUUUUAUAUUGUUGAACUAUAAAUUGUCUUUCUUGGCGCAACCAUCUAAGUUGGCAGGGUUUAAUGACAUGUGUUGAAGUCGUAAUAUUUUCCAUUUUCGUUACUCAGGUAUGACAAAAUUCAUAAAGGUAGCACAAGUGAAGAUGAAACUGUAUCACCAUUAAGAAAUGGAAGAUCCAGACCAUGGUCCUUGAAGUUUUACAUAUGACAUUCUAACUACGUUGCGCUCUGAUGGCGUUUUGUAUUUGCAACGAAAGGAAGGGGACGAAAAAAUGCGUAGAUUUUCUAGCAAAUGAAGGUUAAGUCGUAUAUAUGAAGAAGAUUUGUUAAUCAAGGAAGAUGAGGAUGUUGAGUUUUUUCAUCUAGUAAACUUUAAGACAUGUUGCUUAUAGAAGGGAAAUUUAUUACUCUCUAUGUGCUAAAAAAAUAAUGAUAUAUAUUUUUAUACUUAGUAGAAAUUUAACUUUAAAACUUCUCAUUUUACCCCUAAAGUUAGUUCGAGAUUUCCAAAUUUCGAGUUCGAUAGUUAAAAAUAGAUUCAAUUCAGUAAUACCGUACUGAAGUUGUAGGAUUUGAAAAUGAAUGAUCACAAAUCUUUCUACUUUUUGUUUGUUAAAAUAAUGUCCUUUUCUGACUAAGUUAAAGAUAAAGAGAAAUUGGUCUCUUCUUUUGUUUAGAUGAUAAUGUUAGUGGACCUAGCUUGAAAUGUGAGACAAAAUUAUAUGAAUUGAAGUUUGAUUUCGAUAUGUAAUCUGACUGAUUUGAUGUUAUUUUUAUUCUUUAUUUGAUUUCAAGUAUGCAUAAAAAACAAAUGUAACGUAUAUUUACAUCCACACAAAUAUCUACACAUAUUUUUAGUUUAAGAUUACAAAAUUUUAAAGGUCGCUAUACUUUCAUAAAUUAAUAUCCCAUGAAACUAAGAUACACAAACUAAAACUAGCGGAGUAACUUAGUACUAAUUCGAUUUGCUUCAUACAUUGUUUUAGUACUAGACAUAUAAGCUAGUGCUAACACAGACUCAAUAACAUAGAUAGAAUUUGGAAAGACAAAUGAUUAUUAACAUGAUUAUUAUUAAUUUACGAGACUUUUACGAUGAUUUUUUUCUAUUCUAAUUUAUGUAAUACAAAUUAAUUUUCGUGUGUAUUAGCCCAAGAAUCUGGCGCCUCAGAGCACCAAAAAACAUUUUCUGAAAUUUUUUUAUGAGGACCUCUGUAAUGAGUUGGGAACCACCACUUAUACUCACACUAUUUCUUAACGCUUAUUUCCGCAUUUACUGACCCUUUUUUAGGAAUUACGUAAUUUUUUUCAAUUUUUGGGUGUAUUAGCCUAUGGAUCUGGCACAUUGGAGCACCCAAAUUUUUUUCUGAAAAAAACUUUAUGAGGAAUUUUGUAAUGAGUUGGAGAUCACCAUGUAUACUCACACCAUUUUUAACGACUAUUUCUGCAUUUAUAGAUUCUUUUUUAGAAAUUACGCAAAUUUCUCGAUUGUUCGUGUAUAUUAGCCCAUGAAUCUCGCGACUCGGAGCACCCAAAAUUGUUUUCUGAAAAAAUUCUAUGAGAACCUCUGUAGUGAGUAAGGGAACCACCACAUAUACUCACACCAUUUUUAAUGAUAUUUUCGCAUUUACAAGCCCUUUUUUAUGAAUUAUGCAAAUUCCUUGAUUUUUCGUGUGUAUUAGCCUUUGAAUCUGGCGCCUCAGAGCACCCGAAAAAAAAUUCUAAAAAAACUUUAUGAGGACUUCCAAAAUGAGUUAGGGAACCAGCAUGUAUACUCAUACCAUUUUUUAACGCCUAUUUUUGCACUUACCGACCCUUUUUUUUUUUAUAGGAAUUAUGCAAAUUAUUCGAUUUUUCAUGUGUAUUAACCCAUGAAUAUAUUGGUGAUAUGGCUUUCGGACGAAAUUUUUGCAAAACUCUUUAUGGAACCCUUCAAAGGGAGUUGGGGGAGCAGUACGUACAAUCUUACCAUUUUUAGAGUGAUUUAUGGCCAUUAAGGAGUCAAUUUUUAUUAGUUAGGCGAUUUUCUCAAUUUUUCAUGUGUGUUAGCCGAUUAAUAUUUUGGUGAUAUGACAUAUAGAUGAAUAUAUUACGAAACCUUUAUGGAAUUCUCUGUAGGGAGUUGGGGAAGCAUUACGUACAGUCUCACCAUUUUUAGAGUGAACUUUGGGCAUUUAGAGGCCAAUUUAUAGUAAUUAUGUGAUUUUCUCUAUUUUCUGUGUGUGUUAUCCCAUGAAUAAUUUGGUGAUAUGAUUCCGAACGAAUUUUUUUCGAACCUUUAUGGUACCCUCCGCAGGGAGUUGGUGGGGCAGUACGUACAGUCUCACCAUUUUAGAGUGAUAUGGCGGAGAAAUAACUCCUAAUAACCCAAAAUAUAUCUGAAAAAUGCCGAGGAGACGUAUUGCUUUCCCAACUUCCUACAGAGAGUUACGUAAUAAAUUUGCACAAAAAUCGACCAUCAAUCACAGCACCAAAAUAUUCAUGGGCUAACUGUGCCAACACAAACCCAAUAGCAUAGAUGGAAUUUGGAAUGAUAAUUAUGUGCCAACACAAACACCCAUUUUUACCACAACUUUUCAUUCACAUUAAAGCUAGAAAUGGCAGAAGAAAUGAUGAACAACAAACAGAUCAUUCUAAAACAUUAUGUGGAAGGUUAUCCUAAGGAAUCUGAUAUGGAAUUUAAGAAUAACAACAUUAAAUUGAAUGUUCAAGAAGGUUCUAAUGUUGUUGUUUUGAAGAAUCUUUACUUGUUUUGUGACCCUUACAUGCGAACCGUAUGAGCAAACUUGAGGGUAGCUAUAUUCAAUCUUUCACUCCUGGUUAUGUAAGUAUUUCAACAAUUUACUACCACACAUAUGAUUAUUUAGUUGAUAUAUAUUAUACGUUCAAAUUUCGAGGGUCAAAAAAUAUAUUUAAUGUAUGUUUAUAAGUAGGUGUUUGAAUUAACUUAUUUUAAACAGUUUUUGGCUUUUAAUCUUCUUUUUAAUUUUUUUGAAGGUGUUCGAUAAGGCUGAAAAAAAAAUACAAAAGUAAGUUAAAAGUUAAAAGUCUGAGUAUUCUCAACUCAUGAUCUCUUUUAAGUUUUUGCUUAUAAGUUACUUAAAACAAAGUCAAUCUAAACAACCCUUGAUCGUGAAUCUGGGAAGGGUGGUGAGUAUUAGCUUAAUUUCUAUAGUAGAAAGAUUAUUUUCAAAAGACUUUCAAAAUCAAGUUUAAAUUUUGAGAGUUGAACUUGUUAAUUUUGAUCUGGAUUUGGAUAUAAAAUCUUUAAAUAGUGUAGACCUUGAUUGUUUCAAUUUAACAUUAUUGGUGUGUUCAGUAUAUAUACUUUUCAAGAAAAUAUAUAAGUGAUUUUCUUACUUAUUUUUUUGUCCGUAGCCUAUUACAGGAUACGGAGUGUCUAAAGUUUUGAAAUCUGGUGAUUCAAAUUUUCAAGAAGGUGACUUAGUUUGGGGAAUGACUGGAUGGGAGGAAUAUAGUAUUGUAACAACUACUCAAAGUAUGUUUAAAAUUGAUCAUGACAAGGAUGUGCCUCUUUCCUAUUAUACAGGAAUCCUUGGUGAGUGUUUUCGACUGGGUUAAAGUAUUACAUAAUUAGUUGGGGUCUCUACUUAUAUGGAUUUGAAAAAAUUAAUUUUCGGGGUUGAGUUAGACCAAGCGUCAUAACUUUACAUGAUAUAUAUCUAUAUAUGAACCCUAUUUGGGAUCUUGGUCCACACUCUCCAGUUGGGCUUGGACUUGAAGGGAGUGCUAGAGUCCCACAAUGGUACUACAACAAAAACAGCUUUUAGCGGCAAUAAAUAGACACAUUAAUAAAGAGUGCUAAAGUCUUUCCCGGCAUUAGUUAAAUGUCAUUAGAUUAAAUGUCACUAAAGGCUUUAGGGGGAUAUACAAAGAGUGCUAAUUGCCGCUAAAAAUACAUAUUUAGUGGCAAUUGAGCUAUUACCGUUAAUUAAUUGCCACUAAAGAUCGUUUUUGAUGUAGUAUGGUUGGUUGGGGAAUAGAUUGAUAAUCGGCUUAUAUGGACUCGGACAAUAAUCUUCUGCUCUUGCAGGGAUGCCUGGGGUGACAGCUUAUGCUGGUUUUUAUGAGGUUUGCUCCCCUAAGAAGGGAGAAACUGUGUUGUUGUUGGUAGUGCUGGAAAUAAUUAAACAAAAGGUAAGUACUUAAACAUUUCAUUCCUUGAAUUUUAUUAGAGGCUUAUAAGUUAUCUUACUUAUCUUAAUCAUUGUUAAAUAAUCUAGCUAUCUCAUCUAUUCAUUAUUAUUAUUAAAGGUUGAUAUGUUGAAGACCAAGUUUGGUUUUUGAUGAAGCUUUUAACUAUAAAGAGGAGCAGAAUUUAGAUGCAGCUUUGAAGAGGUAAGUAAUCUUAUAAAUUCCCACAAGAAAACACUAACUAAUAUGAAAAAAAAAUAGUUUCCAGGGUGAAGGUGUUGGGGACUUUUUUUUUUUGCUUCUUUUAUUUUAAGCCAUCAUUUUAACGGUGUGGGGGGUUAGGCUUGACCCCUACUAUGUCUACAACAUCCAAAAAGUUACAAAAGCAGAGGGGACAUGGACCUAACCUCUGAUAGAGAACAACGAGGAUAAACUAAACAAUCUACGGUAAGACUAAGAUGACAUAGACUUUCAUACUAUAAGCAAAAUACAUUGGUUCAACUAACAAAAAAAAUUACAUUUGUUGUAUCUUCUCCUUAUGCUAAAGUUGCCACUUAUCUAGUAGAAAUAGUCCCUUCACCUCAGAAGAAUUGUGUGUGGUGGAUUGAACAUUAAGGGCAUAUAUGAAAAGAUAGCUAAUAUAACGCUAAAGGUAUAUAUGAACUGAUUGUAUAACGGAAAGCAAUACUAGACCUUUAAUUUUCGAUAAUAUAGGAGUAAAUAUGACUUUUUUUCGUAUUGGUUUAUUCUAUUAGGUACUUCCCUGAUGGAAUUGAUAUAUACUUUGAGAAUGUUGGAGGUAAAAUGCUUGAUGCAGUUCUUGUGAAUAUGAAACUUCAUGGUCGUAUUGCUGUGUGUGGAAUGAUUUCACAAUACAACCUUGACAAGACUGAAGGAGUGCACAACUUGUUUUGCCUCAUCGCGAAACGAAUCCGUAUGGAAGGAUUUUUUGUUUUUGAUUACUAUCAUCUUUAUCAUAAAUAUCUUGAAAUGAUCAUUCCACAAAUAAAGUCUGGUAACAUUGUGUAUGUGGAAGACAUAGCUGAAGGUUUUGAAAGUGCUCCUAGUGCUCUAGUUGGUCUCUUCUCUGGUCUCAAUGUUGGAAAGCAAGUUGUGAUGAUUUCAUGUGAAUGAAUGGAUUUGGAUCUUUUCCAUUUUCUCUCAAGUUUUUACUUGAAAGGAAAGAUAUUGUGUCAUGGUUAAAUACUUAAAUACGCAAACAUUUCUCAUGUAUUUACUAAUUCUCUGUAUGGUUUGAAAUAUUUAGUCAUUAAUUGAUAAUUUCAUACUAGAUUUCAAGUCAGUUGUACCUAAGUACAUGUAUUUUUGCUACUAGAUACAUUCUGAAAUGCAGAUACAUAGGAAGAGAGGGAGUGAGAGAGGAGAAGGAGAGAUGAGAGAGGCGAGAGGCAAGCAAAAGAGUUAGUGUAUCCCAGAUAUAUGCAAAUUACACUAGAUAAUCUGAGAUAUCAUAUACAAUUCAUAAACAUUCUGAAAUACAGAUACAUAAGGAGAGAGGCGAGCGAGAGAGGGAGAGAGGCGAGCAAUAUAAGAGAUAUGAGUGAGAGAUUCAGUGUUUCCAGAUACAUAUAAAUUAUGCUUGAAUACAGUAUAUCAGAAAUAAAUUGGACCUAAUUUUAAUUAAUAUAUCCAAGAUACAUAUAUUUGGAUGUGUCGCAUACAUGCGUUUGGGAACUGACACAAAUAAUACUUUCAAAGAGGCACAUAAUUAGACUCUAAACUAAAGAAAUUCUUAUUAUUUGCCCUUGAACUUAUUUAGGCAAAUAAAAGGUCGGAAGAGAUUUAAGAUUGCGAGAUUAAUAAUAAUUUAUAAAAUUAAAUAUAUAAUAUAGUAUUAAUUAUCUAAAUCAUAAAAAAGAUUUAUUUUGAUUAACUAAAUCUUAGUCAUUAAAUUUUACUUAUAUCAAUUUAGGGGGGGGAAAUGAAGAGGAGUCGGAUCCAGAUAUAUUCUUCAACAACUCUUGAUUUACAAAGUGAGAAAUGGCAGAGGAAGUGAUGAACAACAAACAGAUCAUUCUAAAACAUUAUGUGGAAGGUUACCCUAAGGAAUCUGAUAUGGAAUUUAAGAAUAAUAACAUUAAAUUGAAUGUUCAAGAAGGUACUAAUGUUGUUGUUUUGAAGAAUCUUUACUUGUCUUGUGACCCUUACAUGCGUUCACGCAUGAGCAAACUUGAGGGUUGCUAUGUUCAAUCCUUCACUCCUGGCUCAGUAAGUCGUUCACUUAUUUUAUUGAGUCGCCCUUAUAAAUAACGAUGUUGGAUUUAUCGAUGUAAAUUUUAUGUUUCCUUCGCCAUGUUAUGAUUGUGGAUUAUUUUUCCUUAAUUAACAUACAAGCAUUUCUAGUUAUUGUUGAAACAAUUUACAAGUGAGUUUAAAUUUCCCAUGCAAUUGUGUAGACCUUGGAUGUUUUUUAUUUAACAUUAUAUAGGGGUUUUGGUAAUGAUGAGUAUAUUUUUUUAGAAAAUGAAUGAGUUUCAUAUAUAUUUUCUUAUAUUUAAUAUGCGCAAGUAAAAAAUAUUUGUGUAUAAUCUAGAUAAAUACUAUGUCAAGUAGGCGUGUGCAGGGGCGGAGCCACGUAGGCUCCAGGGUGUCCAAUUGGACACCCUUCGUACGAAAAAUUAUACUACAUAUACAUGUAAAUUUUUGACUUUAUAUUGGUAUAUAUAGAAUUUGGACCCCCUGAAAUAACAAAGUGAUGCGCAGUGGAGUUGGCAAUAGCCUGUGCAAUCCUACUCUUUGUCUUGGUUCGAAUCCCCGCAGGGAUUUUUUCUUUUUCUGUAAUUAUUUUUACUUCUUAAAUUCAAUCAAGUAAAUAAACAUGCGUAAUUUAAACAUAAAAGUUCAGUAGCUUGGUGGUUAAUAGUAUCAUGAAGGUCUCCAAGACCCAAGUUCGAAUCCCUCCUCUACUAACUAUUUUUUUUCAAUUAAAAUUGAAUCAUUUCCCUAAAUUUUAGUACCUUUUCCUUGUAGAAUAAGAUUUCCUUAAAUUUAAUACUUUUUCUUGUGGAUUUUUUUCAAUUAAAAUUGAAUUAUUUACUUAAAUUUUAAUACAUUUUCCUUGUAGAAUAAGAUUUCCUUAAAUUUAAUACUUUUUCUUGUGGAUUUUUUUCAAUUAAAAUUGAAUUAUUUCCUUAAAUUUUAAUACAUUUUCCUUAUGGAAUAAGAUUUCCUUAAAUUUUAAUACUUUUCCCUUAUGGAAUAAGGUUUUCUUUCUCUAUAAAUAGGAGACUCAUUUACCCAAAUAUCACAAUAUUAUUAAGAAUAGAAUCUCAAUAAUUCUCUCUUUGUUUUUUCUUCUCGUUCUCUUAUUUUAUAACAAAAACAAAAAACUUAAUAUUUUAGUUUCAAGUUUCAAUAGACAUGAAGAAUUAUUAUAAUAGAGUACCAAAAAAAAGUUCGAUAUGGAAUUUAAGAAUAACAACAUUAAAUUGAAACAAUUUACAAGUGAGUUUAAAUUUACCAUGUAAUUGUGUAGACCUUGGAUGUUUUCUAUUUUAACAUUAUAUAUCUAGGGGGUGUUUGGUAAUGAUGAGUAUAUUUUCUUAGAAAAUGAAUGAGUUUCAUAUAUAUUUUCUUAUAUUUAAUACGCGUAAGUAAAAAAUAUUUGUGUAUAAUCUAGAAUACUAUGUCAGGUAGGCGUGUGGGAUAUAUACUGUUUCCCGAUGGGGAUGAGAGUGUAGAUAAAGUGUGUUAGAGAAUGGGGAGGACACAACUGAAGUGGAAUUUCAUUUGUGAAACUUAUUUUCCUACUUCCAGGCAGGGGCGGAGCCAACCUUCUGUUAGGGGUUCAUCUGAACCCCCUUUGACAAAAACAUUACUAUUUAUACAUGAUUAAAAUUAUUUUUUAUGUAUAUAUAAUAGAUGUCGAACCCCCUUCAGUUAGUUCGUGUGUUUAUUUCUUCAGCUAUUGAACCCCCUUAUUAAAAAUCCUAGGUCCGCCACUGCUUCCGGGAUAACUUUUACUAUACGAACAUGAAAAAAUUAUUGGCCAUACGAGUUUGAUAUAGCCCAUUUGAUACCUUCGUAUCCGAGUUCUCAAAAUCUCACUUCAAAGGUGUUGAGUUGGAAUCCCAUUCUAACUAACGAUUCUUGUGGUUCCAGAGGAUCCAACUACAGGAGAACCCAGGAACUCGAAGGGCUCCCCCCCCCCCCCACCUGUUCCGCCCAACUCUUUGGUCUUAAGAACGCUGGCUUAUUGAACAGGGUUCUAUGGUCGGUCCGUGACCCCCGGAUGCCAAAGUCAUCCUUGGGUGAUCUCUUAGUUCCUACGGGGUGGAGAUGCUGGGGUUGGUCCAAGGAUUUUCCUUCCUUUUCUUUUGCCGCAUUUCUCUCAAAGGGUUGAAGGGAGAUAGUGCAUCAAGUUGUUUGCAAGGGCCAACUUGAUCCUAUUCCCCAGGGAUCUCCGAUUAGGGAACCCUGGGAGAGAAAAAUGUUUCCACUGCGCACCCUAUUUCAUUUUUCAUUUCUUGUUCAAGAACUCUUAGAUGUUAGAAACAUUGAGGUUAAGUGAACUUCAUUCUCCCAACUGAAUGUUUAUUCCUUAUGUAUAUAUGAUAUGAAUGGAUUAACAAUUUGUCCUAUGAUAAUGUUUCUCAUAAGUACUUUUCUUUUCUGUUAUAUUAUAGCCUAUCACAGGAUGUGGAGUGGCUAAAGUUUUGAAGUCUGGUGAUUCAAAUUUUCAAGAAGGGGUAGUGGUGAUUUUGGUGGUGGAGAAGAUAGGUAUGUUCCAUUUGAGGUGGAGAAUGGUUCAUCGAGUCAUCGAGGAUCUAUCAAUGAUGAUAUUGAAUGUGGUGAUAGUGAUGAUGAUGAUGAUGAUGAUAAUCGCUCAGCUUUCUAGGAUUACCAUGACUCACCACAGCUAGUUUCAAAGAAUGGUGUUGGACAAUUUGCAAAGAUGUUAGGUUGUUGUGUUGUUGGUAGUGCUGGAAAUAAACAAAAGGUAAGUACUUAAGCAUUUCAUUCUUGAAUUUUAUUAGUGGCUUAUAAGUUAUCUUACUUAUCUUAAUUAAUCAUUGUUAAAUAAUCUAGCUAUCUCAUUUAUUCAUUAUUAAUUAAAGGUUGAUAUGUUGAAGACCAAGUUUGGUUUUGAUGAAGCUUUUAACUAUAAAGAGGAACAUGAUUUAGAUGCAACUUUGAAGAGGUAUGUAAUCUUAUAAAUUCCCACAAGAAAACACUAACUAAAAUGGAAAAAAAAUAGUUUCCAGGGUGAAGGUGGUUGGGGACUUUUUAAUUUUUUUUUUUUAACCCAUCACCUUAACGGUGUGUGUGUGUGUGGGGGGGGGGGGCUUGACCCCUACCAUGUCUAUAACAUCCAAAAAGUUACAAAAGCAGAGGGAGACAUGGACCUAACCUCUUGAUAGUGAACAACGAGGAUAACCUAAGAUGACAUAGACUUUCAUACUAUAAGCAAAAUACGUUGGUUCAACUAACAAAAAAAAUUACAUUUGUUGUAUCUUCUCCUUAUUCUAAAGUUUCCACUUAUCAAGUAGAAAUAGUCCCUUUCACCUUAGAAUUAGAAUUGUGUGUGGUGGAUUGACAUUUCAUUUUGGUUAAAAUGAAUGGGAUUAAUGAUAAAUGAAGAUUUGAACCACUUCUGUAACAUUAAGGGCAUAUAUGAAAAGAUAGCUAAUAUAACGCUAAAGGUAUAUAUGAACUUAUUGUAUAACGGAAAAGCAAUACUAGACCUUUAAUUUUCGAUAAUAUAGGGGUAAAUAUGACCUUUUUUCGUAUUGGUUUAUUCUAUUAGGUACUUCCCUGAUGGAAUUGACAUAUACUUUGAGAAUGUUGGAGGUAAAAUGCUUGAUGCAGUUCUUGUGAAUAUGAAACUUCAUGGUCGUAUUGCUGUGUGUGGAAUGAUUUCACAAUACAACCUUGACAAGACUGAAGGAGUGCACAACUUGUUUUGCCUCAUCGCGAAACGAAUCCGUAUGGAAGGAUUUCUUGUUUUUGAUUACUAUCAUCUUUAUCCUAAGUAUUUGGAAAUGAUCAUUCCACAAAUAAAGGCUGGUAAUAUUGUGUAUGUGGAAGACAUAGCUGAAGGUUUUGAAAAUGCUCCUAGUGCUCUAGUUGGUCUCUUCUCUGGUCUCAAUGUUGGAAAGCAAGUUGUGAUGAUUUCAUGUGAAUGAAUGGAUUUGGAUCCUUUCCAUUUUCUCUCAAGUUUUUACUUGAAAGGAAAGCUAUUGUGUCAUGGUUUAAAUACUUAAAUACACAAACAUUUCUAUCAUGUAUUUACUAAUUCUCUGUAUGGUUUGAAAUAAUAAGUCAUUAAUUGAUAGUUUCAUACUAGAUUUCAAGUCAGAUAUACCAAGGUACAUGUAUUUUUGCUACUAGAUACAUUCUGAAAUGCAGAUACAUAGGAAGAGAGCGAGUGAGAGAGGAGAAGGAGAGAUGAGAGAGGCGAGAGGCAAGCGAAAGAGUUAGUGUAUCCCAGAUAUAUGCAAAUUACACUAGAUACAUGUAUCUGAGACUAGAUACAUGUAUUUGAGAUAUCAUAUACAAUUCAUAAACAUUCUGAAACAAAGAUACAUAAGGAGAGAGGUGAGCGAGAGAGGCGAGCAAGAUAAGAGAUAUGAGUGAGAGAGUCAGUGUUUCCAGAUACAUAUGAAUUACCCUUGAAUACAGUAUAUCAGAAAUAAAUUGGACCUAAUUUUAAUUCAUAUAUCCAAGAUACAUAUAUUUGGAUGUGUCGCAUACAUGUGUUUGGGAACGGAAAUCUGACACAAACAUUAAUUUCAAAGAUGCACAUAAUUAGACUCUAAACUAAAGAAAUUCUUAUUGUUUUCCCUUGAACUUAUUUAGGCAAAUAAAAGGUCGAAAGAGAUUUAAGAUUGCGAGAUUAAUAAUAAUUUAUAAAAUUAAAUAUAUUAUGUAGUAUUAAUUAUCUAAAUCAUAAAAAAGAUUUAUUUUGAUUAACUAAAUCUUAGUAAUUAAAUUUUAUUUAUAUCAAUUUAGGAAAAAUAAAAUGAAGAGGAGCCGGAUCCAGAUAUAUCCUUGGACAACUCUUGAUUCACAUAAAUUGAAGUGAGAAAUGGUAGAGGAAGUGAUGAACAACAAACAGAUCAUUCUAAAACAUUAUGUGGAAGGUUAUCCUAAGGAAUCUGAUAUGGAAUUUAAGAAUAACAACAUUAAAUUGAAACAAUUUACAAGUGAGUUUAAAUUUCCCAUGUAAUUGUGUAGACCUUGGAUGUUUUUUUAUUUAACAUUAUAUAGGGGUGUUUGGUAAUGAUGAGUAUAUUUUCUUAGAAAAUGAAUGAGUUUCAUAUUUAUUUUCUUAUAUUUAAUACGAGUAAGUAAAAAAUAUUUGUGUAUAAUCUAGAUAAAUACUAUGUGAGGUAGGCGUGUGGGAUAUAUAUUGCUUUCCGGUGGGGAUGAGAGUUUAGAUAAAGUGUGUUAGAGAACGGGAGGAGGACACAAUUGAAGUGGAAUUUCAUUUGUGAAACUUAUUUUCCUACUUCCAAGAUAACUUUUACGAUAUGAACAUGAAAAAAUUACUGGGCAUACGAGUUUGAUACCUUCGUAUCCGAGUUCUCAAAAUCUCACUCAAAAGGUUCUGAGUUGGAAUCCCAUUCUAACUAAGGAUUCUUAUGGUUCUGGAGGAUCCAACUACAUGAGAACCAGGAAUGGAGGGCUUCACCCCCCUCCCCCCCUUCCGCCUGACUCUUUGGUCUUAAGAACGUUGGUUUUAAGAAUGAGUCAUUGCCCUUCUCCGACCCUGACUGCCCAACCUUAGAGCGGACAGCUAAUGCGUUCCACUUAUUGAACAGGGUUCUAUGGUCGGUUUGUGACCCCCGGAUGCCGAAGCCAUCCUUGGGGUGAUCUCAUAGUUCCUACGGGGUGGAAAUGAUGGGAUCGGUUCAUGGAUUUUCCUUCCUUUUCUUUUGUUGCAUUUCACUCAAAGGGUUGAAUGGAGAUAGUGCAUCAAGCUUUUCGCUAGGGCCAACUUGAUCCUAUUCCCCAGAGAUCUCAGAUGAGAGAUAUCUGGGAGAGAAAAAUGUUUCCUCCGCGCACCCUAUUUCAUUUUUCAUAUCUUGAUAAUGUUUCUCAUAAGUACUUUUCUUUUCUAUUAUAUUAUAGCCUAUCACAGGAUGUGGAGUGGCUAAAGUUUUGAAGUCUGGUGACUCAAAUUUCCAAGAAGGGGUAGUGGUGAUUUUGGUAGUGGAGAAGAUAGGUAUGCUUCAUUUGAGGUGGAGAAUGGUUCAUCGAGUCAUCGAGGAUCUAUCGAUGAUGAUAUUGAAUGUGGUGAUAGUGAUGAUGAUGAUGAUGAUAAUCGCUCAGCUUUCUCGGAUUACCAUGACUCACCACAGCUAGUUUCAAAGAAUGGUGUUGCUGAAAUUGAUGUGUUGAAGACAUUUUUCUUAUACUUGUAUGGUAUUGUGUCAGCUUGUUCUUGACAUUGUAAGUAUUGAAUUUCGUCGCGUUUUGUCCUUUUUUCAUUGAUGUGUAUUGAAUUAUUUGUAGUAAUGAUUAUAUAUUAGAGAUUCAUAUGCCAGUAGAAAAUGUCGAGAACUUUUUAUUUCGUAAAAUGUUGGCCUAAGAUGAAUUGAGAUGGGGAACAUGAUCAAUGAGGACUGAGACGUAGUAGUUAUUGUUGUUGUUUUUGUGUAUUGAAGCUUCAGAAAUUUUGUAGUCAUUCUUAUACGUUUACUUUAGGUCCUGUGCUUUCUAGGCGUCAUUUCGUCCUAUAAAUUAGAGAUUCCUAUGCAAGUAGGUAAUAUAGAGAACGUCUAGUACUGUUCAUGAUUAUGUUUAUUUCGUAAAGUGUUGUCCUGAGGUGAAUUUAAGUGGGGAACUUGAUCACAUAUAGACGAUCCCAGCUUGUUUUAGACUGAGUGUUGUUGUUUAUUGAAGCUUAAAGGAUGUUUUUGCUCUUCUUAUGUGUUGACAUGGGGAAUAGAUACAAUAAAAGUCUUCUUGGGGAUAAACUAGGGAAGUUAAUUCCCUGCGCCUUUACUGAUGAACACUGUGCACUUUGCGAUGCAAGCUGUUUUGUCCAAGGCCAUUACCGGGUUUUGGCAUCAAAGAUUUCAACCUACAGUGAUGAUGUCUUGGAGAGACUAUUCUUUGAAAGGUAACAUUAAGACUAAUAAUUCCCUUUUUUCUUUGGUUAUGAUUGAGUAGAAAGCUAAAAGUAUUUGGAAGGCAUAUGAUGAUAUAGAGUAGGAAAUAUGUGUACAAUGUGUUUAUGCACUUCUCCAGUGGAUUUGUUUACGAAACAUAGAAAGACGAGAGUAGGAUUAUUAACGAGCUUGAAUGUAUGUGGAUCUUAUGAGUUGACAGCUUCAAUUAGCCAUAGUUUGUGACUUAGUUAAGCCCACAUGUUACACUUAUUAGCUUAUUACUGAUAUAUCGACAAUGGUUUCAAAUGAACUUUUAUGUACACAAAUAGAGGCAGUUCCUGUUACGUACGAGAAUCUCAAUUUUUAUCCAAGUUAGUUCUUCAUGAGUUCAAGACAUAUAAUCUCUUAUGUCUUUCAUUUCUAACCUUUAUGUAGGAAUCUUUUUCCACGAUAUCUUAAUGUCGUCUAUAAAUACUGGCUUUCAAUAUUAUCCUGUUAAUUGUUAUGUUCACUUCUUAACAACUAAUACUAUAGACGGCCUUUGCCUUUCACAGUUGUACCGACAGCUCUUACAACAGCAAUGAAUGUGAACCUCAGCAAUGCAUCCCUUGUUUUCAUCUCAGUCACAUUUGCCACUAUGGUGUGUAACUCUUUCUCCUUAAUAUUUUUUCGAUCAUACAGUUUGUGUCAAUACUGAUAGACUGCAAUUUUUUCUUCAAAAAUUGAGCUCUGAGAAAGCAUGUUUGUUAAACUCACGACCUUAACAUUCGUCGAGGGCUCUAGUAUUUGCAUUUAUGUACCUUGAAAUUUAGCAGUCACAACCCUCUGCCACUAAAGUAAGUGUGAUUGUCAAAGCCUUCAAGGGCCACUCAAAUAAUCGUCUAUUAUCGAUAAGAAUAACAGAUUUCUUACUUUGUUUUCUCCUUCCUUAUUCUGAUACGAACUCUCUGCCCAUCUUUCUCCUAUUCUUCGCAUUUGCUUUCAGGUACUACUUUUAACCACUGAUCUCUUAUGUUUUAUUGUGCUUUUUUAUGGGGGGUAGCGGGCCAGAAGCAUCGAAUUUCUACUUGAUCCUUUGUUAUAGAUGUACAUCCAACAAUAUUAUUCAUAAAUGCAACUUUUUUUUCCAUAUGAGGACUUAAUAGAAUGUGAUUGUUAAUUCGUUAUGGACUAAAAACCUGAAAGCGUCUAUGAAAUAACUAUCUUUGAUGAAUACGAUACAUUUGACAGGGCUCAUAUCUAAGCUGAAUAAAUGGCCUCAAUUAUUUGUGUAAGGUUGGAGUCUCCAAGUGUAAAGCUGCUGGGGAUCAUCUUGGUCAUUUCUUGUAUUAUUUAUUCUCAUUUAUGAAGAAGUAUUCAUAAUUUUCAUCUUCAUCUGUCAUUCAUAAAUCAUAUCCGUAACCUUCACUUGUGCACCAGAUAAAACGUUUACUUUAUCGUACAAUAUUUUCUCGUUUCACAACUAUCAUUGACAAUUUGGAUAAACUUAGGUAAUCUUCUUAAUGAGUGUUUUCGUAAGCUUUAUCGCCUUGUUGAUAACUGUGUCGUUUGUUAAUUUACAUCCGUUUGGUAGAUAAGUCUGACUCUAUUUUAUGAUAAUGCAGUUGCAAAGGUGACAGAAUUUGAGUUUUGGGGGUUUGUCUUUGUUAUGCUUGCUGCAGUUAUGUCUGGAUUUCGCUGGACUAUGACUCAGAUUCUUCUGCAGGUUGUAUUUUGUGACACUCGUUGCAUUGUUAUCGUUGAUUUCUUGUUCCAUUGUUUUGUCAAUAGUAUGUUUGCUUACUUUGUGUAUUUUCUGUUUGUUUUCCCAUAUCCAACUGGUUGUGCUGAACAUAAAACUGGCAUAAAGAAAGAAGCCUAUGGUAAGGACUAUGAACAACUCUUGGCAAAUUUUAAAUAUUCUGGAAAUGUUAUUAUCACCAUCAUCAUUAUUAUUAGCAGUCGUAGCAGCAGCGACUGCACCACUACUUAGACUACAUCAAAUCUGAUCUUGUUUUAAAAGGGCAGUCCGAUGCACGAAGCAUCUCACAUUCACGCAGGGUCCAAGGUAGGGCCACACCUCAAGAGAGCAUGAUGUAGGCAGCCUACCCUGAUACAAAUCAGCGGCUAAUUCCAUAGCUCAAACCCUGCUUUGUCUUAGUCCUAGUUUUGACCAAAUUAAUAUGUUGAUUCGUUAUUUGUUUUAUAGUUUGUGAAUAAAUUGUGUAAUGAAAUGCAUGCUUUGGUUAUUGCAGGUCUAAAAAAUCCACUCACACUAAUGAGCUAUGUUACUCCAGUAAUGACUCUUUCAACUGCUGUGUUGUCCCUUAUUUUUGAUCCGUGGCACGAAUUCAGACACACCAAUUACUUUGAUACGUCAUGGCAUAUAGCUAGAAGUUGUUUGUUGAUGCUUUUUGGCGGAACUUUGGCUUUUUUUAUGGUAUGUAUGUGUCUAAGCACUGGUAUCAGUUCAAUUUGUGGAUUUUCCAUCUCAUAGUGAAAAUGAAGCCUUCUAAUAGGCUUAGUUCGUUUAGAAAUGAUUAUCAAUUAUUAAAGAACUUGGACGAACAUAACGAUAACUUCUUCAUGCUUACCUAGCAACGUUUGUUUACUGCAGGUGUUUGUUCCUAGCACUUCAGUCGUCCUAAAUCAAAACGACUGUAUGUUUACUUAAGCUAUAGUAGUUCAAUCAAAAUUGUUGAUAUCGAGCCAUUUUUAGUCGAAAACGUGACUUUGGCAUGGUUUAAUGGCAUGUGUUGAAGUCGUAAUUUUUCCAUUUUCCUUACUCAGGUAUGACAAAAUUACAUAAAGGUAGCACAAGUGAAGAUGAAACUGGAUCACCAUUAGGAUAUGCAGCUACCAAGUAUGUUAUACUUGAAGAAAUGGAAGAUCAAGACCAUGGUCCUUGAAGUAUUAUUACAUAUGACAUUCCAACUACGCUGCACUCUGAUGGCGUUUUGUAUUUGCAACGGAAGGAAAGGGACGAAAAAAUGCAUAGAUUUUCUAGCAAAUGAAGGUCAAUCGUAUACAUGAGGAAGAUUUCUUAAUCAAGGAAGAUGAGGAAGUUGAGAUUUUUCGCCUAGUAGACUUUAAGACAUGUUGCUUAUAGAAGAUAUUAGGACUUGAAAAAGAAACUUACAAAAAUGUUACUGGUUAAGAACUAACUACUUAAAUACACUACAUUACAAUAUUCGGAAUUUUACCAGAUUUUGGUGCAUCGAGAAAAUAUGUACUAGGAAUAAAAUAAAGAUUAUUUCGCUCGAUCUAGGUAUCGCCUAUAAGUUUCUCAAAAGAUUAUUUUACAUGACAUGUUUAAUAUUACAAAAUUAAAGUGUAUUUUGAAACAUUAUACAUAUUUUUAGUUUAAGAUCAUGAGAUUUUAAAAGUCGUCUUUACUUUCUUAUAUCAAUAUUAUGUAUAACCAAGACAUACAAAUUAAAAUUAAGGGAGUAACUUAAUUAGUACUAAUUUUUUUUUAAAAAACAAAUUUACCACUAGACAGUGUCUAGUGGUAUUUUAUUAAACAUAAAAAAUAUCAACAGGAACAAGUACAAGCAAGGGGGCUAGGCCUUACCUUACUAAUCCUAAUAAAGUACCUAACAAGCAUGAAGAAAAUAAGAGCUAGAGAGAACUAAAUAUUUUUUUAUUAUCACAAAGUUUGUAAUACACUCAAUGAUGAUAUUACAAAUGAGGAUGCUUAAAUAAUGUAAAAGUAUGUCAAUCAAGAAGCAAGUUGAGUUACCAGCCUAAAACUUUCUAUUACUAAAGCAUGAAUUAAAAAAGAUUGAUUAUCCAUCAAAAGUAACUUGAAGUAUUUUUCUCUUGUCUUCUUCUUCAAACCUAUCCAACAACACUUGAUGAUUCAUACCUUCUUUAUGGAUUUAUUGGAUCUAGUUGAACCUAUUGAUACUGUCAAAUGGUUUUGCUUUGCCUGUCACAUUGGUAGGUGCCUUGGAACAAACUCCUCAGUCAUUUUACCGUCCCAACUAUGUUGCCUUCCAUAUGUCUUCUUUUUGCUUUUGUUGCUUCCACUUCUUUGUUGCCUAGGUGAUAUAUCCCCUUCCUUAGCCACUCUAUCAAAGCAAAUGUCCAACAUAUUGUCUUCCUCAUCUUCAUCAAGAGAAUCCUCACCCAAAUUCACUCCAUCUUCAUCAAGAGAAUCCUCACCCAAAUCAAUUGUAUUUGACACUAAGACACUCGACUCAUUGUUCCUUGCAAGCACACAUUUAGGCACAAAUACAAGAGCUUCUGGACUUAAUUUGCUAUUUAAAGCAGGUGGUGAGACUUGUUUUUCUUGGAUCAAAUCGUGGUCAUUCUCUGUUAACCUUAUUUGAUUUGCUUGACACUAUUCUUUUAGUACUGGAUACAUGACAAUUCCAACACAAAUGACAAACCCAAUAACACAGAUGAAAGGACAACUAAAUUUCUUUUUAAAAACUAUUUUAAAUUACUCUAUUAAUUAUUCUAAUAUAUAAUUUUUUUUUAUCUCAAUAUAUGUGAUACUGAUAAAUUUUCGAGAAUACUCACAACUAUUGAAUUCCACAUGCAGUUUGUGUGGCUGUGUGCGGAAAGCUCUAUAUGUCUCCAUCUUUUUUAUUUCUUUUUCUUUAUACUUGAAAAUGUCGUUUGUUAGGUGGGAUAAGACGUGAUACUUUUGAGUUACUCUAGAGAUAAAAUUUAUUUCAUUAGUUGAGAUAUUUAAUGAGAAAAUUAGUUAUCUCACUAAUAUAUAUAAAAUAACUUAUUUUAUUAUAGUAAAAUAAAUAAUUUCAAAACCGACUUAUGCUUCUAAUUAAAUGAAAAAUAAAAUUAUUUAUAUUUUAUUUUGAAAUUAUUAUCUCGUUUUCUUGGUACCAAUUUGAUAUGAACCGUUAAGCUUUUCCUCUUCAAUUAUUUGGGAGCACGCUUAGUUCUUAUUUUUUGUAUUAUAUAGUUUUAAUAAAUAGUGAUUUUAGUGAUAAUUUCAGUUUUAUUUUAUGUGUUAUUUGACUAUACACAUUUAAUCUUAAAUUAUUAAAGUUGGGGUUUUGAUGCCUGAAGUUAACAAAAGUUAACUACAUUUAUUUAAUAAAAUGAUUAUUUGAAAAUAUUAAAAAUAGAAUAAAUGGUUGAUGAUUCUAAAUACUUGAGUGAAUAGAUUUACUCCAGUCCCUUAGCAAAAUUAAAAAAGCAAGUCAUAUCAUCUUCCAUUCUAAGUAUUCGAUUAAAUUCCUAGCUAAAACGAUAGUCUAGUUUUAGAAUUUAAUUACUCAAUCACUUUUUUGUUUGAAGACAAGGUUAGAAAAUUCGCAAAAUCACACUCUUUAACAUCUUGACACAAGCCUACUCUUCGUGGGAUCAACCCAAAUUUUUAUAAAAUAAGCAAAAAAAUUCAUAACAAAAAUAUAAUAUAUUAUCAUAAAAUUAUUUUUAAAAUCUACAAUUUUUAUUGAUUGAACUUUAGUUUAAUAAAAAAAAUUAUAAUUAAAUAUUACUCCCUCCAUCCUAUUUUAUGCGGCACUUUUUGGAUUUCGAUAUUCAAACAAAUCUAUCUUUGACAGUAAAUUUUUCAUAGAUCUUUUAAACAUUUUGAAUUAUCAAUUAUUGUGAAUUUUUGUACUUUCUACAUAGUUUACAAAUAUAUAAAUUACAUUUUAAAAAAUUGCAGAUUUCGUACGCAAAUUUUCGGUCACACUUAAACUGUUUGACUCUCGAAAAAUGAAAAUUGUCACAUAAAUUGGGACAGGAAAAUAAUAAUAUUAAUAUCUAGCAAUAUUUAAUAAUUUACCGGUUGGUACACCUAACAACCUCGCACAUGAAUAGCAACAAUAUUUUAAUAAAAGAUCCGUACACAUUUAUGUAAUCUGACUGAUUUGAAUUAUGCGAAAUAAAAUUUAUCUUAUAAAUUGAGAUAUUUUAUGAGAUAAUUAAUUAUUUUACUACAUAUAAAAAAAUAAUUUAUCUCACCAUUAUAAAUUAUAUAAUUUAAGAACUAACUAAUACUCCUUAUUAUAUUAAAUAAAAAACAAUUUUAAAUUUUAGAUCAAAAUAAUUACCUCUCUUUUUCCUCUUCAAUUAUUAGGGUCACGUUUAAACGACUUGCACAACAUUUCUAGCUGUAAUUGGUAGGUAAAGUCCUUCAGUGAACAGCUAAAAAAAACAAAAAAAAAAAGAAUAAAGCAUAGAACAUGUGGGAAAAAAGAUAUUAUUCCCUCCAUAUUAUUGUGUAGGUGACAUCUUUUCACUUUGACACUAAAUUUAAAAAAGAAAAGAUUUUGCAAUUUAUAAUUUAAAAUAAUUUAUAGUUAUCUAAAUAUCUAUGACUCGAUUAUUUUAUUACAUAAGUUUUAAAAAAUGUUCUUUCUUACUUUCUUAAAUUUAAUGUUGAUUUAAACUAAUCUGGUCAAUUUAUGUAGCACUUUUCAUUUUUUUGAUAGUCAAAUGGUCUAAUAAAAAAUUUGUGCAUGUGAUCUUCAAAUUUUUUGAAAUUAAAAUUACAUAUUUAUAAACUACGUAAUAGUACUAGAAAUUACAAAGAUAUAUAAAAAAAUUUAUAAUCAAAGAUAAAAUUGUUUGAAUAACAUUUAAUUAUGUGAAUACUCCCUCCGUCCUAUUUUAUGCGGCAUUUUUUGGAUUUCGAUAUUCAAACAAGUCUAUCUUUGACAGUAAAUUUUUCAUAGAUCUUUUAAACAUUUUGAAUUAUCAAUUAUUGUAACUUAUAGUACUUUCUACAUAGUUUACAAAUAUAUAAAUUACAUUUAAAAAAAUUAUAGAUUUCGUACGCAAAUUUUUGGACACACUUAAACUGUUUGACUCUCGAAAAAUAAAAAUUGUCACAUAAAUUGGGACAGGAAAAUAAUAAUAUUAAUAUCUAGCAAUAUUUAAUAAUUUACCGGUUGGUACACCCAAUAACCUCGCACAUGAAUAGCAACAAUAUUUUAAUAAAAGAUCCGUACACAUUCAUGUAAUCUGACUGAUUUGAAUUAUGCGAAAUAAAAUUUAUCUUAUAAAUUGAGAUAUUUUAUGAGAUAAUUAAUUAUUUUACUACAUAUAAAAAUAUAAUUUAUCUCACCAUUAUAAAUUAUAUAAUUUAAGAACUAACUAAUACUCCUUAUUAUAUUAAAUAAAAAUCAAUUUUAAAAUUUUAGAUCAAAAUAAUUAUCUCUUUUUCCUCUUCAAUUAUUAGGGUCACGUUUAAACGACUUGCACAACAUUUCUAGCUGUAAUUGGUAGGUAAAGUCCUUGAGUGAACGGCUAAGAAAAAAGAAUAAAGCAAAUUAUUGCAGGUGACAUCUUUUACACUAUAUUUUAAAGCAAAUUAUUGCAGGUGACAUCUUUACACUUGACUAUUUUAAAACAAAAAAAAAAUUAAAAUUUAUAAUUUAAAAUAAUUUAUAGUUAUCUAAAUAUCUAUGACUCGAUUAUUUUAUUUCAUAAGUUUUUUAAAAAAAUCUUUCUUACUUUCUUAAAUUUAAUGUUGAUUUAAAUUAACUUGGUCAAUUUAUGUAGCAUUUUUCAUUUUUCGAUAGUCAAAUGGUCUAAUCGAAAAUUUGCGCAUGUGAUCUUCAAAUUUUUUGAAAUAAAAAUUAUAUAUUUAUAAACUACGUAAAAGUACUAGAAAUUACAAAGAUAUAUAAAAAAAAUUAUGAUCAAAGAUAAAAUUGUUUGAAUCUUAUGAAAGCAAUUAUAUUAUUAUCGGUGGUCGUAUUUGUACUACUAAGUCCGUGAUCACCUCCUUUCGCAUGUUAACUGCUUUUCAUUACUUGUACAUUUCAUAAUUUUUUAAAUACAUUAUACAUAUUUUUAAUUUACAAUUAUGAGGUUUUAAAAGUCGUAUUUACUUUCUUAAAUUAAUAUUCUGUCAAACUAAGACACAUAAAUUGAAAUUGAGGGAGUAACUUAGAGGGUGUUUGGAUUGAUUUAAAAAUUGAUAAAACGUAGUUUUAAGUCAGUUUUUUUACUUUUGAAAGUGUGACAAAUACAUAAGCUUGUUAAAAUACAAACCCAAUAAUUACAAGUUAUCUUUCUUUGAUCAAGUUAUAUAUACAUUACUUGUUCAUUUCAUUCUUUUUAGGACAAGUUAAGUUUGAGUACAUUUAACCAUGAACUAUUCAAUGCAAGUUAAUAUUUUGUCCAAAAACCUCAUUAAACCAUCAUUACCAACGCCACAACACCUUAAAAAUUACAAGUUAUCUUUCUUUGAUCAAGUGGUGGAUGUAAUACACUUACCUCUUGUUCUUUUCUAUCCUCAUUGUAGAAAUAACUCGAAAAAUGAAGAGCUCGAAGAGUCCUUUUCGAGGAUUUUAACACAUCUUUACCCUUUAGCUGGUCGAUUUUCUGAAGAUGAAUCGUCAAUUCUUUGUCUCGAUCAAGGUGUAAGUUAUAUAAAAGCAACGGUCAAUUGUAAGCUUGAUGAUUUCCUUCAACAAGCAAACAAAGACCCUGAUCUAGCAUUGUCAUUUUGGCCUCAAGGAACUAUGGAUGUGGACGAGACGAAUUUAUUCGUCACGCCAGUUAUGGUUGUGCAAGUCACAACAUUUGAAUGUGGUGGUCUAGCCCUAGCUAUUAGCCAUGCACACCCUGCUAUGGACGGAUCCACCACAUUCAAAAUCAUUUACGAAUGGGCUAAAGUGUGCAAAUUUGGUACUCCUUCUAAGGAGAUCAACUUCAUGAACUUCAAUUUAGGCACUCUUUUCCCUUACAAGAAAGAUCUAACAACCAUUCUUGAGCCUCCGGUUGACGAAGGCAAACGUCCAAACUCUAAGUUAAUUGCCAGAAAGUUUGUUUUUGAGGAAGAUGCAAUAUCGAGGCUCAGAGAAAAAUUUGACUCAACAACUGGCGAAGGUUUGAGUUUCAAACCUUCGAGAGUUGAGAUGAUUACAACACUUUUAUGGAGGUCACUUAUCCGUUCCACAGGAAGUACUUCACAUUUGAAACGGUCUGUAAUGUCAUUUCCACUUAACUUGCGUGGUAAAGUAGCAACUUUUCCUGAAAUUGCCAACUCUUUUGGGAAUCUUAUCAUCGAUAUUCCAAUAAAAUUUGAACACGACGAUGAAACAAAAAUGGAGUCGUUGCAUCACAUUGUAAAACUCAUAAAAGAGUCAGUUCAAGUGAUUAUCAGUAAAUGUGUCAAAGCUACUCCGGAUGAAAUAGUUUCUUUGGUUAUCGACUUAUACAAGGAUAGUUACGCCGGAUUAGAAUGGGGAGGAGACAAUGAAGUUGUGAAUUUUACAUGCGCAAGUUUAUGUAGGUUCCCCAUACAAAAAACUGAUUUUGGUUGGGGAAACCCAAGUUUAAUGCACUUUGGGUCAAGACAUAGCCAAGUUUUUUGGUUGUAUGAUACUGAAUGUGAGACUGGAAUUGUUGUGCAAAUGGAAUUGGAGGAAAAAUACAUGGAUAAACUUGCAUGUGACCAAGAUAUCAUGGAUUUUGUUAAAUUUUAGGGUUUAAUUUUCAUGUUCUUUCUUCAUUUAAUUUGUACUCCCUUUGUUUUAAUUUAAGUACGUGUGUUGCUAUUGCUUUUCUUUGGUUUAAUUUGUUUUGAAUAUAAAUAUCACUUUCUAUGAACACGCUUUGACUAUAAUUAAGUAGCAUUUCACUACAACAAAUGUGAUAUUUAGUUACGAAAUUAUUAGGUAAGAUACUAAAUUCGUCACUAAUUAUUCACCUUUUGUGACAACAAUUAUAUUUCGUGUUUAAAUGUAUGAGCAAAAUACUUUUAGUGACGAAACAUACAAUUUCGUAGCAAAGUUUUGUCCAUUUAAGUUUCCCACCAAAAAAAAGAUUGGCGCCAUUUAUUAAGAACUAUUAGUGACGCAUUUUAAGUUAUCAACGACAACUUAUUUUGUCACUAAUAAUGCAUCCAAUUUGUGACAAAUUAUUAUUUGUCUUAGAUGAGUUAUAAUUUUGGACACGAAGAUUUUUUUUUUACUAAAGAUAAGUUAUUGCAAUAGCGACAAAUUAGAAUUUGUAGUCAAAUGUUGUAAGCUUUAGCCACAAAAUUUAUAUUUAAUUGCUAUCUAAAUUUUUGUCACUAAUAAUAUAAUCAAUUAGUGACAAACAUUUUCUUUUCUCUAAUCAACUUAUGAUUUAGUGACAACAUACUUUUGUCACAUAAUAUGCAAUAUUUAAAAAGCAAAAAUUUAAAAUUUGCAGCUGAAUAAUUUUAUUAUUUUCUAUUUUUUUUUAGCUAAAUAUAAAAUAAUAUUUGAUUAGGCUUAUUAUUUACAAUUGCAAAUAGCAACUGACGAAUAUUUCUUUAAAGCGUUCUGUAUAGGUAACAACAAAAGAAAACUAUAGAAUGAUAUAAUGAUAUGAUGAUAACGUCAAAUUAUACCUUAAGAAAAUUCAAGUGCCGAUGCUAACAUAAAAUCUAAUGUGAGUGGGGAUUGUGAUAUGACAGAGAGCAAUUAUACAAAAGAUAACAUCGAUGGUAAGUUUAUUUUGCAAAUUUUUUAAAUAUUUUAUGGAUAUUUAAUUAACUAUUUUCUAUAAUGACUAAAAAUAAGUUUAAUUGUGGAGGUCUCAAGAACCCCAACUAUUUGAUUUUAAUAAAAUUAGGGAUAAGGGUCUGAAAAAUACCCCAACUUUGGUCGAAUUUGCUGUUGCGAUACUAAACUUUCAUGUGGACCUAUUACCUCCCUUAUGAUGUUUGAAUUUAGAUGCAUAUCUAAAUAUUAUGAUGGGAAUUUAGAUUAAGAUGUAUAAAUCUAAAUAUGCAUCUCAAAAUUGAGAUGUUUUAAAAUUUGAAUACUAAAUAAUUAUGAUUAUUAUAAAUAUAUUAGUAUGUAAAAUUUAUCUUUAUUUAUAAUACUAAUAAAAAAAUUAUUAAAAUGUGAACUUAAUCUAAUAAUAUAUCAAUAAUAGUUUUUUUAAAAAAAAUAAAUUAAUGGCAGUUAGUAGUGACGAUGCCUAGUUGUGGUGGUUGUGGCCUUGUGGGUGUGGAUACCCUGUUUUACCAAAGAUAUUUUUAAUUAAUUAAUUAAUUCAUUUUUCUUUUAACUUAAUCAAGUUUCGUGAAUUUCAAACAAAGUGAAAUAACUAUUUAAAUGUGUCAAAACUAUUUUUAUAAUUAUUGUUGGUGCUAUUUUGUUAUUUCAUUUACCAAAAUAUCCUAAUAUACUAUUAUAUAUUUUACAUAUAAUUUUAAGUAUUAAUUAUUUCAUUUUAUUAAUUUAAAAACUACUUUAUUUAUUAAAAAACCAAAAGUGAGUAUGUUUUUUAUUUUGUCAAAUUAAAGCCAACUGUGGUUUAAUUAUAUGAUCAGGACUCCACUAUUACUAAUAAUUACUUUAUUUUGCUAAAUCAAAGGAUUUCAUUAUUAAAUUAAUUAAUGAUUAUCUCAAUUUUACUACAUAUUGCCUUUUUCAUAAAUAUCUUCAAUUAUAAAUAAUUGAUUAAAUUUGAUUAUUUAAUCAAUAAUUGGUCACAAUUGCAACGUGAAUCGGUUAUGUUUGAAAGAAUUAUGGCUAUAACUUAAAAGAUGAUUGAUUAAUUUUUAAAUUUAAUUUGGGUCAUUUUCACUCUUAAAGAACAACUUUCAAUCUUAGCUCUUUCCCACGUCAACUUUAGUAAUGACCCUAAGAUGGACUGGUUUUGAUAAUUUGUCCCUUCUAAAUUUUUUAGUCUAAAAUGACCUCCGUAAUGGGUGAUCUUGAUUUUUCAACCCCGUUAAAUAUUAUUUUUUUCUUUUAUAAAAAAUCCUUUACUUUAGAAAAUUCUAACUUUUGCCCAUAAGACAAUUUUCAAGAUAUUUUAAGACAAUAAACCUUCUCAAUUGACAUGAAGUUCUGCCUAUCAACAAAAAUUAGAACUUAGGUAUGAUCAGACACGAUUUCUAACUUUUUUCCCCUUAAGACAUUCAAUCAAGACAUCUUAAAAUAUAAUUUGUUCAAUUCAAACUUCGAUUAAGGUAAAUUUAAUCUUUUAUUUUAAAAAAAAUACUAUUAUACAACAUAUAAAAUUAAUUCAAUAUGAUUCGAUAAUUUUAAAUUUUAUUUUGAUAUUUUGCAGUAUCCAUGAAACAUUGGCAACCAUAGUUGAUUCAACUUCGAUUUAUUUAUAGUCAUAUAAUAUAGAAUUAUGAUUUAUAUUUUUUUUAAAAUAAACAUAUAAACAAAUUAUAUCAUAUUUACACCUUACAAUCUUACGUAGAAAUAUAUGUUAAGGAAAUUACAAGCUACCUUUUUUGUGAAUCAAUAAUUUUGGUAUCUGUUUCAAUAUCAAAUAUUUUGUAGUCAAAAUUUAAACAUCUUCACAUUUAAUUUUGUACUAACAUUAGGUUGUAUGAUAUAUACUAUAACUUUUUAUGUAGCUAUACAUUUUGGCAUAUUUAUAAAUAUCUAAUACUAAAAGAAUUUAAUAUAUAUAUAUAUAUAUAUCAUAAUACUGCAAGCACAGUAUUAAAAUUUUUGACUUGAUAUCUAAUGUAUCACGUGCACCAUAAUGUUGUGCGUUAACUCAUUUAAUUGGGCUACAAAUGAUAGAUUAUAUCAGUUUGCCAAACACAUAAUUUCAUUUUAUUCUAGAGGUCUAGUUUGAUGCUACAUAUCAACUGAUGUGGUAUACCAAAUCAAAUAAAUGAGAAAAUAAGAUCAUGUCACAUAUCAAAAUGACAUAACAUUACAUUUGAUGAGAAUAAAAAUAUACAACCGCAUUUGACUUGUUUCGACAAUUAAAUAUCACCAUGUCAUUUGAACCUGACAAAUCAAAAACAAUUUAUUCUCAUCAAAAUUUUUCAUCUUAUAAUUAUAAAUAAAUAGGAGUUCCUAAUUAAGAAAAGUCAUUAAAAUUUCAAAAAAAACAACCGUGGGUCAAGAAUUACAAAUUUUCUAUAAGUUGCAAGCAUUCAAACAUUUGUGUACACAUUAUAAUUACUUGAAAAUAAAGGACAUAGAUAAAUUAAAUAUCAAAACCUUCCAGAUCAAAUUCACUUGUUUGUGGAAAAACUUGUUUAAGGCGGUCAUCAAAGUACUUAUGACAAAUCAAAUUCAAGUCAAAAUAUAUCAAAUCCAACAUAAAUUCAAGAUCAAAUUAAAAACGUUUGAAAUUAUUUUGAAAAUGAAGAACUAGAAGAUUUAUACAAAUUGUAACACUCAUAAUAUUUUUCUAUCUUGAUUAUUAAUUUUUAUACACAAAUUUUAUUGUUUGUAGCCAUAAAUUAUGGGUAAUAUAAUAAAUUUAAAAUGUGAAAAUAAAAGGAAAUCAACACAUUUCCCUGCAUCCACCAGGUAUCUUUAUAUUAUAAUAAAUACUUAAUUUUCUACCAAACUUUCUUUUUAUAUUUAUAUUUCCCUUUGUUUUAAUUUAUUUUCCAAUGAUUCAAAAAAAAAAAAAAAAUUCCAAACUCUUUUGUUUUUAGUUUAUUUUUAAAAUAAAUUCUCUUUCCUUAUUGUGGUAAGUCUUUAAUUAUAAUUUUUACAUGAUAUAUUUAAAAUUAGAAGAUUAAAAACUAUUUUGACACACUUCACUUAUUUUUAGUUUAAGAAUACACAAUUUAAAAACUCUUAUUUACUUUCUUAAAUUUUAUGUUAAGUCAAAAUCAAAUAAAUUUCUUAAAUUUUAUGUCAAAUAAAAAUCAGAUAAAAGUAUUUAACAAAAUCACAUGAAGAAAGUAAAAGAGGGUAUUCAUUUCCAAAUUUGUAGGAAAAAAACACACGUAAUUCUCUCAUUUCCUGUUCCUUCUCCACAAAUCUCUCUUUUAGUUAUUAGCCACAUCCACUCCUUAUCUCCCCACGUAAUACUUCUCUCCCAUUAUCUUCAUUUUUAUUUUUUAUUUUUAUUGAAUUUUGAGUUUUUUAUCUGCAUAAUCCUUAAAUAUAAUAUGAAUAUGCAACUCUCUUACUUUCUGCUAUACCUCAUUUGAAUUUUUAGUGGGUUUCUUAAGUUUAUUUUAAUUUGUGAACUUUGUCUCCCUUCACUCUAGUGUUCUUUUUUUUAAAAAAAAAAUAGUAUGAUAAUUUAACUACGAGUUACUUGUGUUUAGCCUAUGAGUUUGUUCUGUGUUAGAGACUUUUAGGGACUUGUUAAAAAAUAUGAUCUAAUUUUUUCGACUGCUCUAUAUACUAAGUAAGUUUCUUCAUCUCGAUUGUUGAUUUUUUUUUGUUUGCAGACAAAACUCAAGGUCUAUAUCUUUAGAAAAGAGGGAAUGACAAUUUUACCAUGUAAUUUGAGUUAGUAUCUUUUCUAUUUAUUUCUCAUUCUAAUAUCAAUUUUACAAUUAAAUUUUGAAAAUAUGUCAUGUUUAUAUCAUAAUUGCAGCGAGUACAUAUUAAAAUUGUAUUCUUUUCCUUUUCACACAGGUAUGUACAUGAAUGGAAAAAUUGAAUGAAGAGUAAAGUUAUCAGAUAAGUUGUUUACAUUAGCAUAUAAGAAGUAACAUUUUUAUUUUCUUAUUGACGACACAUUAUGUACAUUCGUUAGGAUCAUAUAAUAAUCUUUAAUGAGAUUAUUUCAAUAUUAUUUUAGUUCUAAAAUAUUAUAGGAUCAUGAGUGACACUUUUUGUUAUUAUGUUAAAUUUUUUAUUUUGUUAUGUUGAGUUUAUAUUAUAAUAUGAUAUCUGCUAAGUUUAAAAAUUAAAUUUAAUAUUUGUCAUGAUGUUAAUUUAAUAAAUUUUUACGACUUAGACUUUUCCUUGUAAAAUUUUUAUAUUGAUGAAUUAAUUAAUCUUGUAAAAUAUGAGAAAAUUUGGCACCAUGUAUAAAUUAUAAAAUUAACGAGAAACUAGUGAAUUAUUACCAUUUACAAGUUUGAACGUCAUCAAAUGUUUGUUGUUUUAACUGUAUGAUAAUGGAUGAAUUUUAUUAUUAUUUAAGAUAUUUUAAUUAUUUAUUUUUCAAUUUAUGUAAUUCUAAUUUAAAAAAUAAUAUCAAUACGAAUAAUUAAAUGUCAUCGAAUAUUUGUGCUCAUCAAAAGAUUAUAUCAUCAAAAGUAACUUUUAGCAAGGACUAAAUCAUACUUUUCAAGACAAAUAUUUUUUUCACAAAUAAAUUAUUUCGUCAUAAGUCGACUACAUUUAGUGACAAACUAUAUUGUCACUAAUCAUGAUUAUUUACAGUGACAAGUAUAUCUUGUCGGUAAAAACAAUACUUUUAGUGACAAGAUGAUAGAUUUAACUACGAAAUUGUUAACCUUUUUAUGAUGAUAAAUUUGUCCCUAAUUUAUAUAUUUUAGGACGAAAUAAUUUUUUUAUAUAAAAACAAGUCAUUAGUGACAAAAUUACAUUUUUUCAACUACUAAAUACAUAUAACUUUAGAGACAAUUGAUGUUGUCACUGAUUGAACUAAAUAUAUAGUGAUGGUGUAAUUUUGUCGGUGAAAAUAACUUUUUAGUGACAAAAUCAUACUAUUAACAAAAAAUUUACACUUUUUAUGACAUAUAGAUUUGUCACAAAUAUCGACACAUUUGGGGACGAUUUUUCUUUUUGUAGUUAAUAUAACUUUGUUAGUGACGAUGCACUAAAUCGUCUUUGUAUACUUUUAGUGACGACUGAUUGACGAAAUUUUUUUCGUCACAAGAUCUUUGGUGACGAACUAUGAUUUAUAAGUGACGAAAUCAUUUGUCCUUGAUAGUCAAAUUUGUUGUAGUGUUUUAAGUUGUAGAAAAGAUUAUACUAAAAUAAAUGGGAGAAGGCACAGGUACCCCUAGACUAUGAUAGAAAUUCCAGAGACAUACCUUAACUAAACUAAAGUCCUAUUACCCCCUGAACUCAUUUUAUAUAUAAUAUUGUACACCUUUUGGCUUAUAUAGACUAGAGCUGUCAAUAUGGGCUAGCCCACCCCAUCCGGGCUGACCCAUACAGGCUUUGACAUUUUACGGGUCAGGCCGGGCUAGCCCAUUUUUGGUGUGGGUUAGAAAACGAUCGGCCCAGCCCACAAGUACAUGGGCUACAGGCUUGCCGGGCUAGCCCACUUUUUUUAAAAUUAUAUAUUUUUUAUAAUUAUUAAAAUAAAUUAUAAAUUAUAAUUUAAAAAUAUUAUCAUAAAUAUCGACAAAACAAUAUUACAUGGUGUUAAUGUUACUACUUGUUAAUCAAAUCCACAAAUAAAAUUAUCUUUAUAAUAAUUAUUAAGGUUUUUUCAAAUAAAAGUAUAAAUAUCUAAAUAGAAAUAUUAACAUAAUUGUUUUGUCACAUUAAAACACAAAAAAUGUGACAAUAUUCCAACCAUAAAAAAGUUAAAAAUAAACUCCUUAAAAAAAUCAUGAAACUUAUGGCAUAUCUAACANNNNNNNNNNNNNNNNNNNNNNNNNNNNNNNNNNNNNNNNNNNNNNNNNNNNNNNNNNNNNNNNNNNNNNNNNNNNNNNNNNNNNNNNNNNNNNNNNNNNNNNNNNNNNNNNNNNNNNUUUAAUUUUAAAUUUUAAUAUUAUAUUAUAUUUUUAAAAUUAUUUUUAUUUGGCCCACGGGCCGGCCCUACCUAUAUUUCUCAAGCCCCACAAAUCAGCAGGCUUAUUCAGGCUGGGCUAAAAAGCCCUUUUCUUAAAUGGGCUCCAAAAAUCUUAGUCCAGCCCUAUUAAAUCCCGGGUUAGGCCAGGCCGGCCCAACGGGCCUAGCCCAUAUUGACGGCUCUAAUAUAGACACGUGAUUUUUGACCGAGCAUAAGACUUUACACUUGUUUUUAUUCCUUAAAUAUUUAUUUUAGGUUAAGUUAGAUAUUUUGAUUUUUGUCUUAUUUUAGUAAGUUUAUUUUAAAAGAUUUGAAAAUAACAAAAAAGAAAAGAUAUUUUCAAUAUAUUAAACUUGUUGGACAUUUAAAAAAGAAACUCGUUGGACAUUUAAAAAAUAUUUUCUUUGAUUAUAAUCUUUUUUUUAAAAAUAUUUUACAUUAUUAAUAAUUCUGAUUAAACCAAAGUAGCGUGUGAUUUUGAUUUGCUUUAAUAUCAUGCUGGAAUGAGUCAAAGAUUGUUAGAAUAAAUAAAUAAAUAAAUAAAUAUAUAUAUCAGUUUUUAUUUUGGGCCUAAGAAUUAUAUGAAGGGAUGGAGUUUUAAAUUUCAGUUAUGUGCUUUUGCGGGCUAUUUUUGCUGUUAGUUUUAUUAUUAUUUUGUACCAAUAAUAAAAUAUAAUUUUUAAUAUUGCUUUAAUUAGUUGAUAUUUUAUUAUAAUUUAUUAUUUAUAUGUAUAGUUAAUUAUUAUUUUUUUAAAAGUAAAAUAAAACUAAAACUAAAAAUAAGAAAAUAACUCACCCCCACAAAUCCCAUAUACUCACCGUUAUCAUACCACAUUCUCGAGUCAUGAUGGCACCUACUAUACCCUACCAGUAGGUAAGCCAACCCGUAACCCAGAACAUCAAGCAAUGAGUGAAAGGGCAAAAACUAGCGAAAAUAAUAAUCUAAACCAGAAUAACAAGGCGGAAGCAACCCAAAAUAAAUAUAUACAGAAAUACCCUCCCAGAACCUGGAAGUCACUAGUACAGAGCUAUACUAAUAAAGAGUACAAGUCCCAAAGUGGACCACAACAGAGCGUGUCUCAAAGGCAACAAGACUAGCUAAAAACAAAAGAAGGAGACAGAACAAACCCCAAAAACGUCAAAGUAGCUCAACCCUCGUCUCCGAAUCACAGCUGCAAAAGAAGGCUGGAACUAAUCACCGCUAGUAACUGGUACUGGGACCUGCAUCACAAAAUAGAUGCAGAGCGUAGCAUGAGUACCAACACAACAUGUACUCAGUAGGUAUCAUAGGUCGACUGAGCAAAAAGGGUAAAAACAAUAAGAAAUGACAGAAUCAAGACACAGAGAGGUCAAAGCGAAUAAGAAAAGAAAGCACACGAGCAUACCAGAAAAAAACUAAGUACAACUAAACUAAACCUAACUGGACCCCCAAAAGCCCAGAAGGUACACUCGUGCGCAAGUUCAAAUAAAACCUGAACGGACCCCCAUAAGCCCGACAGGUACACAGCAAGGCUAAGUCUACUGAGAAAGAAGAAAACCGGGCUCCCAGCCCAAAGUAACUAAGAUAAUCCAUCAGACCCCACCCAGCCAGCAGUACACUCCCAGCCCAGCUAGAAAGAGUGACCCUAGGGGGCACCCAACCAAACAGUCCACUCCCAGCCCAGCUAGAAAGAGGGACCCGUGAGUGAGGUAGAUAUCGCGAGUCGUCCUACCAUGCAGUCAGCUCCCAGCCCAGCUAGAAAGAGCGACCCGGGGACACCCAGCCAGCAGCACACUCCCAGCCCAGCUAGAAAGAGAGGCCCAGGGGCGAUCGCUAAUAUCACCGAGUCUACCCAGCCAGCGAUACGUUCCCAGCCCAGCUAGAAAGAACGACCCCGGGGGUGAUGGUAUCUUCAAUAGGAUUCAAUCCAACAACAACCACCGUGGAACGCUGUCCACUCUAAGAUAUCACAUAAAAGGCUCCAAACCUAUACUAUCUCAAUCCCAUGCCUCGAGUGAUGCACCAAACCUUCAAAAAUGCGUCGGAACCGCAGAAUAAGAGGGAGAACAUACAGAAGUGCAGCAAGUAGCGAUAACGCCUAAUCUAAGGCUCAAACUAUCAGACUCAAGUCUGCUAUUCCAGUCUACAAGGAGCUAAGUCAUCCGAACGACGUCGGCAGAAAGUCAAGGCUAUCCAGCCCACACGGGUCAUAAGUCUAAGGCAAAGCUAGCCUAACCUAGACUAAGGACAUCAUGUUUACGGUUAAGGAUGAACAAGGCAUGCAAUACAUAGCAUGCAAGCAUACAAUAACAUUUAACACAUAAGCAUGCAACUCUACUAAACCGGUUAACAUGAUACUAUACCCGAAAUGUGACCAAUCGAUCCUAACAUGAGGUAUCUAAUCAAAAUAAGGUAGUAAACUGGUACCCACUCCCAAUUCACUACAAUCGACAUGCUUUUACACAAUUAAGCUCAAUCUAAAAGAAAGGAAGCCGUAGCCUACCUUAAGGCCGAUCGCGCGCUCUCCAAAUCACUUUACCGGACUUUUCCCUUUCCGAACAGUCUAGAAACGCUGCCCCGCUAUCAAAAAUAGAAUCACAAUGUUACUACGGUCAUUUAGACACCAAAAUUACAACAAACGGAGACGGGUCAAUUUUGGAGUCAAAAUGAGAAUCGUGGGACCCGCACCAAACUGUCCGAAUUUAACUCCGUCAAGAGAUCCUAAACAACACCCCAAACUUGUGUUCCAAAAUGGAACAUAAUUCGAGGCUCAAAACACAAUAAAAACCAACAAGCAAGAAACCACACUUUAAUCAACUAAAAGAAACCCUACAGCAUCAGUCUAAACUCGAAAUAAACAAGAAUCGAAAAGUGCCCAGCACUCCUUGAACACUCUACGACGAAGUCACGACAAUUCUCAACAUGUGGGACUUCGAAUCACCCAGAACCGAGCUAAAAUGAGUGAGAUAUGACCAAAACAAAAAUACUAAAAACAAAAACUCGAAAAAGGUACUGCAGUCAGGUUUUAUCGCGAAAUUACCUUGAACUACGUGCACCCAACAACUUUCGAACACCCUACAGCGAAGCCACCAAAAAUACGAAGCUUCUGCAAUUUUUCCAACAACUAAAAACUCCAACGGGUACUCCGAUCUCGUUCGGAACUCCGUGCACGCAAACGACCAGGUGACCGAACUGUCAGUCCCAGCAAGUCAUAAAUGACUUGGGGUCGCUAUAAGAACGCUCUAAACGACACACAGAAGAAAAGACACAGAAAUGACCAAGAGGGUCAUUACAAACAGUCACCCCUAUACCCACACACGACAAAAAAAUAAAAAAAAGGAUUGAGUUGUAAUUUUUGACGGCUUCAACUUCACAGAUUCAAAAGUCUGCAACUAUUAAUAUUUUUGGGAAAUCAGUAGAUUGUUAGGCAUUGUUUUUCGUGGUUUAAUCUUCAUAAGAGAUAACAUUUAUUUCUUCUUGGUAUAAGUUAAUGUCACGAUUGUUCAAGAUUUGAUUCCAAUGUUAUAAAGUUAUUCAAAUUUUAUGUGUUUAGCUUUGCCAAUAUACUAUUGAAAUACAUGUAAAUAUUUGUAUUGUUGUAUUUGGAUUAAAUAUGAUAUAACAUAUAUCGCUUCUUGCUUUCGUUGAUAGUACAAUUUAAAAAUCAUUAUUUUUUUUAGUAAAAAAAAUGCAUUUUUUAUACGAUUUAAUCGUUAUCAUCCGAAGUGUUUUAGAUUCUUGGUAUUCUAUAGAUCAUAGAUCUAAUGCCAGUUUCAAAUGUUGUGUGAAUAUAAAUGUUAGGUUUUUUUUUAUUUUAAAGGGCUCUUUUAUGUCCAUUAAUUCAGAAUAUUAGCUUUUGCGGUGAUCACUUGCAAAUAAUCAUGCCGCUUCAUUGGUUAAGCGAAAAUAUUUGUUAAAUUAGAUAUAGCCAGAUAUGUCAUUAAUUAUUAGUUACACUAUGUUUGGAUCAUUGUUACCCAUUGUAUUGUAUUGUAUUAUAUUGUAUUGUAUUGUAUUGUAUCGUUACUAUACCUACAAUGUUUGUUUUGAUUGUUACUUAAAAUGUAUUGUAUUGUUAAAUUUCAUUGUUACGUAACAAUGAAAGCCCUAUUUUAUGGAACAACCAAUUUGGUGUGUUCCCAUUGUUUCUUAAUUUCCUUUUCCAAUUAUAUCUUUACAUAAUAUUUCAAAAUACUAUUUUACCCUUUACCUUAAUUAUUUAAAUCUAGUCAAACCUCCUACCCUAGAAUAAUUAAGGAUAUUUUAGUAAAUUUAUAAAUUACAAUACAGUAUGAUACAAUCAAACCAAACAAUUAAAAUGUUAUUAAACAAUAACAAACAAUACAAUCUAGCCAAACAUUGUAUCUAUCAUACAAUAAAAUACAAUACAAUAGAGUACAAUACAAUACAUUAUGAAACAAUGGGUAACAAUAAUCCAAACAGAGUGUUAAAGUGUGCCUUUAGUGUAUUUGUUUAUUUAGUUAUGCUUUAUUGUAAAUUAAUAAUUAUAUUUAAAAAAUUAUAAACUAAUGACAUUCUGUUUUGCUAGAAACGAUAAGUACUAUCAUGUUAAUAAGACAAUGUAAUUAAUUGAAUAUAAUAUUUCGUGGGCAGGUGAUAAGUUAAAUGUAGAAAAGUUUGGUCACUUUAACAUUUUACUAUUUAUUUUUAGACUGCUUUAAUAUAAUCAUAGGUAUAUAUUAGGCUCUAUUAUACAUUAGAUGAGUAACAAUAAUAAUUAAAUUUCAUCUCAAUUAAGAAUGUGGUUCCACAUCUUUUUGAGAUACUUAAGAAACUCAAGGAUGCGGUUACGCACCUUGGCCAAAUUAUUUUAAUAAUUAAUUUUGUUAAUUCAAACCAAGAGGUGUAAAUUGAGAUUAUUAGGUGUGAUGAACUCGAGAGGGGAAGACAAUUAUGUCUCCAAAUGUCAAGAUCGAGAAUGCAGUUAUGCAUCCGGUUUAAGACUAAUAAAAAUUCUAACAAUUAAAAAAUAAGCAAACCAUGACAUAUAUACACAAAUUAUCCAAAAACAUAUCAAGAUAAGUAUAACUCAAUAAAAGAGACCGUGCUAGAACCACGAGAGUACUCGAGGGAUGCCUAAUACCUUCCCCUCGAUCAACAGAAUUCCUUACCUGAAUUUCUGGUUCGCAGACCAAACAAAGAGUCAUUUCCUUUUGAUUAGGGAUUAAAUAAAAUGUGACUUGGAACAUCAUAAUUCAAUUCCAAGUGGCGACUCUGGAAAAAAUAAAAAAAAUAAAAAUUUAUCUCUUAAUUAAUACGGACACUUAAAAAAACCCUUUCCACCGUGCGAAAAAAGAGGUGUGACAUCUCUGACGACUCCGCUGGGGAUACUAACCAGAAUUCGAGCUUUGUUAUGUUGACUUUUAUUUUAUCUUAUUAUUUAUUUUUUUGGAUAUAUUGUGUGUGAUUGCCUGAUAUGAUACUUGUUGCUCUUUUAUCACUUUUUAUAUUGUUGAACUAUAAAUUGUCUUUCUUAGCGCAACCAUCUGAGUUGGCAUGGUUUAAUGGUGUCACACCCCAAAUCCGGAUGUGAUGGCACAUGUCCAUUUCCCACCGGACACGUCAGCCUAACCCAACCACAACGAUAGAGAAGUAGAAAUACGAGAAUAAAAGAUAAUAAAUAAGCGGAAGACUUUAAUUAAGACUCAACACUACCCAGAAUUUGGUUGUCACAUGUACAAACCUCUAAAUACAGAAUUCGAAUAAAAAUAUACAAGUCUCAGAGUAUAGUUCUCGAAUAGAACAAAACUGAAAGUAAAGAUAACUCAAGGGCACGUCUGGAAUGAACCGCUACCUCUCGAGUAUGUCCCGAAGCUCAAUCUGCUAAAGAAAGAGUAUGUCCCAAAGCUCAAUCUGCUAAAGAAAAUACUAAGCCGAAUCUGAGAGAGCUGUCAACCUACACAAUUGUGUAGAAGCAAGGGUGAGUACCGAAAACCACAGGUACUCGCAAGUAACUCUAAACUAAGCAAAACUAGCAGCUACAAACAACUCCUUUCAAUCCCAACCGAACCACCGAAACUUCAAUCUAGCAGCAAACCAACCAACCUAUACUCAUAUUCAACAGCCAGAACCAACAGUAUAUCCUCAUCAACCUCAGAUCAACAAAUAAGAGCAAGUAGAUCAAAUUCCACAUAAGAAGGGUAAACCGAUACAAUCCACACAUCACAGACAAAGAUAAGGCAAAUGCGAUGCAAAAUGCAAUAAUGAUGUCAUGUAGUCGUGAUGCAUGUCUGUCCUACGAUACACAUCUGUUGACGUAAUCAGUCCGCGCUGAAUACUCAAAUCAGAACCCAUGGGGGCCACACAUGGACCAUGUAUCACCGCCGGAACCAGAUCCCAUCGGCAUCCAAAUCGCUAGUCGGAGCUAGUCCAUCUCAUAUAUCUCUAGCCGGAACUAGUCUCAACUGUGUCUCAUAUCCAUCCAUCAUCAUAUCAGUGUCUCAGAACUCAUGCAACAGAUAGUUCACACAUGUGAUGAAUAAUGAAUAUGCACAUAUCAUCAAUCACAAUCAUAUCACGAUCACAUCAUAAUAUUGUUGACACCCAAUUUUGACCCUCCCCGAUAAUAAUUAACUUCUGAGCUUCUUAAUUUUCAAACGAUUUAAAAUGAUUAGAUUUAUAAAAUUCAAACAGUUUCAAGAUUAGUUUAAAUAAUUUCAGUUGAUUUUUAUAGUUUUGAAUAAUGAAUAUGUUUCAUAUAAUUAUAUACAUAAUUAGUAUAUUUUACAAAUGUUUGAAAAUCAUAUCAAAGAUUUUACUUUGUUAAAAUAAAUAUUUUAUUAAUUUAGUUUUUAGUUCGAAUUAUAGUUUUAAUCUUGGAUUAAUUAGUUCAUAUAUAAAUCGAUUAGUUUAUAAUUAAGUUAAUUAUUUUAUUUCGUUAAAAUUAAAGAGCUCAUAAAUUAAUUAUAUUAAUCCGUACCUCUUGAAUUCUAGCCGAACUUAUCCUACUCAACUAAAUUUGGAUACGUCUUUAAGCUCCACUUGGUUAUGACUUAGAUUUGUAUGGCUAACUUAAAUUCAAUUUUAUCUUGAUUAAUUUUUUUAAAACACCAAAAUUUUGGGCUUUUUUCCAUUCCCUUAAAAUGACCCAAAUGCUCAACCCAUUUCCCAUUCUGGUUCCAAUUCAUUUCCUCCAACAACCUAUUGUCUUCCAAUUCCCUUACAAUUCCCACCGACCCAACACAUUAUUUGAGCAGCCCAUCAAAUUAUGACCCAACCCGGCCCAUUCAUCUAUUCUCAAAAGAAUCCAUCAACCUUUAACAACAGUCCAAACACGUUCACUGAAGCAAACGGAAAAGCAGCGAGGAACAGAGACGUACGCUGCGAAUUCUGUUUCUUCUCCAAUGUCCUUAUCGACAUUUAAUAUCGUAACAACAAAAGGGAGCACGCGUUUCUCCCCUUUCCCUUUUCGGAAUGAGUUGAAAAUUGCAAAGAAAGGGGUGUCUGGCCGAAAAUGGUGAAAGUUUUUUAGAUUUUGAAAUUUGAAUGGACCCUUGAAUCUAAAAGGGGACCCGAAAUUCCCCCCAUAUCAACCCUAAUAGUCCCCUAUAUAUAUUUUCUUCUUACUCACAUGAGGGGGGAUUUUUUGGAGUUUGAAAAGUUUAUGUUGAAGAAAAUGUUGAGAGAAGCUUGGAAAAACAGAGGGGAAGAAAGUUUCAAAAAAUAAAUAAAUAUAAAUACAAGAAUACAUACAAGGAAAAAUCAGUAGUUAUACUCAAGCUAGAAUCGAUAAAAGAUUUUCUUUUGUGCUUGCCAUUGGAAAAACUUGUCGGAAUCUCGUCGUGGUAGUGAAGUCGCCGUCCCUCUGCUCGCUCUGUCUCGGUUCACUGCCCUCAUAAAGUUUUGUUCUUUUCUAUGUAUGAACCGGCUCCUCCCGAGUCUAUUUUGGACUCCACCCCUACAUAUCCGAGUUGAUUUCCCAUCGAGUCAACCCCCUUUCGAGCUAAAGAAUUGACGAACAGGUCCCGAGAAUUGAAAGAAGCAACAGAUCGAGAAAAUCGAAAAUUUGGGCCAAGGGCCCAUUCUUAAUUCAAAAAAUUGUAUUUUUGGGCCUAAGCCCACUUAUUAGCUAUUUUAUGUUAGCUUAGGAUAGGUACAGGUGAUUCAAAUGAGCCAAAAGCUCAAAACGAAAAAGGGCCCAAAUACUGGCCCAGGCGGACAGAAACCAGAUUUGGGCCCAACUCUCUAUCCCUCUCUACUUUACCGUGUUCAUUUUACUUGUUAGUAUUUGCCGCUAAUUUUAAGGUUGAACAAUUCGAAUCCCCGAAAGAUACCCAUUUCGAAUUAAUUACUUAACUAAAUUACUCAUCUUUCACUUGACUUAAAAAAUAAAUAAAUGAUAAAUAAAUAAAUUUAUGAAAUGCUUCACUUAGAUAAUAUUUCAUUAUUUUUCUAUUAAAAUGGUUUCAACUAUAAAGUAGUUCACUUUUGCAAUUCAAGAUAAGUUAAAAUAUUUUAGCCAAAUAAUUAAUUGUCGGAUAACCGCGUAUUAGCGGACAUUCUGGGGUGCUUUUAAAAAACCUUCCUAGAAUGUUAAUAAGAACCUCGAACCCUUUUUAAGUUUUCAAUAGAUUUACUGUUUUAGUCUUUUGAAAACAACAGUUUUCUUGAUUUUUCUUAAAAAUUAAGUGGCGACUCUUAAACCAGUCCAAAUAAUAUUUUAAAUAAAACAAAUAUUACACAUCAUCUGUCUCAAUCACAACCAUAUCACGACCACAUCAUAGUAUUACACAUCAUCUGUCUCAACAUCAAUGUAUGUAUCAAUCAUAGCCUACUCAUGCUCUUCUAUCCCCUCAAUAUCAGUUAUCACAUGACUUAUUCAACAAAUUCAAGUCACAUAUAACACAUUUAGCUCGUUUUAUUUCCCCAUCUUUCAUUUACAACAAUUUCAAUCAACAAAUAAAACUCAUCCUCAAUCCCCAUUACUCCCCAACACAAUUAGGAAAGUAGUCAUGCGUAGUCUAAGAGUUUUACAAAGUUUGGAAGCCACUUGCCUUAAAACGAACUCCAAAAGUUACUUGACUUGAGCCCUUUCCUUUCCGAGUAUAAUCCGGAUCACGAUAAUCUAUUCAAACAAUUAUUCACAAUCACAAUUCGAGUCCAAUAUAAAUGGAAUCCCACAAUCAAUACGAAUCUAACAACACCAAUAUCGUGAAAUUUGGAGAACAAGGGUAAAAUGGUCAAAAAUCUCGUUCCGGAAAAUAUUCUCGAAAUCUGGAAAUUUUUAGUGAAAAAUGUUCCCCAAGAAAUUUAGAAUCCAAUAGUGAAAACCGUUUCGAAAAAGGAGUUGAAAUUAAUUCACAAACUCAAUUUGAAAGAAAAUCCACGUUCUUGAAGAAGCCUAAAAUAUUCAGAUCCGAAACUCCAACCCGAAAAUGAAAUAUCUCUUAAAAAACAUCUUACUCAUGCUUAGAUAAGUUCAAAUAUGAAAUUUCAUCAAAAAACGGAGUUAAGAUCGACCUUGAAAUUCUCAAUUUAUCAAACUUUAACUUUACCGGAAAGUCCAAAUUGUACGCGUUUAAUAUGAUGAAAAUAAUCGAUGAAUCAAUAAUUUUUAUGUUAAAAUCAGUUUUACCCAUAACAUAAGGAUCGUAAAUAUAUCUUUUUUAUCAAAAAGGGAGUCCAAAUCGAUAAAACCCCAAUUUUUCCCAAGAGAUUUACGGAUAGGAAAAAAAACCAGAUAAAGAAAUUAUGAGAAAAUGUCGAAUUGAAGAUUGAAUACUAACUCUCAUAUUAAUUCAAGAAGAAACCCGUAAGAAUCAUUCCAUUCCGAUCUCUAGAACUCCAGAUAUGCUCAAAAUACCAAAUGAACACAGUCUGAGAUUUUUAUAACAGUACAUGGCUGUUAUGCACCAGAAAAACAGCAGUUAAUCUUUCACUAAAAAGGCCGUAAUUUCCUCAUACGAUAGUGAAAUGACCCGAUUCUUUUUUAUAAAUGUCUUAAAUAAUGAUACGGACCUGCUCGUUCAAUCGGAGCUCAAUUUCAUGCUCGUUUGCCCAGUCAAAUAUCAUUUCUACUCGGUAAACAAUUAUUUCUUAUUUGCGAUAAAAAUCCAAUCUCGGGUUAGCGAAAAUGCACCAAAAUUUGCAGAUAAGUCCUAUAAUUCAUGAUCAAAAUUUCAGAACCUUCAGAAAUUUUUUUCGACCUUUAAAACUAAUAAUGAACCCUUUAGUUGCCACAAUUUGCUGAAAUAGUGUCAAAGCAUCCAAGAAGCUUAAAAGCUCACCCAAAACUCAUUUGGCACUUCCCGAACACAAACCAAAUAUGCUACUAGCUUGAAAAUGACAUUUCGGACUCAAUGAAAUCGUCGGAAUUUGAAUUCGAGGUCUCCUUGACCCGGUAUCCGAUAAGGCGUCAAGAAACUAACUUUAGGCUCAAAAACUCGAAACGCACUCGGGGCCUCUAAAAAUUCAACCAAGACUCAUUCUAGACUUAGAAUCACCCCCUGAAUCCAACGGUGCCCUCGGAAUUCCAUUUCGAGCACCGGAACCUCGUUUGUUGACCAAAGUCAACUCUUGAUCAAAAUUUCACAAUUUUAGCAACUUAGGACCUCAAAUCUUCGUUUUAACUCCAAAUUCGACUCAGUAAAUUCUCAUAGACCCAUUUCAACAUUCUAAAAUUGCUGGAAUCGACGGAAAUCCGAUUCGAGUCUCGAAACUCCAAAUGACUCGAAAUAGCACUUUUAACCAAACUUUAACUCUUAAAAACUCAACUUUCCAAAAACUCAACUUUUCAUCAAUUUUCCUUCAAACCAACUUCAAAAAUACAACAAUUAGGACUCGGGGCAACUAUCGGGAGGGGUAAAACGGUCAUUUUAUGAAAAUUUCCAAAAAUGACUUUUAGGGUCAUUACAAGGCUAACCUUAGACAAAAUCUUGGCUAAGUGGGGUGUUGGUCAUAUGAGGAUGAGUGGGGUGUAAUGUCUAGGCGGCAUGUGUUGAAGCAGUAAUUUUUCCAUUUUCGUUACUCAGGUAUGACAAAAUUCAUAAAGGUAGCACAAGUGAAGAUGAAACUGGAUCACGAUUAGGAAAUGCAGCUACCAAGUAUGUUGUAAUUGAAGAAAUGGAAGAUCAAGACCAUGGUCCUUGAGGUUUUACAUAUGACAUUCUAACAAUGUUGCGCUCUGAUGGCGUUUUGUAUUUGCAACGGAAGGAAAUGGACAAAAAAAUGCGUAGAUUUUCUAGCAAAUGAAGUUCAAGUCGUAUACAUGAAGAAGAUUUGUUAAUCAAGGAAGAUGAGGAAGCUGAGUUUUUUCACCUAGUAAACUUUAAGACAUGUGGCUUAUAGAAGGGAAAUUUAUUACUCCCUAUGUGCUAAAAAAGUAAUGAUAUACAUUUUUAUAGUUAGUAAAAAUUUAACUUUUAAACUUCUCAUUUUACCCCUAAAGUUAGGGGUGAAAGUUUGGUAUUCAGUUCAAGAUUUCCAAAUUUUGAGUUCGAUAGUUAAAAAUAGAUUCAAUUCAGUAUGGUAUUCAGUAAUACCGUAUUAAAGUUGUAGGAUUUGGAAAAGAAUGAUCACAAAUCUUUCUACUUUUUGUUUGUUAAAAUCAUGUCCUUUUCUGACUAAGUUAAAGAAAAAGAGAAAUUGGUCUCUUCUUUUGUUUAGAUGAUAAUGUUAGUGGAAUGUGAGACAAAAUUAUAUGAAUUAAAGUUUGAUUUCGAUAUGUAAUCCGAUUGAUUUGAUGUUAUUUUUAUUCUUUAUUUGAUUUCAAGUAUGCAUAAAAACAAUGUAACGUAUAUUUUACAUCCACACAAAUAUCUAUACAUAUUUUUAGUUUAAGAUUACAAAAAUUUUAAAAGUCGUCUAUACUUUCAUAAAAUUAAUAUCCCAUGAAACUAAGAUACACAAACUAAAACUAGCGGAGUAACUUAGUACUAAUUCGAUUUGCUUCAUACAUUGUUUUAGUACUAGACAUAUAAGCUCGUAGCUAACACAGACUCAAUAACAUACAUAGAAUUUGGAAAGACAAAUAAUUAUUAACACGAUUAUUAUUAAUUUACGAGACUUUUACGAUAAUUUUUUUCUAUUCAAAUUUAUGUGAUACAAAUUAAUUUUCGUGUGUAUUAUCCCAUGAAUUUGGCGCCUCGGAGCACCCAAAAACAUUUUUUGAAAAAUCUUUAUGAGGACCUCUGUAAUGAGUUGGGAACCAUCGCUUAUACUCACACUAUUUUUCUUAACGCUUAUUUCCGGAUUUACUGACCCUUUUUUAGGAAUUACGUAAAAAAAUUCAAUUUUUGGGUGUAUUAGCCUAUGGAUCUGGCGCAUUAGAGCACCCAAUUUUUUUUUCUGAAAAAAACUUUAUGAGUAAUUAUGUAAUGAGUUAGAGAUCACCACGUAUACUCACACCAAUUUUAACGACUAUUUCCGCAUUUAUAGAUUUUUUUUUUAGAAAUUACACAAAAUUCUUGAUUGUUCGUGUGUAUUAGCCCAUGAAUCUGGCGACUCAGAGCACCCAAAAUUAUUUUCUAAAAAACUUUAUGAGAACCUCUGUAGUGAGUAAGGGAACCACCAUAUAUACCCACACCAUUUUUAAUAGCUAUUUUCGCAUUUAUAGGCCAUUUUUUUAUGAAUUAUGCAAAUUCCUUGAUUUUUCGUGUGUAUUAGCCCUUGAAUCUAGCGCCUCAGAGCACCCGAAUUUUUUUUAUGAAAAAACAUUAUGAGGACUUCCGUAAUGAGUUAGGGAACCACCAUAUAUACUCAUGCAAUUUUUUAAUGCCUAUUUCUGCACUUACAGACCUUUUUUUUAGGAAUUAUGCAAAUUACUCAAUUUUUAAUGUGUAUUAACCCAUGAAUAUAUUGGUGAUAUGGCUUUCAGACGAAUUUUUUGUAAAACUCUUUAUGGAACCCUUCAAAGGGAGUUGGGGGAGCAGUACGUACAAUUUUACCAUUUUUAGAGUGAUUUAUGGGCAUAAGGAGUCAAUUUACAUUAGUUAGGCGAUUUUCUCAAUUUUUCAUGUGUAUUAUGUAACAUCCGGCAAUUUGAAAUAGCUAAGAAGAGGCUUAGAAUUUGAAAAUUUUCAAUUUUUGGAAAGGAUUUGAAAAUCUAGAAAAUUUGGCUAAGUAUGGAAAUCAGUGAUUUUUGGCCAACUUUGAGCAGUCAUAACUUCUAACUCAGGAUGAGUUAGGAGUAGUUCCAGUUAUGGUUGUGAAUCUUGUGGAAUGAUCUUUCCAACGCCACCGAGUUUGCUCAAUUCCGAGUUCGUAUGAGCGAGUUAUGGCCUUUGAAAGUUGGGCAGUUGACAAGGAAAUCCGUCCGGGAAUCAUUAAGGGCAUUUUGGUCUUUUCCCUAGCUAUUUCUUUUGAGGAUGUAUUGUUGUAUAGGGCUGAUCUUUGGAUCAUUUUGUUCCAUUUUUAAGAGAGUGAAGGCUAGGGCUUGAGAGUGAAGAAGAGAAGAAGANNNNNNNNNNNNNNNNNNNNNNNNNNNNNNNNNNNNNNNNNNNNNNNNNNNNNNNNNNNNNNNNNNNNNNNNNNNNNNNNNNNNNNNNNNNNNNNNNNNNNNNNNNNNNNNNNNNNNNNNNNNNNNNNNNNNNNNNNNNNNNNNNNNNNNNNNNNNNNNNNNNNNNNNNNNNNNNNNNNNNNNNNNNNNNNNNNNNNNNNNNNNNNNNNNNNNNNNNNNNNNNNNNNNNNNNNNNNNNNNNNNNNNNNNNNNNNNNNNNNNNNNNNNNNNNNNNNNNNNNNNNNNNNNNNNNNNNNNNNNNNNNNNNNNNNNNNNNNNNNNNNNNNNNNNNNNNNNNNNNNNNNNNNNNNNNNNNNNNNNNNNNNNNNNNNNNNNNNNNNNNNNNNNNNNNNNNUUGCCUACUGAUCUACGGUCAUGACUUACGGACCGUGAAUGGACCUACGGUCUGUAGAUCACUUCCGUCAAGGCCAUGUUUCUGCAUUUCUUAUUGUACCUAUGUUUCCAAGUUGUCUCCAACACUUCAAGUUGCAUCUAAAUGUUUAGAACUCAUUCAUAACAGGUGAUUAUAUCCCUUGAAUCCAUAAUUCAAUUCAAGGCGAGUUAGAAUCGAGUUAAAGAGAAGUUAGAGUCAAGUCAAGCAAGGUUAAGAAGUUAGUUCAAGCAAGUUUUCAAAGUUGUUCGAGAGUCUUUAAUGAACGUUUUUACUUCAUUCUAAGGCUCAAGUUGCAGGUCAAGUAAAGAGUUUAAAGUUGAGUUCAUUUCUCAAAGUUAUUAGGGAACUAUGUAUUCCCAAAGCAGUUUUUAAGGAAAUGUUUUUACAUUUAAACAAGGUUGGAAACUGAGAUUUCCAAAGGGGCCUUCGGGCCAGUUUUUCAGAAAAGAGUUAUCAUUUCCUAAAUGAAGCAAGGUUGGAAACUGAGAUUUCCAAAAGAGCCUUCAGGCAAGUUUUUGAGUAAUUAUCUCAUAUCAGCAGGAAGAAAUAUGUUUUAAAAACAUAAGAGCUAGUACAUUUUUGGGAGUAGUAUCGAGCACCGAAAAUCGUUUCAAAAGAUUUUAGUUUUACUUAAAUAUUUUAUUAAGUUAAUUAGUAGUUUAUAUUUUGAAUCAUUAGUUUAUUAAGUUAAUUAUUUUAUUUCAUUAAGAUUAAGAAGCUCCUUAAUUAAUUUAUGAAAAUUCAUCUUGUUUAAGUAUUGAUCAAAUCCACCGACUAAAUGCUAAUCGAAAUUCAAUUGAUUAAUAUGGCAAUUUUAGUCAAUUUCUUCAACCCUUUGCAAGACCCAAUUAUCUUAAACCCUUUUAGCCAAACUUUUGACCCAAUAUUAGAAGCCCACCCUUUUCAUUCUUCUGACCCAAGCCCAAAACCCACUUCUUCUUUUCUCAAAAGAACCCAACGUGAACAACAGCAUACCAAAUUGACCCGACCCCCAACACAGCUGCUCGUUCUUCUUCAACAAUACACGUCAAAUUCCAACGAUUUAAUUCACGGAGUCAAGCGGAGGCAGACGGAAAAGCAGUAAAGCAGGCAGUGCUCUGCAUUUUUCUUGUCUUCUUCCUCAAUGUCCCUUUCCAAUUUGUACCUGCAGCAGCAAAAGCACCUGCGAUUUUGUCCUUCCAGCCGCGUCUCAGUCCUUGGGGAUGUGGGAUCGAUCCACGUCGCGCCUAAGGAUGAGUUGAAUUGAUCAAGUCCGCCCGUCUACCCUUUCCCCUUUCGGAAUGGGUCAAAUUUUGGAGAAAAAGGUUGUCUCCCUGAAAGGGGUGAACGAUUUUGAAUUCAAAUUGGAGUUGGGCUUUGUCUAUUCGAAUUUUUUUGAUCUGUUUCCCUCAUUUUUCUGAACCCUAAUUUCCCCCACUAUAUAAACCCCAUUUUUAUUCACUAUCGGGUUUCUCUUUUUUUAGAGGAAUUUUUGGGGCAAAAACACGAAGAGUAAGUUAAGAAAAUAGCUAAAAUACAUACAUGUAUAUACAGAAACACAGUCAAGGCCAAGAGGAUUGAGUUUCGAUAGGAGUAUCGCGUUACUACUUCGUUUUGCAUCGGUUUUCUCAAGCUUCACUCGAGUCUGAGGUUCUGCCCGGAAUUCUCGUCCGUCGUUCGUGUUCGAGUCUCGUGGUGAAGAUCGUUUCCUUGCUCGUUUGUAUCCCAGUUGCUGCUCAUCAAAAGGUAUACAACUCUCAAUUCUCGCAUUUGUUUAGAUUCCAAUAGAUGUUUGAGAUCUGAGUUGUAUUAUGUAUUGGUGUGAUUCGAUUGUUUGUGUAUAAAUGAUAAAAGGUUAAUUCUUUGUUGGUGGUGGUUCUCGUUUUGUUUUAUUCUUGACUCUCAUAGCUUUUCAAAACACUCCUUUCACAGUUUAUUCUCUCAAAAUGUAAGACAUUUAAGUAUUGGGGUUUUAAGAAUAUUAAGAGCGACUGGAAAUUUUGAAUCUCUUGAAAUAGCGAGAAUUUGACUUCGGUACUUCGUGUGGAGUUUGGUAUCUCCUUCACGUCUUGUUUGAUUCCGAGUGGUAUGAAAUGAGCACUUUGUUGAUCUCUAUGGCUUCAUCCUUACGUUAUCCUUUAUUUCGAUUUCCGUACCUUUGUUCGAAAGUCUGUUUGGUUUAAAUUUCUAACCGAUCAUCAUGUUAUUGAUUUCACUGUCUUGGUUAAAUGUAUAAAUCCGAUUUAUAGCUUUUUUUUUAGCCUAGUUUUCGUAUUGUUUUGAAUCAUAUGAUUGUCUUGUUGUAAUUAGUAUGCCUAAUACGUCUUCAAGCAUGAGAUGCUCUCUUUCUAGUUUGUCAUUGUUAGUGUAGUUGCGUUUUCAUUCUGAUGGCUUGGCUUCCUCUGUUUAUUGGAUCCCUUUGUUGCCUUACUGCUUUAGCGAUAUGUUAGACCCGCUUCCGUGCUUUCGUUUUACUUAUUUUUUUUGAUGCAAAAUUUGCAGUUGAGUUUUAAAAUGUAAGAUUUCCGCUAAUGAUUCAGAUUUUCAUGACUAUCUGUGUUGCAUUGAAUCCAAUGAUACCAUUCCCAACUAAAUAACAAAAAUGAAUAUGUUUGUAUGUUUGGUAUUUAUUAUUAUUAUUAUUAUUAUUAUUAUUAUUAUUAUUAUUAUUAUUAUUAUUAUUAUUAUUAUUAUUAUUAUUAUUAUUAUUAUUAUUAUUAUUAUUAUUAUUAUUAUUAUUAUUAUUAUUAUUAUUAUUAUUAUUAUUAUUAUUAUUAUUAUUAUUAUUAUUAUUAUUAUUAUUAUUAUUAUUAUUAUUAUUAUUAUUAUUAUUAUUAUUAUUAUUAUUAUUAUUAUUAUUAUUAUUAUUAUUAUUUUUACUUAAAAUUGGUCUAAGUGUUUUUUUUUAUUCAAAAUCGGGGGGGCAUUUGUUAAUUAUGGUUUAUCCAUUUUUGCUUAAAAAUAAUAAUAAAAAAAUAUGUAUGGAAUUCUCAAGCGGUAUAUUAAAAGGCUUAAGUCGGUAGCAUCUCAUCUCCUCAUUUGAUCUUACGUCAUUAUUAUUAUUCUUGGUUUCAUGUGAUAUGUCUUUAGAUAAUAUUUAGGAGUUACUUGUUAUGCAUUAAUUUUUAUUUUUAUUUUUAUCUCAUUUGUUUUUACUUGUCAUAUCAUUCUAUCUAGUUUAUACAUAUAAAUGAUAAUUAUAGGAAUCCUUUGUUGACUCCCUAUUAUUUGAUUUUCCUUAUAGAAUAGCUACAAUAUUGGUAAUUAAGUUAUGUUAGUUUGAUCACUGUAGUGUUAAACUUGCUAAGUCAUUUAUCUCUUAGUCUUAUUGGUUUAAAAUAUAGUAUUAAUCUCAUUUGAUAACAGUUUCUAUGUGUACUCCAGAGUUCUGCCUUAAGUGCUUAACAUUUGUUCGCUGCCUGCAUUCUCAACAAUUCAUUUAAUCAAUGUCAAUUUAAAGGUAUAUGCAUGAAAAUGGAGAGUGGACCGAGGUCAAACUAGAAUUUGUUCACGAUUCGCAUAUCACAUUUCUUUGUUUAUAUCCUAGUAGUAUUUGUGAAUGUGUAUCAGAAUAACUUUAUCCAUUUUUCUCAUUGUAGCUAGCGACGAGUAGUGAUUAUUAGAUUAGUCCUUAAUAUCUUAUUAUGAUUUUGUCGUAUUGAGUUGUUAGUCGCCUUAAUGUUGUUCAUUUUUUAGAAAAUGUGUUAGAAUUUUCUCGUCCCAUGCUAAUAUGAUUUUAUUUGUCUUUGUAUGUGAAAUCCGCCCGAGUUCGCCAUGAACUCUUAUCUUCCCUAUUGCAUUUCGGGAGGGCCGCGAAGGCUCAAGUCUUUUUUUUUUACAUAUCCGAGUCAGCCAGAUCUUAAAAUCGACGAACAGGUCUCGAAAUUGAAAGAAAAGCGGACCAAAUCGGGAGUUGAAAAAGAUUGGGCCAAAGCCUACCUUUAUUUAUUCGGAAUUGUAUUUUGUUAUUAUUGGGCCUAAGUCCUUGCCAUUUUACUUACUAUUACUUGUUAGUUCCUAGGACAGGUGGAGAAAUUGGGCUUAAGGUCCAAAAGAAAGAUAUUUAUUUCAUGUCAGACUAGGACAGGUGCAGGUGACUCAAAUGGGCCGAAAAGCCCAAAACGAAAGUGGGCCCCAAAAUAUUGGCCCAGGCGGACAGAAAAACCAAUUUGGGCCCGAAUCUCCCUCUCUCCUUAUUAUAUAUUUCGUGUUAAUUUUAUUGUUAGUACAUGCUUAUUUGCUAAUUAAUUUUAAGGUUCUUAACUCAUAAUUCCCCAAAGGACACCCAUUUUAAGUUAGCUAACUUAUAGUACUUUAUCUUAAAAUAACUAAGUAUACUUGUCUUUUUUCUAAAUUAAUUUCUAAAAAAAUUAGAAGCUUUUCUCUACUUGGACAUUUUAGAUAAUAUAUUCCCUUUUCCUCUUUAAAUGAUUUUAAGUUAUAAAAUUCGUUCAUUCGGUAACUAGUCAAGCAUGCCCAUUGUUAGCCAAAUAUUUUAAUUGUUGGAUAACCGCAAGUUAGCGGACAUUUUGGGUGUUUUCAAACCCUUCCCGAAAUGUUAAUAAGAACCCCGAACCCCCUUAAUAGUUUUCAAUAGAUUUACUGUUUUGAUCUAUUUGAAAAUGAAUAGUUUUCUUGAUUUUUCUUAAAAAUUAAGUGGCGACUCUUAAACCAGUCAAAAUACAUUUUUAAAUAAAACAGUUAGAGAUUCAUAUGCCAGUAGAAAAUGUGGAGAACUUUUCUAUUUUAUUUCGUAAAAUGUUGGCCUAAUAUGAAUUGAGAUGGGGAACAUGACCAAUGAGGACUGAGACGUAGUAGUUAUUGUUGUUGUUGUAUAUUGAAGCUUCAGAAAUAUUUUUUUCAUGUUCAUACAUUUACUUCAGGCCGAUGCUUUCUAGGAGGUUUGUAGGACUAUAUGAUAGAGUUUCUUAUGCCAGUAGGAAAUAUAGAGAACUUCUAGUACUUUUCAUGAUUAUGUUUAUUUCGUAAAGUGUUGUCCUGAGGUGAAUUUAAGUGGGGAACUUGGUCACAUAUAGACGAUCCCAGCUUAUUUUAGACUGAGACGUAAUUGUUGUUGUUUAUUGAAGCUUAAAGGAUGUGUUUGCUCUUCUCAUGUGUUGACAUGGGGAAUAGGUACAAUAAAAGUCUUCUUGGGGAUAAACUAGGGAAGUUCCCUGUGCCUUUACUGAUAAACACUGUGCACUUUGCGAUGCAAGCUGUUUUGUCCAAGGCCAUUACCGGGUUUUGGCAUCAACGAUUUCAACCUACAGUGAUGAUGUCUUGGAGAGACUAUUCUUUGAAAGGUAACGUUAAGACUAAUAAUUCCCUUUUUUCUUUGGUUUCGAUUGAGUAGAAAACUAAAAGUAUUUGAAAGGCAUAUGAUAUUAUAGAGCAGGAAAUAUGUGUAUAAUGUGUUUAUGCACUUGUCCAGUGGAUUUGUUUACGAAACAUAGGAAGAUGAGAGUAGGAUUAUUAACGAGCUUGAAUGUAUGUGCAUCUUAUGAGUUGACAGCUUCAAUUAGCUAUAGUUUGUGACUUAGUUAAGCCCACAUGUUACACUUAUUGGCUUAUUACUGAUAUAUCGACAAUGGUUUCAAAUGAACUUUUAUGUACACAAAUAGAGGCAGUUCCUGUUACGUACGAGAAUCUCAAUUUUUAUCCAAGUUAGUUCUUCAUGAGUUCAAGACAUAUAAUCUCUUAUGUCUUUCAUUUCUAACCUUUAUGUAGGAAUCUUUUUCCACGACUAAUACUAUAGACGGCCUUUGCCUUUCACAGUUGUACCGACAGCUCUUACAACAGCAAUGGAUGUGAACCUCAGCAAUGCAUCCCUUGUUUUCAUCUCAGUCACAUUUGCCACUAUGGUGUGCAUCAUACAGUUUGUGUCAAUACUGAUAGACUGCAAAUUUUUCUUCAAAAAUUGAGCUCUGAGAAAGCAUGUUUGUUAAACUCACGCCCUUAAUAUUCGUCGAGGGCUCUAAUAUUUGCAUUUAUGUACCUUGAAAUUUAGCAGUCACAACUCUCUGCCACUAAAGUAAGUGUGAUUGUCGAAGCCUUCAAGGGCCACUCAAAUAAUCGUCUAAUAUCAAUAAGAAUAACAGAUUUCUUACUUUGUUUUCUCCUUCCUUAUUCUGAUACGAACUCUCUGCCCAUCUUUCUCCUAUUCUUCGCAUUUGCUUUCAGGUACUACUUUUAACCACUGAUCUCUUAUGUUUAAUUGUGAUUUUUUAUGGGGGGUAGCGGGCCAGAAGCAUCGAAUUUCUACUUGAUCCUCUGUUAUAGAUGUACAUCCAACAAUAUUAUUCAUAAAUGCAACUUUUUUUUCCAUAUUGAGGACUUAAUAGAAUGUGAUUGUUAAUUCGUUAUGGACUAAAAACCUGAAAGCGUCUAUGAAAUAACUAUCUUUGAUGAAUACGAUACAUUUGACGGGGCUCAUAUCUAAGCUGAAUACAUGGCCUCAAUUAUUUGUGUAAGGUUGGAGUCUCCAAAUGUAAAGCUGCUGGGGAUCAUCUUGGUCAUUUCUUGUAUUAUUUAUUCUCAUAUAUGAAGAAGUAUUCAUAAUUUUCAUCUUCAUCUGUCAUUCAUAAAUCAUAUCUGUAACCUUCACUUGUACACCAGAUAAAACGUUUACUUUAUCGUACAAUAUUUUCUCGUUUCACAACUAUCAUUGACAAUUUGGAUAAACUUAGGUAAUCUUCUUAAUGAGUGUUUUCGUAAGCUUUAUCGCCUUGUUGAUAACUGUGUCAUUUGUUAAUUUACAUCCGUUUGGUAGAUAAGUCUGACUCCAUUUUCUGAUAAUGCAGUUGCAAAGGAGACAGAAUUUGAGUUUUGGGAUUUGUCUUUGUUAUGCUUGCUGCAGUUAUGUCUGGAUUUCGCUGGACUAUGACUCAGAUUCUUCUGCAGGUUGGAUUUUGUGACAUUCGUUGCAUUGUUAUAAUUUAUUUCUCGUUCCGUUGUUUUGUCAAUAGUAUGUUUGCUUACUUUGUGUAUUUUUCUGUUUGUUUUCCCAUAUCCAACUGGUUGUGCUGAACAUAAAACUGGCAUAAAGAAAGAAGCCUAUGGUAAUGACUAUGAACAACUCUUAGCAAAUUUUAAAUAUUCUGGAAAUGUUAUUAUCACCAUCAUUAUUAUUAGCAGUCGUAGCAGCAGCGACUGCACCACUACUUAGACUACAUCAAAUCUGAUCUUGUUUUAAAAGGGCAGUUCGAUGCACGAAGCAUCUCACAUUCACGCAGGGUCCAAGGUAGGGCCACACCUCAAGAGAGCAUGAUGUAGGCAGCCUACCCUGAUACAAAUCAGCGGCUAAUUCCAUAGCUCAAACCCUGCUUUGUCUUAGUCCUAGUUUUGACCAAAUUAAUAUGUUGAUUUGUUAUUUGUUUUAUAGUUUGUGAAUAAAUUGUGUAAUGAAAUGCAUGCUUUGGUUAUUGCAGGUUUAAAAAAUCCACUCACACUAAUGAGCUAUGUUACUCCGGUAAUGACUCUUUCAACUGCUGUGUUGUCCCUUAUUUUUGAUCCGUGGCACGAAUUCAGACACACCAAUUACUUUGAUACGUCAUGGCAUAUAGCUAGAAGUUGUUUGUUGAUGCUUUUUGGCGGAACUUUGGCUUUCUUUAUGGUAUGUAUGUGUCCAAGCACUGGUAUCAGUUCAAUUUGUGGAUUUUCCAUCUCAUAGUGAAAAUGAAGCCUUCUAAUAGGCUUAGUUCGUUUAGAAAUGAUCUGAGUGUUCAACUGACACAGUGGAGACGAGUUGAUGUGUCUGAAUGUGCGUUCUCAAAGUUGGAGUGUUUAAACUGUUCCUAGCAGUUUAGUCGUCCUAAAUCAAAACGACUGUAUGUUUACUUAAGCUAUAGUAGUUCAAUCAAAUUGUUGAUAUCGAGCCCGUUUUAGUCAAAAAUGUGACUUUGGCAUGGUUUAAUGGCAUGUGUUGAAGUCGUAAUUUUUCCAUUUUCGCUACUCAUGUAUGAAAAAAUUCAUAAAGGUAGCACAAGUGAAGAUGAAACUGGAUCACCAUUAGGAAAUGCAGCUACCAAGUAUGUUAUACUUGAAGAAAUGGAAGAUCAAGACCAUGGUCCUUGAAGUAUUACAUAUGACAUUUCAACUACGCUGCACUCUGAUGGCGUUUUGUAUUUGCAACGGAAGGAAGGGGACGAAAAAAUGCAUAGAUUUUCUACCAAAUGAAGGUCAAUCGUAUACAUGAGGAAUAUUUCUUAAUCAAGGAAGUUGAGUUUUUUCACCUAGUAGACUAUAAGACAUGUUGCUUAUAGAAGAUAUUACGACUUGAAAAAGAAACUUACAAAAAUGUUACUAGUUAAGAACUAACUACUUAAAUACACUACAUUACAAUAUUCGGAAUUUUACCAUUUAGUGGCGACUUCCAAAAGUCGUUAAAUAACAUUUGAUUAUGGAUUCACAUGUAUCUAGGAUAUACAUUGAUUCUCUCGCUCGCAUCUCUCAUCUCUUGCUCCCCUUUCUUCCUUUCUCGCUCCCCUCUCUUCCUAUGUUAGGAAACCUUUAUGGAAUCCUCCGUUGGGAGUUGGGGGAGCAUUACGUACAAUCUCACAUUUUUUAGAGUGAACUUUGGGCAUUUAAAGACCAAGAUUUUCUUAAUUUUGUGUGUGUGUUAUUCCAUGAAUAAUUUGGUGAUAUGACUUCCGAACGAUUUUUUUUGUGAACCUUUAUGGUACCUUCCGUAGGGAGUUGGUGGAGCAUUACGUACAGUCUCACUAUUUUUAGAGUGAUAUGACGGAGAUAUAACUCCUAAUAGCCCAAAAUAUGUCUAAAAAAUGACAAGACUUCACAUAUUUCUCUCACAACUCUCUACAGAGGGUUCCGUAAUGACUUUGCACAAAAAUCAACCGUCAGUCACAUCACCAAAAUAUUCAUGAAUUAACUGUGUCCACACAAACCCAAUAGCAUAGAUGGAAUUUGGAAAGAUAAUUAUGUUGGGAUAUUUUCUUCCUGUGGUGCUCGCUGCAGCGUACAAUGAUGAGCUGUAUAUGUCUCCAUCUUUUUUCAUUCAUUUUUUUAAAUUUAAAAUGAUCGUUCCAUAGGUGUGAUAAGAUAUGAUAUAUUUUAAUUACACUUAAAGAUUAUGUCAUAAAUUGAGAUAUUUUAUGAGAUAAUUAAUUAUAUUACUAUGUAAAUGAAUAAUUUAUAUUUCAUCAUUAUAAAAUGGAAAAAUUCUUUUGGCCAGAAUGGUAAAAUAACAUAUUUCACACUAUGUUAUUUUAUCUUUUUGAACAUUUUUACCAUUUUAACUUUAAUACCAUUUAAUUAAAAAAAAUUUAAAAAAAUCAGUUUUUUUAAAAAUAAAAAGGAUAUUAUAGACUUUUGAAAAUUUCUAACCAAAUUCUGGCCAAAUUUUCCGGAUUUUGGUUGUAUGAUACUGAAUGUGAGACUGGAAUUGCUGUGCAAAUGGAUUUGGAGGAAAAGUACAUGGAUAAACUUGCAUGUGACCAAGAUAUCAUAGAUUUUGCUAAAUUUUAGGGUUUAAUUUUCAUGUUCUUUCAUUUAAUUUGUACUCCCUUCAUUUUAAUUUUCAUGUUCUUUCAUUUUCUAUGAACACGCUUUGACUAUAAUUAAGUAGCAUUUUAAGUUGUAGCAAGGAUUGUACUAAAAUAAAUAAUGUAAGAUUUUUGUUAGCAUUUUUGUUUACUUGUAGUAGCGAAUGUUCGCUACAAAAAAUCACUAUUUAGUGGCGACUUUCAAAAGUCGUUAAAUAACAUUUAGUUGUGGAUUCACAUGUAUCUAGGAUAUAUACACUGACUCUCUCGCUCGCAUCUCUCAUCUCUUGCUCCCCUUUCUUCCUCUCUCACUCCCCUCUCUUCCUAUGUUAGGAAACCUGUAUGGAAUCCUCCGUAGGGAGUUGGGGAGCAUUACGUACAAUUUCACAUUUUUUAGAGUGAACUUUAGGCAUUUAGAGACCAAUUUACAGGAAUUAUGUGAUUUUCUUAAUUUUUUGUGUGUGUUAUUCCAUGAAUAAUUUGGUGAUAUGACUUCCGAACGAUUUUUUUUGCGAACCUUUAUGGUACCCUCCUUAGGGAGUUGGUGGAACAGUACGUACAGUCUCACCAUUUUUAGAGUGAUAUGACGGAGAUAUAACUCCUAAUAGCCCAAAAUAUGUCUAAAAAAUGACAAGGCUUCACAUAUUUCUCUCACAACUCUCUACAGAGGGUUACGCAAUAGCUUUGCACAAAAAUCCACCGUCAAUCACAUCACUAAAAUAAUCAUGGGCUAACUGUGCCCACACAAACCCAAUAGCAUAGAUGGAAUUUGGAAAGAUAAUUAUGUUGGGAUAUUUUCUUCCUGUGGUGCUCGCUGCAGCGUAUAAUGAUGAGCUGUAUGUGUCUCCAUCCUUUUUUAUUCAUUUUUUUAUUUAUUUAAAAUGAUCAUUUGAUUGGUGUGAUAAGAUAUGAUAUAUUUUAAUUACACUUAAAGAUUAUGUCAUAAAUUGAGAUAUUUUAUGAGAUAAUUAAUUAUGUUAGUGAAAAACUUACAAGAUAACAAAAAAUACAAGAUUACAAUUGAAACUAAAAAUGAAGAAAUAAAUCUCUUCAGGAUGAGGCACGGAUAUCUCGCUCUCUUUAAGGAGAUUCAAGCCCACUGCAACAAAUGUUCUUGACUGAUCCAGCAGUAGUCCUCUUGACUAGCAAAGGUUUGAGUUUCAACACAUCUUUACCCUUUAGCUGGUCGAUUUGCUGAAGAUGAAUCGUCAAUUCUUUGUCUCGAUCAAGGUGUAACUUAUAUAAAAGCAACGGUCAAUUGUAAGCUUGAUGAUUUUCUUCAACAAGCAAACAAAGACGUUGAUCUAGCAUUGCCAUUUUGGCCUCAAGGAAUUAUGGAUGUGGACGAGACGAAUUUAUUCGUCAUGCCACUUCUGGUUGUGCAAGUCACAACAUUUGAAUGUUAAAGUGUUAAAGUGUGCCUUUAGUGUAUUUGUUUAUUUAGUUAUGCAUUAUUGUAAAUUAAUAAUUAUAUUAAAAAAUUAUAAACUAAUGACAUUCUGUUUUGCUAGAAACAGCAAGUACUAUCAUGUUAAUAAAACAAUGUAAUUAAUUGAAUAUAGUAUUUCGUGGGCAGGUGAUAAGUUAAAUGUAGAAAAGUUUGGUCACUUUAACAUUUUACUAUUUAUUUUAGACUGCUUUAAUAUAAUAUAUUAGGCUCUAUUAUACAUUAGAUGAGUAACAAUAAUAAUUAAAUUUCAUCUCAAUUAAGAAUGUGGUUCCACAUCUUUUUGAGAUACUUAAGAAACUCAAGGAUGCGGUUACGCACCUUGGCCAAAUUAUUUCAAUAAUUAAUUUUGUUAAUUCAAACCAAGAGAUGUAAUUUGAGAUUAUUAGAUGUGAUGAACUCGAGAGGGGAAGACGAUUAUGUCUCCAAAUGUCAAGAUCGAGAAUGCAGUUAUGCAUCCGGUUUAAGACUAAUAAAAAUUCAACAAUUAAAAAAUAAGCAAACCAUGACAUAUAUACACAAAUUAUCCAAAAACAUAUCAAGAUAAGUAUAAGUCAAUAAAAGAGACAGUGCUAGAACCACGAGAGUACUCGAGGGAUGCCUAAUACCUUCCCCUUGAUCAACAGAAUUCCUUACCUGAAUUUUUGGUUAGCAAACCAAACAAAGAGUCAUUUCCUUUUGAUUAGGGAUUAAAUAAAAGGUGACUUGGAACAUCAUAACUCAAUUCCAAGUGGCGACUCUGGAAAAAAUAAAAAAAAUAAAAAAUAAUAAUCUCUUAAUCAAUACGAACACUUAGAUUGAAAAAACCCUUUCCGCCGUGCGAAAAAAAGGGUGUGACAUCUCUAGCGACUCCGCUGGGGAUACUAACCAGAAUUCGAGCUUUGUUUUGUUGACUUUUAUUUUAUCUUAUUAUUUAUUUUUUUGGAUAAAUUGUGUGUGAUUGCCUAAUAUGAUACUUGUUGCUCUUUUAUCACUUUUUAUAUUGUUGAACUAUAAAUUGUCUUUCUUAGCGCAACCAUCUGAAUUGGCAUGAUUUAAUGGCACGUAUUGAAGACGUAAUUUUUUCAUUUUCGUUACUCAAGUAUGACAAAAUUCAUAAAAGUAGCACAAGUGAAGAUGAAACUGGAUCACCAUUAGGAAAUACAGCUACCAAGUAUGUUAUAAUUGAAGAAAUGGAAGAUCAAGACCAUGGUUCUUGAGGUUUUACAUAUGACAUUCUAACAAUGUUGCGCUCUGAUGGCGUUUUGUAUUUGCAACGGAAGGAAGGGGACGAAAAAAUGCGUAGAUUUUCUAGCAAAUGAAAGGUCAAGUUGUAUACAUGAAGAAGAUUUGUUAAUCAAGGAAGAUGAGGAAGUUGAGUUUUUUUCACCUAGUAAACUUUAAGACAUGUUGCUUAUAGAAGGGAAAUUUAUUACUCCCUAUGUGCUAAAAAAGUAAUGAUAUACAUUUUUAUACUUAGUAAAAAUUUAACUUUUAAACUUCUCGUUUUACCCCUAAAGUUAGUGGUGAAAGUUUGGUAUUCAGUUCGAGAUUUCCAAAUUUCGAGUUCAAUAGUUAAAAAUAAAUUCAAUUCAAUAUGGUAUUCAGUAAUACCGUAUUAAAGUUGUAGGAUUUGGAAAAGAAUGAUCACAAAUCUUUCUACUUUUUGUUUGUUAAAAUCAUGUCAUUUUUUCUGACUAAGUUAAAGAAAAAGAGAAAUUGGUUUCUUCUUUUGUUUAGAUGAUAAUGUUAGUGGACCUAGCUUGAAAUGUGAGACAAAAUUAUAUGAAUUGAAGUUUGAUUUCGAUAUGUAAUUCGACUGAUUUGAUGUUAUUUUUAUUCUUUAUUUGAUUUCAAGUAUGCAUAAAAAACAAAUGUAACGUAUAUUUACAUCCACACAAAUAUCUACACAUAUUUUUAGUUUAAGAUUACAAAAUUUUAAAAGUCGUCUAUACUUUCAUAAAUUAAUAUCCCAUGAAACUAAGAUACACAAACUAAAACUAGCGGAGUAACUUAGUACUAAUUCGAUUUGCUUCAUACAUUGUUUUAGUACUAGACAUAUAAGCUCGUGCUAACACAGACUCAAUAACAUACAUAGAAUUUGGAAAGACAAAUAAUUAUUAACAUGAUUAUUAUUAAUUUACGAGACUUUUACGAUAAUUUUUUUCUAUUCUAAUUUAUGUGAUACAAAUUAAUUUUCGUGUGUAUUAUUGCAUGGAUUUGGCGCCUCGGAGCACCCAAAAACAUAUUCUGAAAAAUCUUUAUAAGGACCUCUGUAAUGAGUUGGGAACCAUCACUUAUACUCACACUAUUUCUUAACGCUUAUUUAUGCAUUUACUGACCCUUUUUUAGGAAUUACGUAAAAAAAAUCAAUUUUUGGGUGUAUUAGCCUAUGAAUCUGGCGCAUUAGAGCACCCAAUUUUUUUUUCUGAAAAAACUUUAUGAGUAAUUCUAUAAUGAGUUGGAGAUCACCACGUAUACUCACAUCAUUUUUAACGACUAUUUCCACAUUUAUAGAUUCUUUUUUAGAAAUUAUGCAAAUUGCUCGAUUGUUCAUGUGUAUUAGCCCAUGAAUCUGGCGACUCGGAGCACCCAAAAUUGUUUUCUGAAAAAACUUUAUGAGAACCUCUGUAGUGAGUAAGGGAACCACCACAUAUACCCACACCAUUUUUAACAGCUAUUUUCGCAUUUACAGGCCAUUUUUUUAUGAAUUAUGCAAAUUCCUUGAUUUUUCGUGUGUAUUAGCCCUUGAAUCUAGCGCCUCAGAGCACCCGAAAAAAAUUUCUGAAAAAACUUUAUGAGGACUUUCGUAAUGAGUUAGGGAGCCACCACAUAUACUCAUGCAAUUUUUUUAAUGCCUGUUUUUGCACUUACAAGCCUUUUUUAGGAAUUAUGCAAAUUACUCGAUUUUUCGUGUGUAUUAACCCUGAAUAUAUUGGUGACAUGGCUUUCAGACGAAAUUUUUGCAAAACUCUUUACGGAACCCUUCAAAGGGAGUUGGGGGAGCAGUACGUACAAUUUUACCAUUUUUAGAGUGAUUUAUGGGCAUUAAGGAGUCAAUUUACAUUAUUUAGGCGAUUUUCUCAAUUUUUCAUGUGUGUUAGCCGAUUAAUAUUUUGGUGAUAUGACUUAUAGAUGAAUAUAUUACGAAACCUUUAUGGAAUUCUCUGUAGGGAGUUGGGGAAGCAUUGUGUACAGUCUCACCAUGUUUAGAGUGAACUUUUGGCAUUUAGAGGCCAAUUUAUAGUAAUUAUGUGAUUUUCUCUAUUUUUUGUGUGUGUAAUCCCAUGAAUAAUUUGGUGAUAUGAUUCUGAACGAAUUUUUUUCGUACCUUUAUGGUACCCUCCGUAGGGAGUUGGUGGGGCAGUACGUACAGUCUCACCAUUUUAGAGUGAUAUGGCGGAGAAAUAACUCCUAAUAACCCAAAAUAUAUCUGAAAAAUGGCGAGGAGACGUAUUGCUCUCCCAACUACCUACAGAGAGUUACGUAAUAAAUUUGCACAAAAAUCGAUCAUCAAUCACAUCACCAAAAUAUUCAUGAGAUAACUGUGCCAACACAAACCCAAUAGCAUAGAUGGAAUUUGGAAAGAUAAUUAUGUUGGGAUAUUUUCUUCCUGUGGUGCUCGCUGCAGCGUACAAUGAUGAGCUAUAUAUGUCUCCAUCUUUUUUAUUCUAUUUUUCAUUUAUUUAAAAUGAUCGUUCGGUAGGUGAUAUAAGAUAUGAUAUAUUUUAAUUAUAUUUAAGAUAAAAUUUAUUUCAUAAUUUGAGGUAUUUUAUGAGAUAAUUAAUUAUAGUACUAUGUAAAAGAAUAAUUUAUAUUUCAUCAUUAUAAAAUAUAUAAUUUCAGAACUAACUAAUACUCCUAAUUAUUUAUUCUGUAUUUUAUCUUAAUAUUGUUAUCUCUUUUUCUUUAAAUUCCAUAAGUUUUUCCUCUUCAAUUAUUAGGGAGCACGUUUAAAAGGCUUGCAAAACAUUGUUGUAAUUGGCUGGUAGAGUCGUGAGGAAACAACUAAGCAAAUGGAGAAACAAAAAUACUUUUUUCGUUCCAUUUUAAUUAACACAUUUUAUUUGAUACAAUAUUUAAAAAGGAAUGAGACAUAAGUACCUCCUAGACUAUUAUGAUCGAAAUCUCUGAGACACAUCUUAACUAAACUAAGAUCCUAUUAUCCGAACUGUUUUGUUUUUUUUUUGUAAUUUUUUACACCUUUUUGACUUACGUAGCAUCCAAACAUCUCUCACAUGCCUACAUGGAGUCAUGGAGUAUGCCACAUAAAUUAAUGGAUUAGUUCAAUUAUAUAUGCUUUUAUUUGAAGUUUAUUCUUCUACGUUCUUGAAUAAUCGAUUUCUACUAAUACAACUAAGGAUCGUUUGGUAAUUGAUUAGAACUUUACAAGUAUUAGUAUAAUGGAGAUAUUAGUUAUUAACUGUUCCACCUUCUAUCACACAUAAAAUAAAGGCAUAAUACAUAAAUAUGUCAUUUAACUUNNNNNNNNNNNNNNNNNNNNNNNNNNNNNNNNNNNNNNNNGCACAAGUAGACACUUAAACUUAUAUAAAGUUGAACAAAUAGACACACAUGUACUACAUGGCAUCCUACAUGUCAUUUUUUGUCCUACGUGUAUUGUGCCACGUAAAACUCAUGUGUCUACUUGUUCAAGUUUAUACAAGUUUAAGUGUCUACUUGUGCAUAUCCAAAGUUGAAGCGCAUAAAUGUGAAAUGAAGCCAAGUUAAAGGACAUAUUUAUGUAUUAUGCCUAAAGUAAAUGAUACACCAAUUUUUUCAUAACUUAAACAUACAUUAUUCUACAAGUUCUAAAAUUACAAAUCAAACGUUAUAUUAAGGUGUACGCCUCGUACCCCUAACUCUUCUCUCUCUCUAUACAUAUAUACACCUAUUUUUACCACAACUCUUCAUUCACAUUAAAGCUAGAAAUGGCAGAAGAAAUGAUGAACAACAAACAAAUCAUUCUAAAACAUUAUGUGGAAGGUUAUCCUAAGGAAUCUGAUAUGGAAUUUAAGAAUAGUAUCAUUAAAUUGAGUGUUCCAGAAGGUUCUAAUGUUGUUAUUUUGAAGAAUCUUUACUUGUCUUGUGACCCUUACAUGCGUAACCGUAUGAGCAAACUUGAGGGUAGCUAUAUUCAAUCCUUCACUCCUGGUUAUGUAAGUAUUUCAAUAAUUUACUACCACACAUGAUUAUUUAGUUGAUAUAUAUUAUACGAGAGUCAAAAAAAUAUAUUUAAUGUAUUUUUAUAAAUAGGUGUUUGGAUUAAUUUAUUUUAACAGUUUUUGGCUUUUAAUCUUCUUUUGAAACUUUUUGAAGGUGUUUGAUAAAAAACACCUUUUUAAGGCUGAGAAAUUACAAAAAUAAGUUAAAAGUAUAGAUAUUCUCAACUCGUGACUUUUAAGUUUUUGCUUAUAAGAUACUUAAAACAAAGUCAAUCUAAACAGCCCGUGAUCGUGGAUCUGGGCAGGGUGGUGAGUACUGGCUUAAUUUCUAUCUUGUGGAGGUAGAGAGAUUAUUUUCAAAAGACUUUCAAAAUCAAGUCCGAAUUUUGAGAGUCGAACUUGUUAAUCUUGAUCUGGAUUUGAAUAUAAAAUCUUUAAUUUUUUAUAAAUAUUCAAGAACAAUGUUAAAAGUAUUAUAAAUCAUAACAAUUGAAUAUAAAAUCUUUAAAUAGUGUAGACCUUGAUUGUUUCAAAUUUAACAUUAUGUUUUGUCUGCAGCCUAUUACAGGAAAUGGAGUGUCUAAAGUUUUGAAAUCUGGUGAUUCAAAUUUUCAAGAAGGUGACUUAGUUUGGGGAAUGACUGGAUGGGAGGAAUAUACUAGUAUUGUAACAACUACUCAAAGUAUGUUUAAAAUUGAUCAUGACAAGGAUGUGCCUCUUUCCUAUUAUACAGGAAUCCUUGGUGAGUGUUUUCGACUGGGUUAAAGUCUUACAUUAGUUGGGGUCUCUACAUAUAUGGAUUUGAAAAAAAUAAUUUUCGGGAUUGAGUUAGGCCCAGGCGUCAUAACUUUACAUGAUAUAUAUAUAUCUAUAUAUGAACCAAGUUCAUCCCUAUUUGGGAUCUUGGUCCACACGCUCCAGUUGGGCUUGCACUUGAAGGGGGGUCUAGAGUCCCACAGUGGUACUACAACAAAGCCAACUUUUAGCGGCAAUAAAUAGACACAUUAAUAAAGAGUGCUAAAGUCUUUACUGGCAUUAGUUAAGUGUCGUUAGAUCCAAUGUCGCUAAAGGCUUUAGGGGCAUAUACAAAGAGUGCUAAUUGCCACUAAAAAUACAUAUUUAGUGCCAAUUGAUCUAUUACCGUUAAUUAAUUGCCACUAAAGAUCGUUUUUGAUGUAGUGAUGGUUGGUUGGGGAAUAGACUGGUAAUCUGCUUAUAUGGACUCAGACAAUAAUCUUCUGCUUUUGCAGGGAUGCCUGGGAUGACAGCUUAUGCUGGAUUUUAUGAGGUUUGCUCCCCUAAGAAGGGAGAAACUGUGUUUGUUUCAGCUGCUUCUGGAGCAGUUGGUCAACUUGUUGGACAAUUUGCAAAGAUGUUAGGUUGUUAUGUUGUUGGUAGUGCUGGAAAUAAACAAAAGGUAAGUGCUUAAACAUUUCAUUCUUGAAUUUUAUUAGUGGCUUAUAAGUUAUCUUACUUAUCUUAAUCAUUGUUAAAUAAUCUAGCUAUCUCAUCUAUUCAUUAUUAUUAUUAAAGGUUGAUAUGUUGAAGACCAAGUUUGGUUUUGAUGAAGCUUUUAACUAUAAAGAGGAGCAGGAUUUAGAUGCAGCUUUGAAGAGGUAAGUAAUCUUAUAAAUUCCCACAAGAAAACACUAACUAAUAUGGAAAAAAAUAGUUUCCAGGGUGAAGGUGUUGGCAACGACUUCUUUUUUAACCUUAACGAUGUGGGGGGUUAGGCUUGACCCCUACCAUGUCUAUAACAUCCAAAAAGUUAAAAAAGUAGAGGGGGACAUGGACCUAACCUCUUGAUAGUGAACAACGAGGAUAAACUAAACAAUCUACAAAAAGACCAAGAUGACAUAGACUUUCAUACUAUAAGAAAAAUACACUGGUUCAAUUAACAAAAAAAUUAAAUUUGUCGUAUCUUCUCCUUAUGCUAAAGUUGCCACUUAUCUAGUAGAAAUAGUCCCUUCACCUCAGAAGAAUUGUGUGUGGUGGAUUGAACAUUAAGGGCAUAUAUGAAAAGAUAGCUAAUAUAACGCUAAAGGUAUAUAUGAACUGAUAGUAUAACGGAAAAGCAAUACUAGACCUUUAAUUUUCAAUAAUAUAGGAGUAAAUAUGACCUUUUUUUCGUAUUGGUUUAUUCUAUUAGGUACUUCCCUGAUGGAAUUGCCAUUUACUUUGAGAAUGUUGGAGGUAAGAUGCUUGAUGCAGUUCUUGUGAAUAUGAAACUUCAUGGUCGUAUUGUUGUGUGUGGAAUGAUUUCACAAUACAACCUUGACAAGACUGAAGGAGUGCACAACUUGUUUUGCCUUAUCGCGAAACGAAUCCGUAUGGAAGGAUUUCUUGUUUUUGAUUACUAUCAUCUUUAUCCUAAAUAUUUGGAAAUGAUCAUUCCACAAUAAAGGCUGGUAACAUUGUGUAUGUGGAAGACAUAGCUGAAGGUUUUGAAAGUGCUCCUAGUGCUCUAGUUGGUCUCUUCUCUGGUCUCAAUGUUGGAAAGCAAAUUGUGAUGAUUUCAUGUGAAUGAAUGGAUUUGGAUCUUUUCCAUUUUCUCUCAAGUUUUUACUUGAAAGGAAAGAUAUUGUGUCAUGGUUAAAUACUUAAAUACGCAAACAUUUCUAUCAUGUAUUUACUAAUUCUCUGUGUGGUUUGAAAUAAUUAGUCAUUAAUUGAUAGUUUCAUACUAGAUUUCAAGUCAGAUAUACUUAGGUACAUGUACUUUUGCUGCUAGAUACAUUCUGAAAUGCAGAUACAUAGGAAGAGAGUGAGCGAAAGAAGAGAAAGGAGAGAUGAGAGAGGCGAGAGGCAAGCGAAAGAGUUAGUGUAUUCCAGAUAUAUGCAAAUUACACUAGAUACAUAUAAUAUGAGUGAGAGAGUCAGUGUUUCCAAAUACAUAUAAAUUAUCCUUGAAUACAGUAUAUCAUGGAUGUGUCGCAUACAUGUGUUUGGGAACUGAAAUCUGACACAAACAAUAAUUUCAAAGAGGCACAUAAUUAAACUCUAAAUUAAAGAAAUUCUUAUCGUUUGCCCUUGAACUUAUUUAGGCAAAUAACAAUAAUUUUUAAUAAAAUAAACAGCAAUAAAAUACAUGGUGAAUAGCAAUGAUCAUUAGAGUAAAUAUAAUGUAUUUUAUUAAUAUUGAAAUAUGUGAAAAGAAAAAUAUUAUAGUGUAGCACAAGAUUGUAGGAGGUGUUUAUGAAAAAGAGAAGGGCAAAGCUUUUAAAUUUGAUGGGUAGAUAUCCUAAGUAGGGAAAAUAAAAGGUCGGAAGAGAUUAAAGAUUGCGAGAUUAAUAAUAAUUAAUAAAAUUAAAUAUAUAUAAUAUAGUAAUGAUGAGUAUAUUUUCUUAGAAAAUGAAUGAGUUUCAUAUAUAUUUUCUUAUAUUUAAUACGCGUAAGUAAAAAAUAUUUGUGUAUAAUCUAGAAUACUAUGUCAGGUAGGCAUGUGGGAUAUAUAUUGUUUCCCGAUGGGGAUGAGAGUGUAGAUAAAGUGUGUUAGAGAAUGGGGAGGACACAACUGAAGUUGAAUUUCAUUUGCGAAACUUAUUUUCCUACUUUCAGGCAUGGGAGGAACCAACCUUCAGAUGAACCCCCUUUGACAAAAAUAUUACUAUUUAUACAUGGUUAAAAUUAUUUUUUAUGUAUAUAUAAUAGAUGUCGAACUCCCUUCAGUUAGUUCGUGUGUUUAGUUCUUUAGAUAUUGAACCCCCUUAUUAAAAAUCCUAGGUCCGCCACUGCUUCCAGGAUAACUUUUACUAUACGAACAUGAAAAAAUUACUGGGCAUAUGAGUUUGAUAUAGCCCAUUUGAUACCUUCGUAUCCGAGUUCUCAAAAUUUCACUUCAAAGGUGCUGAGUUGGAAUCCCAUUCUAACUAACGAUUCUUGAGGUUCCGGAGGUACAACUACAGGAGAACCAGGAUUGGAGGGCUCCCCCGCCCCCCGUUCCGCCCAACUCUUUGGUCUUAAGAACGCUGGUUUUAAGAAUGAGUCAUUGCCUUUCUCCGACCCUGACUACCCAGCCUGAGAGCGGACAGCUAAUGCGUUCCACUUAUUGAACAGGGUCCUAUGGUCGGUCCGUGACCCCCGGAUGCCGAAGCCAUCCUUGGGGUGAUCUCAUAGUUCCUACGGGGUGGAGAUGAUGGGGUCGGUCCAUGGAUUUUCCUUCCUUUUCUUUUGCCGCAUUACGCUCAAAGGGUUGAAGGGAGAUAGUGCAUCAACCUGUUCGCAAGGGCCAACUUGAUCCUAUUCCCCAGAGAUCUCAGAUGAGGGAACCCUGGGAGAGAAAAAUGUUUCCUCCGCGCACCCUAUUUUAUUUUUCGUUUCUUGUUCAAGAACCCUUUAGAUGUUAGAAACAUUGAGGAUAAGUGAACUUCAUUCUCCCAACUGAAUGUUUAUUCAUUAUGUAUAUAUGAUAUGAAUGGAUUAACAAUUUGUCCUAUGAUAAUGUUUCUCAUAAGUACUUCUCUUUUGUGUUAUGUUAUAGCCUAUCACAGGAUGUGGGGUGGCUAAAGUUUUGAAGUCUGGUGAUUCAAAUUUUCAAGAAGGUGAUUUAGUUUGGGGAAUGAUUGGAUGGGAGGAGUAUAGUAUUGUAACUGCUACUCAGAGUGCUCUGUUUAAAAUUCAUGACAAGAAUGUACCCAUAUAGACGAUCCCAGCUUGUUUUAGACUGAGACGUAAUUGUUGUUGUUGUUUAUUGAAGCUUAAAGGAUGUUUUUGCUCUUCUCAUGUGUUGACAUGGGGAUCAAUAGGUACAAUAAAAGUCUUCUUGGGGAUAAACUAGGGAAGUUCCCUGCGCCUUUACUUAUGAACACUGUGCACUUUGCGAUGCAAGCUGUUUUGUCCAAGGCCAUUACCGGGUUUUGGCAUCAACGAUUUCAACCUACAGUGAUGAUGUCUUGGAGAGACUAUUCUUUGAAAGGUAACAUCAUGACUAAUAAUGCUCUUUUUUCUUCUUAACAACUAAUACUAUAGACGGCCUUCGCCUUUCACAGUUGUACCAACAGCUCUCACAACAGCAAUGGAUGUGAACCUCAGCAAUGCAUCCCUUGUUUUCAUCUCAGUCACAUUUUCCACUAUGGUGUGCAACUCUUUCUCCUUAUACAGUUUGUGUCAAUACUGAUAGACUGCAAAUUUUUCUUCAAAAAUUGAGCUCUGAGAAAGCAAGCUUUGUUAAACUCACGACCCUAACAUUUGUCGAGGGCUCUAGUAUUUGCAUUUAUGUACCUUGAAAUUUAUCAGUCACAACUCUCUGCCACUAAAGUAAGUGUGAUUGUCAAAGCCUUCAAGGGCCACUCAAAUAAUCGUCUAUUAUUGAUAAGAAUAACAGAUUUCUUACUUUGUUUUCUCCUUCCUUAUUCUGAUACGAAUGCUGGAUUCCUAAAUGCAAUUUAUGUCAUUGCAGUGUAAAUCUGCAUCUCCCAUCUUUCUCCUAUUCUUCGCAUUUGCUUUCAGGUACUACUUUUAAUCACUGAUCUCUUUUGUUUUAUUGUGCUUUUUUUAUGGGGGUAGCCGGUCCAGAAGCAUCGUAUUUCUACUUGAUCCUUUGUUAUAGAUGUACAUCCAACAUUAUUGUUCGUAAAUGCGACUUUUUAUUCCAUAUGAGGACUCAAUAGAAUAUGAUUGUUAAUUCACUAUGAACUAAAAACCUGAAAGCAUCUUUGAAACAACUAUCUUUGAUGAAUACGACACAUUUGACGGGGAUCAUAUCUAAGCUGAAUAUAUGGCCUCAAUUAUUUGUGGAAGGUUGGAGUCUCCAAGUGUAAAGCUGCUGGGGAUCAUCUUGGUCAUUUCUGUUGGGAUACUAUUAACAGGUAUGUUCCAUGCUUGCAUUUAGUUGUCUUGGUAUUGUUUUUCGUAUUUUAUAUUCUCUUAUAUGCAAAAGUAUUCACAAUUUUCAUCUUCAUCUGUCAUUCAUAAAUCAUAUCCGUAACCUUCACUUGUGCACCAGAUAAAACGUUUACUUUAUCAUACAAUAUUUUUCGUUUCACAACUAUCAUCGAUAAUUUGGAUAAACAUAGGUAAUCUUCUUAAUGAGUGUCUUCGUAAGCUUUAUCGUCUUGUGGAUAACUGUGUCGUUUGUUGAUUUACAUCCGUUUGGUAGAUAAGUCUGACUCCAUUUUCUGAUAAUGCAGUUGCAAAGGAGACAGAAUUUGAGUUUUGGGGAUUUGUCUUUGUUAUGCUUGUUGCAGUCAUGUCUGGAUUUCGAUGGACUAUUACUCAGAUUCCUCUGCAGGUUGGAUUUUGCGACACUCGUUGCAUUAUUAUCAUUGAUUUCUCGUUCCGUUGUUUUGUCAAUAGUAUGUUUGCUUACUUUGUGUAUUUUUCUGUUUGUUUUCCCAUAUCCAACUGGUUGUGCUGAACAUAAAACUGGCAUAAAGAAAGAAGCCUAUGGUAAGGACUAUGAACAACUCUUAGCAAAUUUUAAACAUUCUGGAAAUGUUAUUAUCAUCAUCAUUAUUAUUAGCAGUCGUAGCAGCAGCGACUGCACCACUACUUAGACUACAUCAAAUCUGAUCUUGUUUUAAAAGGACAGUUCGAUGCACGAAGCAUCUUGCAUUCACGUGAUGUAGGCAGCCUACCCUGAUACAAAUCAGCGGCUAAUUCCACAGCUCAAACCCUGCUUUGUCUUAGUCCUUGUUUUGACCAAAUUAAUAUGUUGAAAAUCGUUAUUUGUUUUAUAGUUUGUGAAUAAAUUGUGUAAUGAAAUGCAUGCUUUGGUUAUUGCAGGUUUAAAAAAUCCACUCACACUAAUGAGCUAUGUUACUCCGGUAAUGACUCUUUCAACUGCUGUGUUGUCCCUUAUUUUUGAUCCGUGGCACGAAUUCAGACACACCAAUUACUUUGAUACGUCAUGGCAUAUAGCUAGAAGUUGUUUGUUGAUGCUUUUUGGCGGAACUUUGGCUUUCUUUAUGGUAUGUAUGUGUCCAAGCACUGGUAUCAGUUCAAUUUGUGGAUUUUCCAUCUCAUAGUGAAAAUGAAGCCUUCUAAUAGGCUUAGUUCGUUUAGAAAUGAUUAUCAAUUAUUAAAGAACUUGGACGUACAUAACGAUAAGUACUUCUUCAUGCUUACCUAGCAACGUUUGUUUACUGCAGGUGUUGACGGAAUAUAUUCUUGUGUCUAUCACAAGUGCAGUAACAGUGACAAUAGCGGGAGUUGUAAAGGAGGCGGUAACUAUCUUGGUACGUCGUAGUAGGUUCAACCUUUAAAGUGUCUAUCUAUGUAUUAUGUCAAAGCAAUUUUAUGCACUUUUAAGUCCUAUUUUUGCUGGUUGACUGAAGCUUACUUACCUCAAAGAUAUUGUACUAUUCGAACACUGAUAGACUGAGAUAGGACGUGGAUUGCUUCAAUCUUGAAUAUUUUUCGAUAUUUGUCAAAUAUCUAUGGUCUAUGGAGUCCAUGGUUUCAACAAUUUGUGUAAUAGCUGGUAAUUUGCUGCCCUGUUCAGGUUGCUGUGUUUUAUUUUCACGACGACUUUACCUGGAUGAAAGGGUUCGGUCUCCUGACGAUAAUGUUUGGUGUCAGUUUGUUUAACUGGUACAAGUAAGUGACUGAAUCCUUCAUGUUCUAGCAAGAAGUUAUCUCAUAAUGUCUCGUUCUGCACUGACAUUAAAAUUAGAUUUACUGAACACAAUAUGUGUGCAUUCUGUUUUAUGUUAUCAAUUUAUGAUCCUCAGUUAGUAGACACCUUAACUUAGCCUCAACUGAUCAAAGUAAACACUCCAACUUUGAGAAUACGCAUCUAGACACCUCAACUCGUCCCCACUGUGUCUCGUGACAUUGACAUGACAAAUAGAUUUUGGAGGUGUCUAUGUUGAUUGUUUUGUAAGUUGGAGUGUUCAACUGACAUAGUGAAGACGAGUUGAGGUGUCUGGAUGCGUGUUCUCAAAGUUGGAGUGUUUAAACUGUUCCUAGCACUUUAGUCAUCCUUAAUCAAAACGACUAUAUGUUUACUUAAGCUAUAGUAGUUCAAUCAAAUUGUUGAUAUCGAGCCAUUUUUAGUCGAAAAUGGGACUUUGGCAUGGUUUAAUGGCAUGUGUUGAAGUCGUAAUUUUUCCAUUUUUCGUUAAUCAGGUAUGACAAAAUACAUAAAGGUAGCACAAGUGAAGAUGAAACUGGAUCACCAUUAGUAAAUGCAGCUACCAAGUAUGUUAUACUUGAAGAAAUGGAAGAUCAAGACCACAGUCCUUGAAGUUUUAGUCAUAGUCAUAGUUUAUUUUAUUUGUAAUUCGCAGCAAACAUCCCAUUUUUUUGUUCAUCUGGUUCGGUAUACAAUUACUCAUUCGGUAUACAAAUGUAUAAAAUGUGUUUGUAUUUGUAUAAAGUGAGAGAAAAAGUGUAUAUACAAAUACAGAUACAAAUACAUAUAUUUUCAUCUUAUACACUUAUAAUUAAACAAAUACAGAUCUUAUUAUACAAAAUACAAUGUAUAAAUGAAUUUAUACAAAACUGAACAAUUUGUAUAAAUUGGAUGUAUCUAGCAAAUUAUACAAAUCAAAAGCUCCAUAACAAACAUAAAAUUUGCUAUGAAACGCAAUUAUGCAAACUAUAGUUAUAACAUACAAAUAUAAUUUUUAUGUUUGCUAUAUUGAAAGUUGCUCUAAUUUUUUUGUGAAAGACAUUCUACAUUUACUUCUUAAGGAAAAGACACACUACAUUUACUUCUCAAGGAAAAGGCACUCUCUUUUGGGAAGAUGCAUGGUUAAUUCCGAACGAAACUCAAAGACAGAAAUUUAUAGGCCCUCUACCUUGGAAUGCCCUAACAAAGACACUGUUGUGAACACGACUGGACAAGUUGUGGGCUUGAGGCUAACUAAACCACAAAGAGGCCCAAGAAUUAGACAGCCCAAUACUUGUUUUCCUUGGGAUCCAGGUUGAGUAGACUUGAUUUAUCGUAUUCAUAAUUUCUAGCAAAUUACAACGGAAGGGGAUGAAAAAAUGCGUAGAUUUUCUAGCAAAUGAAGGUCAAUCGUAUACAUGAGGAGGAUUUGUUAAUCAAGGAAGAUGAGGAAGUUGAGUUUUUUCACCUAGUAAACUUUAAGACAUGUUGCUUAUAGAAGGGAAAUAUAUUACUCCCUAUGUGCUAAAAAAAUAAUUAUAUACAUUUUUAUACUUAGUAGAAAUUUAACUUUUAAACUUCUCAUUUUACCCCUAAAGUUAGGGGUGGAAGUUUGGUAUUCGGUUCGAGAUUUCCAAAUUUUAAAUUCGAUAAUUCAAUAAUUGAUAGUUAAAAAUAGAUUCAAUUCAGUACGGUAUUCAGUACUAUCAUAUCGAAGUUAUAGUCUAUUGUAUAACAAAAUUAAUAUUGUUACUUCAGUCAUUUUGAUUUUUUUAUAUGAAUGCACGAUAUAAUAGAAAAUUAACAACUAAGAAGACAUCAAGAUCUCUGCCACUGUAUACAUGAUUUGUAUUAAUGCAAGAUUGUGUUUAAUCCAUUGUUAAUGACCUUCUCAAAAAAUAUUUAUAAAUUUCCUAGGGAAGCCAACUUAUUUUUUAAAACAUGUCAGAGUAAUAAUUUCUGGAACAACUUGACGUAAAAACAGGUUGAACCUUAUCUCGAUUCGGUAUUAUUUUCUCCGUUUAUUUUUAUUUAUUUUAAUUUAGAAAAUUAAAAAAUAAUUUAUGUUUUCUCAGCAGUUUAGUUUAGAAAAUUAAGAACAACUCCCUCUCUCAGUCUCGCUCGCCAUUCUCCUCCCUAUAACAUGUAGCUACGAAUUAUAAUUAACAAAUUAUAUUACUCCCUAUUUUAUGCGGCACUUUUCAAAUUUUGAGAUUCAAUUAAGUCUAUCUAUAACUGUAAGUUUUUUAUAGAUCUUUUAAACAUUUUAAAUUAUCAAUUAUUGUGACUUAUAACACUUUCUACAUAGUUUAUAAAUAUAUAAAUUUCAUUUUAAAAAAUUAAAGAUAUCUUCGCAAAUUUCCAGCGAAACUUAAAACUUUCAAAAAAAUGAAAAGUGUCACAUAAAUUGGGACAGAUGAAAUAAUAAUAUUAAUACCUAGCAAUAUUUAAUAAUUUAUUGGUUGGUACACCUAACAAUCUCGUAAUCGUAUAGCAACAAUAUUUUAAUACUCCCCCUGUCCCAUAUUAUAUGUCACCUUUUUCAUUUGCAUUUGCAUUAAGAAAUGAAUUAUCAAUUAUUGUGUCUUAUAACACUUUUUAUAUAGUUUACAAAUAUAUAAAUUUCAUUUUAAAAAAUUAAAGAUAUCUUCGCAAAUUUUCGACGAAACUUAAAACUCUAAAAAAAUGAAAAGUGUCACAUAAAUUGGGACAGAUGAAAUAAUAAUAUUAAUACCUAGCAAUAUUUAAUAAUUUUUCGGUUGGUACACCUAACAAUCUCCUAAUCGUAUAGCAACAAUAUUUUAAUACUCCCUCCGUCCCGUAUUAUAUGUCACAUUUUUCAUUUGCACUUACAUUAAGAAAUGAAGUAAUUUUACCCUUAUGCCCUUAUUUAAUGUUUGCUUAAAACAACUUUGUAAUAAAUGAUGAAUAGGUUAGAUUUCAAAAAUAUAAAUGCAUUUGGAUGACUUUAAAUUUUAGAGUUUAUUUUUGGAGCCAAAAAAUUUCACCAAUUGAUCCAAAAAAAAUUAAAAAUCAAGUUUUUUCCACCUCAAUUUUCCUAUAUAUUUUGUGUAAAAUGUUUUUUUAUAUUUUAUAUAUAAAUUCUUAAAGCAAACAUGACAACAUCACAAAAUAUUCAAAUUCCAUUACUUUAAAUUAAUCUAAAUUUUCCUGCUGAAUCUGAUGUUAUUGAUAAUGAAAUUAGACGACAAAUGAAUUUUAGUUCUAGUUCGACAAAUCAUUUAUUUUUUUUAUUUAAACAUCGAGGCACAUAUUAAAGAAGAUUUGAAUACAAAUAUUGGUUUGUUGUUUUGUUUAAAAUUUUGAUUCGUAUUUUAAUUGUUUUAUUUAUAUUUAUAUACUUAAUUCAUUUUUACAAUACCAUUUGAAGGGCUGCAAACUGCAUCAGAAGAAGAUAUAUUAUCGAAAGAGUCAACUACAAAUAUUGGUUUGUUGAUAUUUUUUUUCAAAAUUAGAUUCUAUAGAAUAAGUAGUGAAUAAAGAAAGUAGUUAAUUAAUGAAUGAAGUACUCUCCCAAUGAAAUUAAUUACUUGUAGAUUUUCUAGGUUAAUCAAAGUAAAUACAUUUUCAAGAUUAAUUGAUUAAUCUAUCAAGGGUAUAAUGGAAAAAAUAUGAUAAUUUAUGCAUAAAUUUUAUAAAAUGAUAUAUAUUGUGGUCCAGCUAUUUUUAGAAAGGGAUGACAUAUAAUAGGGUUACGGAGGGAGUAAAAGAUCCGUACACAUGCAAUUGGUUACUGAUUUAAAAUAAUUUGUCUCUACUCUCAUCCAAAUAUGUAAUCUGACUGAUUUUAUGUUAUUUUUAUUCUUUAUUUCAAGUAUGCAUAAAAAAACAAAUGUAAUAUACAUAAUUAUUUAAUUAAAUUGAAAAAAAAAGUUAAGUUUUUUUUAAAAAAAUGGACAAGAUUCAACAAGAAGAAAGGUAGAAGAGAGAUGAAAAAUGGUAAUGGGCUUGAGGUGGGGGAGGGGUGAGUGUAGAGGCUAAUUAUUUAUUUAUUUUUUAAUUUAUAUAAACACAAAAUUAGAUCAAUUAUAUAAGGUUAUAUAUUAAAUAAUUUUUAAUUAUUUAAAUAGAGAAGGACCCAAAAUUUUCCCAAGCUAUGACAUUUAAUUUGUAUAAUAUUGUCCUUUGUUCAUAUUAAAGUGUGGUCCGUAAAAAAUAAAGACAUAUUGUACCAAACAAGUUAACGCUGAGAGCAUUUCUAACUCGAAAAAUUGACGAAGAACAGUUUUAUAUCAAAUAAAUAUGAAUCCUUUUACAAAAUUUUAAAAGUUAUCUUUACUUUCUUAAAUUAAUUUCCCGUGAAACUAAGAUACGCAAACUGGAACUAACGGAGUAACUUAGUACUAAUUCGAUUUGCUUCAUACUAUUAUUUUAGUACUAUGAUUAUCUCUUUUUCCUCUUCGAUUAUUAGGGCCACAUUUAAACUGCUUGCACAACAUUUCUAGCUGUAAUUGGUAGGUAAAGUCCUUGAGUGAACAGCUAAGAAAAAGAACAAAGCAUUGAACAUGUGGGAAAAAAUAUAUCACUCCCUCCAUAUUAUUGUAUUUUUCACUUGACACGAUAUUUAAAAAAUUUAAAAUAAUUUAUAGUUAUUUAAAUAUCUAUGACUCGAUUAUUUUAUUUCAUAAGUUUUAAAAGUUUAUUCUUUCUUAAAUUUAAUGUCGAUUUAAACUAAGGACAAUCGAGUAAUAUUUAGUUUAUGUAGCACUUUUUUAAAUUUUACUUCCUUUGGUCAAUUUAUGUAGCACUUUUUGUUUUUCGAUAGUUAAAUGGUUUAAUAAAAAAUUUGCGCAUUGAAUCUUUAAUUUUUUAUACUUAGUAGAAAUUUAACUUUUAAACUUCUCGUUUUACCCCUAAAGUUAGGGGUGGAAGUUUGGUAUUCGGUUCGAGAUUUCCAAAUUUCAAAUUCGAUAAUUCGAUAAUUGAUAGUUAAAAAUAGAUUCAAUUCAAUACGGUAUUUAAUACUAUCGUAUUGAAGUUAUAGUCUAUUGUAUAACAAAGUUAAUACUGUUACUUCAGUCAUUUUAAUUUUUCUAUGUGAAUGUACGAUAUAAUAAAAAAUCAACCAUGAAGAAGACAUCAAGAUCUCUGCCACAUGAUUUGUAUUAAUGCAAGAUUGUGUUUAAUCCAUUGUUAAUGACCUUUUCAAAAAAUAUUUAUAAAAUUCCUAGGGAAGCCAACUUAUUUUUUUAAACCAAGUCAGAGUAAUAAUUUCUGGAACAACUUCACGUGAACCUUAUCUCGAUUUGGUAUUAUUUUCUCCCUUCAUUUUUAUUUAUUUUAAUUUAGAAAAUUAAGAAAUAAUUUAUGUUUUCUCAACAGUUUAGUUUAGAAAAUUAAGAACAACUUCCUCUCCCAGUCUUGCUUGCCACUCUCCUUCCUAUAACAUGUAGCUACGAAUUGUAAUUAACAAAUUAUAUUUAUAAAGCGUAAUUAGAUUGUUUUUGAGUGGCUAUAUAUGAAAGUUCCUCAUUUUUUUAUUUCGUAAAAUUUUAUUUUUAACAAAAAAAAUUUAUAUCAACAAAUUUUAAUUAAUGUAAAUAUCACUUCAUUAGUAUAUCGAUCUGAUCAAUUUACUAUCAGUUUAGUUUUAAAUAAUACUUUGAUCUUUGUUAAUGAAUUAAUUGUUUGAUAAUAAAUUUAAGUCUAAAUUGUUAAUUUCAAUACAUGAAUAUUCUUAAUUUAAUUUGUUCAUUAGUUGAUCCAUUGAUCCAAUGAGCUAAUUUGAAACAUUAUACACGUUUUUAUUUUAAGAUCAUGAGAUUUUAAAAAUCGUCUUUACUUUCUUAAAUCAAUAUUUUAUAUAAUUAAGACACACAAAUUAAAAUUAAGGGAGUAACUUAGUACUGAUUUGAUUUGCUUGACACUGUUCUUUUAGUCUGUGUCAACACUAGUGUUCACUGUUUGGAUAAAAACCGAUCCAAAUCGAAAAACCAAAUCAAAUCGAUAAAAUAAAACCCAUUUUAUUUGGGUUUAGUUUGAUUUUAGAUUUUUGAAAAUCGGUAGUAUUUGGUUUGGUUAUGGUUUUACUCGAAAAAACUGAGGAAAUAAUCGAACCGAACUGAUGAAUUAUAUACAUAUAUUUUAUUAAUAUACAUACUUAAUAUAUUGUUUUUAUAAACAAUUUUAAAGAUCUUAUAUAUGUUUUCAAUAAAAUUUCUUUAUAUUUUACUUAUUGAAAGCAAAGAAUGCCCAAGGCGAAAACAUUUAUCUUAUUGAUUUCAUGUAAUAUGAGUGUCUAUGACAAUUCUUUGUUAGACUGAAAAUGUUAUUGUCACUUCCUUUUUGGGCAAUAUAGUGAAUUUUAAAGUUUUAUUGAUAGUAAAUUCAAUGAUCGAAAGUUCGGUAAUUUAAGUCAUUCUAACUAUUUUUUAUUUUGAAUGGAUUGUUGUCACUUUUUUCACAUUUUGAAUGAAUUGUUUCUUUUAUUUAUGUGUAUGGUUAAUAACCGAACCAAACUAAACUGAAACCGAUAACCACCAAACCGGUAAAUGUAUAUUAUAUUUGGUUUGGUUUGGUUUUGAUAAUUUUAAAACCGAUUAAGUUGGUUUGGUUUUAAUUUUGACCAAUAACCGAUCCAAACCAACUCGUAAACACCCCUAGUCAACACAAACCUAAUAACACAGAUAGAAAGACAAUUAAGGUUUUUUAAAAAGUAUUUUAUUAUUAAUUAUGGUAAUAUAUAAAAAAAAAAUUAUCUCAAUAUAUAUGAUACUGAUAAAUUUUCAUGAGUACUCACAACUACUGAAUUUGCACAUGCAGUUUGUGUGGCUGCGUGCGGAAAGGUCAGUAUGUCUCUAUCUUGAGAUAAAAUUAUUUCAUAAGUUGAGAUAUUUUAUGAGAUAAUUAGUUAUCUCACUAAUAUAUAUAUAUAUAUAUAUAUAUAUAUAAAUAUAUUUUACUCUUAUUAUAAACAUAUUUUACUAUUAUAAAAUAAAUAAUUUCAAGACUAACUUAUACUUCUAAUUAAAUGAAAAAUAAUAUUAUUUAUAUUUUAUUUUGAAAUUAUUAUUUCGUUUUCUUUGUACCAAAUUGAUAUGAACCCUUAAGCUUUUCCUCUUCAAUUAUUAGGGAGCCCACUUAAGGCUUGUACAACAUUGCACAUUUAAAUAAUGAUUUUAGUGAUAAUUUGUAUUUUACUUUAUGUGUUAUUUAACUAUGCACAUUUAAAUGGUGAUUUUAGUGAUAAUUUCUAUUUUACUUUAUGUGUUAUUUAACUAUGUACAUUCUUAAUUAUUUGAAGGGUAGGUUUUGGUGCUUGAAGUUAACAAAAGUAAACUACUCUUAUUUAAUAAAAUGAUUAUUUGAAAAUAUAAAAUAAAAUAAACGGUUGAUGAUUCUAAAUACUUGAGUGUUGUAAUUGGUGGUAGAAUAAAUUUACUCUAGUCCCUUAACAAAAUUCAAAAGUAAGUCAUAUCAUCUUGCAUUCUAAGUAUUCGAUUAAAUUCCUAGCUAAAACGAUAGUUUAGUUUUAGAAUUUAAUUACUCAAUCACUUUUUUGUUUGAAGACAAGGUUAGAAAAUUCGCAAAACCACAGUCUUUAACAUCUUGACACAAGUCUACUCUUUGUGGGAUCGACCCAAAUUUUUGUUGAGUUUAUUAUUGCUAUGAGGCCAAAGGCCAAUUUAUGUAUAUAUUUGGGGGUGUACGUGCACCCGUUAAUUUCGGAAAGAAUCACACAUAUAUAUAUAUAAUUAUCAAUCUUGAGAAACUUUCAGAAACUAAAUAUACUCCCUCCAUUCUAUAUUAAUUGAAUUGUUGAGACAUUUUUCAUUUUUCAUUUUUCAAAUUUAAUUGUUCAGUUUUCAAGACUACAUUUAGAGUGUUCUUCCAAUUUUUACCCUUCAUUAGUUAGUAUUGAAAUUAGUGAUUAAUUAAUAUUUAGUUAUUUUAAUUAUAAUUUUGACAAUAAUUAAUAAGGGUAAAAAUGGAAAACUAUGUUCAAUUUAUGUCUUAAUCUAUUUUUCUUAAAGGAUGUGAAACACCUCAAAAAUUAAAUAUUACUCCCUCCGUCUUAUUUUAUACGACACUUUUCGAAUUUCAAGAUUUAAAUAAGUCAAUCUUUGAUUGUAAGUUUUUUAUAGAUCUUUUAAACAUUUUGAAUUAUCAAUUAUUGUGACUUAUAGUACUUUUUAAAUAGUUUACAAAUAUAUAAAUUUCAUUUCAAAAAAUUGAAGAUUUCUAUGCAAAUUUCCGGCCAUACUUAAACUCUUAAAAAUUAAAAGUGUCACAUAAAUUUGAACGGAUGAAAUAGUAAUAUUAAUACCUAGAAAUAUUUAAUAAUUUAUCGGUUGGUAGUUGCUACGCCUAACAAACUCGUACUUCGUAUAGCAACAAUAUUUUAAUAAAAGAUCCGUACACAUGCAAUUGGUUACUGAUUUAAAAUAAUUUGUCUCUACUCUCAUCCAAAUAUGUAAUCUGACUAAUUUGAUGUUAUUUUAUUCUUUAUUUGAUUUCAAAUAUGCAUAAAAAACAAAUGUAAUAUACAUAAUUAUUUAAUUAAGUUGAAAAAAAAGAGUUAAUUUUUUUUAAAAAAAUGGACAAGAUUCAAGAAGAAAAGUAGAAGAUAGAUGAAAACAGGUAAUGGUUGCGCCGGGGGGGGGGGAGUGUGGAGGCUAAUUUUUAUUUUUUUUAAAUUUAUAUGGAACUCAAAAUUAGAUCAAUUAUAUAAGGUUAUGUAUUAAAUAUUUUUUAAUUAUUUAAAUAGAGAAGGACCCAAAAUUUUCCCAAGCUAUGAGAUUUAAUUUAUAUAAUAUUAUCCUUUGUUCAUCUUAAAGUGUGGACCGUCAAAAAUAAAGACAUAUUGUACCAAAUAAGUUAAAGUUGAGAGCAUAUCUAACUUGAAAAAUUGACGAAGAACAGUUUUAUACCAAAUAAAUAUGAAUCCUUUUACGACAUUUUAAAAAUUAUGUUUACUUUCUUAAAUUAAUAUCCCGUGAAACUAAGAUACACAAACUGAAACUAACGGAGUAACUUAGUACUAAUUCGAUUUGCUUCAUACUAUUAUUUUAGUACUAGACAUAUAAACUCAAUACAGACUCAAUAGCAUAGAUAAAAUUUUGGAAGGCAAUGAAUUUUUUUUAUAUAAAUAUUUUAUAUUAUUACAUAAUUAUUAUUAAAAUAUGAUACUUUCACAAUAUUUUUUUUCUAUCCUAAUUUAUGUGAUACUGAUUAAUUUUUGAGAGUACAAUCAAAACUACUGAAUUUCCACAUGCAGGCUUUGUGUGAGAAAAGCUCUAAUUUUUGGAAUAUUUUCUUGUUGUGGUGCAGGCUACAACGUACAAUAAUAAGCUCUAUAUCUUUUAAUCUUUUACUUUAUUUAUCUUUAAAAAGGUUACUGUAUUUGAUUUGUGGGAUUAAAAUUUAAACGUGAUAUUUUUGAAUUAUGCGAAAAUAAAAUUUAUCUUAUAAAUUGAGAUAUUUUUUGAGAUAAUUAAUUAUUUUUCUAUAUAUAAAAUUUUUUUAUCUCACCAUUAUAAAUUAUACAAUUUAAGAACUUACUAAUACUCAUUAUAUAUAUAUAUAAUAAUUUUAAAUUUUAGGUCAAAUAAUUAUCUUUUUUUCCUCUUCAAUUACUAGGGUCACGGUUAAACGACUUGCACAACAUUUCAAGCUGUAAUUGGUAGGUUAAGUCCUUGAGUGAACAGCUAAGAAAAAAGAAGAAAGCAUUCAACAUGUGGGAAAAAAGAUAUUAUUGUACGAACAUCUUUUCACUUGACACGAUAUUUAAAAAAUAAUUUUUUUAAAAAUUUAUAAUUUAAAAUAAUUUAUAGUUAUUCGAAUAUCUAUGACUCGAUUAUUUUAUUUCAGAAGUUUUAAAAGUUUUUCUUUUCUUCUUUCUUAAAUUUAAUGUCGAUUUAAACUAAGGACGGUCGGAGUAAUAUUUGGUUUAUGUAGCACUUUUCUUAAAUUUUACUCCCUGGUCAAUUUAUAUAGCACUUUUCGUUUUUCGAUAGUCAAAUGGUUUAAUCAAAAAUUUGCGCAUGGAAUCUUCAAAUUUUUUGAAAUAAAAUUUAUAUAUUUAUGAACUACGUAAAAGUACUAGAAAUUACAAAAAAUAUAUAAAAAAUUUAUGAUCAAAGAUAGAAUUGUUUGAUCUCGAAAUGUCAACUCAAUUAUUAUCGAGUGGUCGCAUUUGUACAACUCAAGUCUGUGAUCACCUCCUUUCGCAUGUUAAUUAAUUCCAUUUCAUUCUUUUUUAAAUACAUUAUACAUAUUUUUAAUUGGUUUUAAAAGUCGUAUUUACUUUCUUAAAUUAAUAUCCUGUCAAAUUAAGACACAUAAAUUGAAAUUGAGGGAGUAACUUAGAGAGUGUUUGGAUUUGUUUAAAAGUUGGUCAAACUUACUUACAAGUCAGAUUUUUACUUCUGAAACUGUUUGACAAAUACAUAAGCUUGUACCAAUACAAAUCCAGUAAUGCAAAUGAAAAGACAAUUAAAUUUCUUUUUAAAAAAUAUUUUAAAUUAUUAAUUAUUAUUUUUUAUCUCAAUUUAUGUGAUACUGAUAAAUUUUCGAGAGUACUCACAACUAGUGAAUUUCCACUCUAAUUUAAGUUAGGGAUAUUUUCUUCUUUAUGAACUUAUAUAUACAUUACUUGUUCAUUUCAUUCUUUUUAGGACAAGUUAAGUUUGAGUACAUUUAACUAUGAACUAUUCAAUGCAAGUUAAGAUUUUGUCCAAAAACCUCAUUAAACCAUCAUUACCAACGCCACAACACCUUAAAAAUUACAAGUUAUCUUUCUUUGAUCAAGUGGCGGAUGUAGCACACUUACCUCUUGUUCUUUUCUAUCCUCAUUGUGACAAUAACAUGAAAAAUGAUGAACUCGAAGAGUCCUUAUCGAGGAUUUUAACACAUCUUUACCCUUUAGCUGGUCGAUUUGCUGAAGAUGAAUCGUCAAUUAUUUGUCUCGAUCAAGGUGUAACUUAUAUAAAAGCAACGGUCAAUUGUAAGCUUGAUGAUUUCCUUCAACAAGCAAACAAAGACGUUGAUCUAGCAUUGCCAUUUUGGCCUCAAGGAAUUAUGGAUGUGGACGAGACGAAUUUAUUCGUCAUGCCACUUCUGGUUGUGCAAGUCACAACAUUUGAAUGUGGUGGUCUAGCCCUAGCUAUUAGCCAUGCACACCCUGCUAUGGACGGAUGCACCACAUUCAAAUUCAUUUAUGAAUGGGCUAAAGUGUGCAAAUUUGGUACUCCUUCUAAGGAUAUCAACUUGAACCUCAAUUUAGGCACUCUUUUCCCUUACAAAGAUUUAACAACUAUUCUUGAGCCUCCGGUUGACGAAGGCAAACGUAAAAACUCUAAGUUAGUUGCCAGAAAGUUUGUUUUUGAGGAAGAUGCAAUAUUGAGGCUCAGAGAGAAAUUUGACUCAACAACUAGCGAAGGUUUGAGUUUCAAACCUUCGCGAGUUGAGAUGAUUACAACACUUUUAUGGAGGUCACUUAUCCGUUCCACAGGAAGUACUUCACAUUUGAAACGGUCUAUAAUGGCAUUUCCAAUUAAUUUACGUGGUAAGGUAGCAGCUUUUCCUGAAAUUGCCAACUCUUUUGGGAAUCUUAUUAUCGAAAUUCCAAUAAAAUUUGAACACGACGAUGAAACAAAAAUGGAGUCGUUGCAUCACAUUGUAAAACUAAUAAGAGAGUCAGUUCAAGUGAUUAUCAGUAAAUGUGUCAAAGCUACUCCGGAUGAAAUAGUUUCUUUGGUUAUCGACUUAUACAAGGAUAGUUACGCCGGAUUAGAAUGGGGAGGAGACAAUGAAGUUGUGAAUUUUACGUGCUCAAGUUUAUGUAGGUUCCCCGUACAAAAAACUGAUUUUGGUUGGGGAGAACCAAGUUUGAUGCACUUUGGGUCAAGACAUAGCCAAGUUUUUUGGUUGUAUGAUACUGAAUGUGAGACUGGAAUUGUUGUGCAAAUGGAUUUGGAGGAAAAGUACAUGGAUAAACUUGCAUGUGAUCAAGAUAUCAUGGAUUUUGCUAAAUUUUAGGGUUUAAUUUUCAUGUUCUUUCAUUUAAUCUGUACUCCCUUCAUUUUAAUUUAAGUAUGUGUGUUGCUAUUGUUUUUUCUUUGGUUUGUUUUGAAUAUGAAUGUCAUUUUCUAUGAACACGCUUUGACUAUAAUUAAGUAGCAUUUUAACUUGUAGCAAGGAUUCUACUAAAAUAAAUAUAUAAUAAGAUUUCUGUUAGAAUUUUUGUUUAGUGUAGUGGCGAAUGUUCGCUACAAAAAAUCACUAUUUAGUGGUGACUUUCAAAAGUCGUUAAAUAACAUUUAGUUAUGGAUUCACAUAUAUCUAGGAUAUAUACAUUGACUCUCUCCUCACAUCUCUCAUCUCUUGCUCUCCUUUCUUCCUCUCUCGCUCCCCUCUCUUCCUAUGUAUCAUAGAUGCAUUUAUCUAGUACUGUGAUUCACAUGUAUCUGGGAUCUCGCCUCUCUCCUCUCUCGCUCGCUUCUUUCCUCUCUCGCUCACCCCUUUUCCUCUCCCGCUAGCUCCCUAAGUAUUUGUAUUUCAGAGAGUAUUUAGAAGCAAUUUAGGUGUAUUUGAUUUGAAAUUUUGUAUGAAAUUAUUAAUUAGUGAAAUGAUAUGUAAUUGUUUCAAACCUUAGAAAAAAAUAGUAAAUAUGAUAAGAAUGUUUAUUUAUAUAAAAUAUUUUUUUUAAAAUUAAAAAAUAGUGAAAGGAAAUAUAUAUAUAUAUAGUCAUUACUUUAGUUUCUUAUAGUCAAGUCAGCCCGACAAGGAAGAGCCAGAACCCUCAGUAGAGAGUUGGAGGAGCAGUAUAUGAAGCCUCACCGUUUUGGGAAAUAUUUGGGCAUUUAGGGGUCACUUUACAGGAACUAGGUGAUUUUCUCAAUUUCUCGUGUUUGUUAGGGCAUAAAUAUUUUGGUGAUAUCGCUUGUGGACGAUUUCUUUGCAAAACCUUUACGAAAUCCUCCAUAUAUAGGGAGUUGGGGGGAGUAGUCCAUGCAGUCCCACAAUUUUUACAGUCCAUUUGGAUAUUUAGGGGCCAAUUUACAAAAAAAUAGGUGAUUUUUUCAAUUGUUUGUUUGUGUUAGCCUAUGAAUAUUUUGGUGAUAUGGUUUCCAUACGAUUUCUUUGCAGACCUUUACAGAGCCCUCCAUACGGAGUUGAGGGAGCACUGCGUAUAGUCUCACAAAUUUUAGAGGCCAUUUUGGGCAUUUAGGGGCCAAUUUAGAGUAUUAAGAUGAUUUUCUUAGUUUUUCUUGUGUGUCAGCCCAUGAAUAUUUGAUAAUAUGGCUAUCGGACAAUUUCUUUGUGAAACCUUAACGGAACCCGCCGUAGGUAGUUAGGAGAACAGUACGUACAAUCUCACAAAUUUUAGAGUGAUUUCAGGGCAUUUACGGGCCAAUUUACAAGUAUUAGGCGAUUUUCUCAGUUUUUCGUGAGUAUUAGCCCAAACAUCUGGCACCUUGGAGCACCCAAAACAUAUUUCUGAAAAAAAACAUUUUGAGGACCUCCGCAAUGAGUUGGGAAACAUUACAUAUUGUCCCACCAUUUAAAGACAUAUUUUUGCUUUUACGAGCUAAUUUUUAGAAAUUAUGCAACUUUCUUGGUAUUUCGUGUGUAUUAGCACAUUGAUUUUGCGCCUUAGAGCACCCAAAAAAAAUAUUCUGAAACUUUUUUAUGAUGACCUCCAUAAUAAGUUGGGAAGCAUUAGGUAUAGUCCCACCAUCGUUUAAGGCAUAUUUUCGCAUUUACGAGCUAACUUUUAGGAAUUACGCGACUUUCUUGGUUUUUCGUGUAUAUUAGUCCAUUGAUCUGGCACUUUGGAGCAACCAAAUUACGAGGACCUCCAAAAUGAGUUGGUAAAUCAUUUUAACGCCUAUUUCCGCAUUUACAAGCCUUUUUUUUAUGAAUCAUGCAAAUUUCUCGAUUUUCGUGUGUAUUAGCCCAUGGGUGUCGGAGCACCCAAAUUUUUUUUCUGAAAAAAUUUUAUGAGAACCUCCGUGAUGAAUUUGGGAACUACCAUUAAUACUCACACAAUUUUUUAACUCCUAUUUUCGCAUUUACAGACCUUUUUUUAAAGAAUUAUGUGAAUUCCUCGAUUUUUCAGAGUGUAUUAGCCUAUGGAUCUGGCACCUCAAAGAACUCAAAAAAAAUUUCUUAAAAAACUUUAUGAUGAUCUUCGUGAUAAGUUGGGGAACCACCACGUCUACUCACACAAUAUUUUAACGUCUAUUUCCGCAUUUACAUGCCUUUUUUAGGAAUUACGCAAAUUCCUCGAUUUUUCGUGUGUAUAAGCCCAUAGAUAUGGCGGCUUAGAGCACCCAAUUUUUUUUUCCUGAUAAUACUUUACGAGGACCUCCAAAAUGAGUUGGGGAACUACCACAUAUACUUACACUAUUUUUAACGCCUAUUUCCGCAUUUACAAGCCUUUUUUUAUAAAUUAUUAAAAAUUCUCGAUUUUUCGUAUGUAUUAUCCCGUGGGUCUAACGCCUCGAAGCACCCAAUUUUUUUUCUGAAAAAACUUUAUAAGAACCUCCGUGAUGAGUUUGGGAACUCAUAUGAAUACUCACACAAUUUUUAACACCUUUUCGCAUUUACAUGCCUUUUUUAGGAAUUAUGAGAAUUCCUCAAUUUUUCAGUGUGUAUUAUUAGCCUAUGGAUCUAGCGCCUCAGAGAACCCAAAAAAAAAAUCUGAAAAAACUUUAUGAUGAUUUCUAUGAUAAGUUGGAGAACCACCAUGUAUACUCACACUAUUUUUAACAUCUAUUUCCGCAUUUACAGGCCCUUUUUAAGAAUUACGCAAAUUUCUUGAUUUUUCGUGUGUAUUAGCCCAUAGAUCUAGCGCAUCCGAGCAUCCAAACAUUUUUUUUGAAUUUUUCUUUAAGGACCUUCGUAAUGAGUUGAGAACCAACACGUAUACUCUCACAAUUUUUUAAUUUCUAUUUCUGCAUUUACAGGCCUUUUUUAGGAAUUAUGCAAAUUUUUCGAUUUUUUGUGUGUAUUAGCCCAUGGAUCUGGCACAUCAGAGCACUCAAUUUUUUUUCUGAAAAAACUGUAUGAAGACCUCUGUAAUGAGUUGGGAAACCACCAUGUAUACUCACACCAUUUUUAACGCAUAUUUCCGCAUUUAACGGCCUUUUCUUAGAAAUUGCGAAGCACCCAAACUUUUGGCCUCUCGGAGCACCUAAACUUCUUUAUAAAAAAACUUUAUGAGGACCUCUGUAAUGAGUUGGGAACCACCACAUAUACUCACACCAUCAUUUAAUGCCAAUUUUCGCAUUUACAUGAACCUUUUUUUAGGAAUUACAGAAAUUUCUAGAUUUUUUUUGUGUAUUAGCCCAUGAAUAUGACACCUCAGAGCACCCAAUUAUUUUUUUUUGAAAAAAACCUUAUGAGAACUUCUGUAAUGAAUUUUGGAACCACCACGUACUCACAUAAUUUUAUUGUUAUUUUUGCAUUUACAUGCCUUUUUUAGAAAUUACACAAAAUUCUCAAUUUUUCGUGUGUAUUAGCUGAUGGAUCUAGCGCCUCGGAGCACCCAAAUUUUUUUCUGAAAAAACUUUAUGAGGACCUCCAUAAUGAGUUGGGAACCGCCACGUAUUCUCACUUCAUUUUUUAAUGCCUAUUUCCGUAUUUACAAGCCUUUUUUAAAGAAUUACGCAAAUUCAUUGAAUUUCUGUGUUUAUUUAGCCCAUGGAUCUGGCGCCUCAGAGCACCCUCAUUUUUUUUCCUGAAAAAGCUUUAUGAGGAUCUAAGUAAUGAGUUGGGGAACCACCACGUAUAAUCAUACCAUUUUUAAAACGCUUAUUUUCGAAUGUACAGACCCUUUUUAGAAAUUACUCAAAUUUCUCUAUUUUUUAUUGGUAUUAACCUAUUAAUUUGGAGCCUCAAAGCACCAACAUUUUUUUUAUGAAAAAACUUUAAAAGAACCUCUAUAAUGAGUUGGGAACCACCACGUAUACUCAUACAUUUUUUCAAUGCCUAUUUAUGCAUUUACAUGCCCUUUUUUUUUUAGAAAUUACACAAAUUCCUUGAUUUUUCAUGUGUAUUAAUUAAGCCCAUUGAUCUGGCUCCUCUGAGCACACAAAACUUUUUUCUGAAAUUUUUUUAUGAGAAUCUCUGUAAUGAAUUUGGGAACCACCACGUAUAUUGAAAUAAUUUUUUAAACGCCUAAUUCCGCAUUUACCGGCCCUUUCUUAGGAAUUACGCAAAUUCCUCAAUUUUUCGUGUGUAUUGGCCCAUGGAUUUUACACAUCAAAGAAUCCAAAUUUGUAUUCUGAAAAAACUUUAUGAGGAUCUUGGUCAUGAGUUGGGAAUCACCACAUAUAUUACACCAUUUUAAAACGCCUAUUUCCGCAUUUAAGGCCCAUUUAGAAAUUAAGCAAAUUCCUAAUUUUUUUUUUGUGUAUUAGCUUAUGGAUCUGGCGCAUAGGAGCACCCAAAUUUUUUUCCAGAAAAAUUUUAAUGAGGACUUCCGUAAAGAGUUCGAGAAUCACCGCGAAUACUCAUACCAUUUUUAACGGCUAUUUCCGCAUUUACAUGCCCAUUUUAGAAAUUACGCAAAUUCCUCAAUUUUUCAUCAAUAUUAGCCUAUGGAUCUGGCGCCUCGGAGCACCCUAAAUUUCUUUCCGAAAGAACUUUAUGAAGACCUCUGUAAUGAGGUUGGAAACCAUCACGUAUACUCAUACUAUUUUAUUAUCGUCUAUUUCCGCAUUUGCAAACCCUUUUUAGGAAUUACACAAAUUUCUCGAUUUUUUGUGUGUAUUAUCACCCAUGGAUCUAGCGCCUCUAAACACCCAAAAUAAAUUUAUGAAAAAACUUUAUGAGGACAUAAGUAAUGAAUUGGGGAACCACCACUUAUACUCACAUAAUUUUUAACGCUUAUUUCCACAUUUACAGACCCUUUUUUAAGAAUUAAGGAAAUUUCUUGAUUUUUAGUGUCUAUUAGUCUAUUAAUCUGGCGCCUCGAAGUACCCAAAAAUUUUUUUUGAAAAAACUUUAUGAGGUCCUCCAUUAUGAGUUGUGGAACCACCACGUACAGUCACAUCAUUUUUUUAACACCUAUUUAUGCAUGCAUUUACAGGCCCUUUUUAGGAAUUACACAAAUUCCUUUUUCUCUCAUAGAUACGGUGCCUCGGACCAUCCAAAAAAAAAUUUGAAAAAACUUUAUGAUAACCUUCUUAAUGAAUUGGGAAAACACCACGUAUAGUCAGUCACACCAUUUAACACAUAUUUUCGUAUUUACAAGUCCUAUUUAGAAAUUACGCAAAUUUCUUAAUUUUUGUGUGUAUUAGCCCAUAGAUCUAGCGCCUCAGAGAACCCAAAAUAUUUUCUGAAAAAAAUUCGUUAAUAGGUUGGAAAACCACCACGUAUAUUCACACAAUUUUUAACGCAUAUUUGAACAUUUAUAGACACCUUUUUUAGGAAUUACACAAAUUUCUGAAUUUUUCGUGUGGACAAGUCCUUUUUUAAGAAUUGCCCAAAUUCCCCAAUUUUUUGUGUGUAUUAGCCAAUGAAUCUGACGUCCGAAGCAUCCAAAUUUUUUUUCUCAAAAAACUUUAUGAGGACCUCCGUUAUGAUUUGGGGCCCUUCACGUAUACUCACGCCAUUUUUUAAAAUCUAUUUUCGCAUUUACAAGCCUUUUUUUAAGAAUCGCCCAAAUUCCCCAAUUUUUCGUGUGUAUUUGCCUAUGGAUCUGGCGCCCAGAACACCCAAUUUUUUUUACAAAAAACAUUACAAGGACCUCUGUAAUGAGUUAGGGAACCUUCACAUACACUAAUACCAUUUUUUAACGCCCAUUUCUGCAUUUAAAAUCCCUUUAUAAGAAUCGUUCAAAUUUCCCAAUUUUUCGUGUGUAUUAGCCUAUGGAUCUGGCGCCCGGAGCACCCAAUUAUUUUUUCCAAAAAACAUUUUUAGGACCUGUGUAAUGAGUUGGGAACCUUGACGUGUUCUCACACCAUUUUUUUAACGCUCAUUUUUGCAUUUACUAGGUUUUUUUAAUAAUCGCCCAAAUUCCCCAAUUUUUUUGGAUUUGGUGCCCAGAGCACCUAAAUUUUUUUUCUCAAAAAUUUUGUGAGAACCUCCGUAAUGAGUUGGGGAACCUUCACGUAUACUCACACCAUUUUUAACUCCUAUUUCCGCAUUUACAAGCCUUUUUCUAUGAAUUGCCCAAAUUUUUCAAUUCUUCGAUUUUUCGUGCGUAUUAGCCCAUGGAUCUGGCGUCCGCAACACCAAAACAAAUUCUCAAUAAACUUUAUGAGGACCUCCAUAGUGAGUGGAAACUUCACGUAUACUCAGACCAUUUGUUUUAACUCUCAUUUCUGCAUUUACAAGCCCUUUAUUAAGGAUUGCCCAAAUCCUCAAUUAUUCGUGUGUAUUAACCCAUUGAUCUGGUGUCCAAAGCACCAAUUUUUUUUCUCAAAACACUUUAUGAGGACCUCCGUAAUGUGUUGGGGAACCUUCACGUAUACUUACACCAAUUUUUAAAUGUCAUUUCCGCAUUUACAAGACCCUUUUUUUAAAAAUCGCCCAAAUUUCUCAAUUUUUCGUGUGUAUUAGCCCAUCAAUCUUGCGCCCGAAGCACACAAAUUUUUUUCUCUAAAAACUUUUUGAAGACCACCUUAAUGAGUUAGGGAACUACCACGUUUACUCAUAUCAUUUUCUUUACGCCUAUUUUUGUAUUUACAAGCUCUUUAUUAAAAAUCACCCAUAUUUACCCAUUUUCCGUGUGUAUUAGCCCAUGGAUCAAUCAUUCGGAGCACCCAAUUUUUUUUCUCAAAAAACAUUAUGAGGACCUCCGUAAUGAAUUGAGAAUCUUCACGUAUACUCACACCAUUUUUGAACGACCAUUUUUGCAUUUAAAGCCUUUUUUUAAGGAUCGCCAAAAUUUCCUUUUUUCGUGUGUGUUAGCCCAUGGAUCUGGCAUCCGUAGCACCCAAAAAAAAUUUCUCAAAAAACUUUAUGAGGACCUCUGUAAUGAGUUGGGGCACCUUCACUUAUACUCACUAUUUUUCAAUAACCAUUUCCGCAUUUCCAAGCCUUUUUUUAAGGAUCGCCAAAAUUUCCUUUUUUCGUGUGUGUUAGCCCAUGGAUCUGGCAUCCGUAGCACCCAAAAAAAAUUUCUCAAAAAACUUUAUGAGGACCUCUGUAAUGAGUUGGGGCACCUUCACUUAUACUCACUAUUUUUCAAUAACCAUUUCCGCAUUUCCAAGCCUUUUUUUAAGAAUCGCAAAAAUUUUCUAAUUUUUCGUGUGUAUUUGCCCAUGGAUCUAGGGUCCUGAGCACCCACAAUCUGUUUCUCAAAAAACUUUAUCAGGACCUCCGUAAUGCAUUGGGGAAGCUUUAUGUAUAAUCACACCAUUUUUUUAAUCCGCAUUUAGAAGCCUUUUUUUAUAAAUCGCCUAAAUUUCCCGAUGUUUCGUCUGUAUAAUCCCAUGGAUCUGGCCCGAAGCACCCAAAAAAAUUUAUAAUGACCUCCAUAAUGAGUUGAGGAACCUUUACGUAUACAAACACAAAUUUUUAACGCCCAUUUCCGCAUUUACAAGGCUUUUCUAAAGAAUCGCCCAAAUUUCCCCAUUUUUCGUGUGUAUAAACCUAUAGAUCUGGCGCUCAGAGCACCCAAUUUUUUUUCUCUCAAAAAACUUUAACUGGAUCUCCGUAAUGAGUUGGGGAACAGUCACGUAUACUCACACUAUUUUUUUAAUGCCCAUUUCUGCUUUAACAUGCAUUUUUUUAAGAAUCGCCAAAAUUCACCGAAACACGCAAAAUUUAUUUCUCAAAUUUUUUUAUGAGAACCUCUGUAAUGAUUUGGAUAACAUUCACGUAUACUCACACUAUUUUUUUAACAUCCAUAUCCGCAUUUACAAACCCUUUGUUAAGAACCCCCCAAAUUCCCUUUCGUGUGUAUUAUCCCAACGAUCUAGCGCUUGGAGACCCAAAUAUUUUUUCUUAAAAAAUAUUAUGAGAACCUCCGUAAUGAGUUGGAGAACCUUCACGUAUACUCACACCAUUUUUUUAACGCUUUUAUCCGCAUUUACAAGCCCAUUUUUAAGAAUAACCCAAAUUCUCUUAUUUUUCGUGUUUAUUACCCCAUGAAUCUGACACCCGGAGCACUCAAAAAAAAUUCUCAAAAAAUUUUCAGAGGACCUCUGUAAUGAGUUGGAAACUUUCACUAUUCACACCAUUUUUUUAACACCCAUUUUCGCAUUUACAAGUCUGUUUUCUUAAGAAUCGCUCAAAUUCUACAAAAAAAUUUCAUAUGUAUUAGCCCAUGAUCUGGCGCCCGGAGCACCCAUAAUUUUUUUCUCAAAAAACUUUAUGAGGACCUCCGUAAUGAGUUGGGGAACCUUCCCUCACACCAUUUUUUGAACGUUCAUUUCCGCAUUUACAAGACUUUUUUUAAGAUUCACCCAAAUUUCGUUUUUUUAAUAUGUAUUAGCACAUGGAUUUGGCACCCGUAGCACCCAAAAAAAAUACUAAAAAACUUUUACGAGGACCUCUGUAAUGAGUUGGGAACAUUCACACAUGCUAACAUCAUUUUUUUAACUCUCAUUUCCACAUUUACAAAUCAUUUUUUAAAAAUCGCCCAAAUUUCCAUAUUUUUUUGAGUGUAUUAGCCCAUGGAUCUAACGCCUGGAGCACCCAAAUUUUUUUCUCUCAAAAAACUUUAUGUGGACCUCUGUAAUGAGUUGGGGAACCUCACGUAUACUCACAUCAAUUUUUUAACGCCCAUCGUCGCAUUUACAAGUCGUUUUUUAAGAAUCUCUAAAAUUUCCCAAUUUUUUGUGUGUAUUAUCCAUUGAUCGGGCUCCUGGAGAACCCAAAUUUUCUUUCUCAAAAAACUUUAAAAGAAACUCUGUAAUGAGUUGGGGAACCUUCGUAUACUCACACCAUUUUGUAACGCCCAUUUUCACAUUUACAAAACCUUUUUUAAGAAUCGCUCAAAUUUCCCGAUUUUCGUGUGUGUUAGCCCAUGUAUCUGGCCCCGGAGUACCAAAAAGAAAUUUUCUCAAGCAACUUUAUGAGUACCUUUGUAAUGAGUUGGGAAAUCUUCACGUAUAUUCAUACUAUUUUUAAACACCCAUUUCCGCAUUUACAAGCCUUUUUUAAAGAAUAACCCAAAUUCCCCAAUUUUUCGUGUGUAUUAGUUCAAGGAUCUGGCGCUCGGAGCACCCAAUUUUUUUUUCCUCAAAAAACAUUAUGAGGACCUCCGUAAUAAGUUGGGAACCUUCACGUAUACUCACGCAAUGUUUUUAACUCCCAUUUUCACAUUUAAAAGCCUUUUUUUAAGAAAUGUCCAAAUUUCUCGAUUUUUUAUGUGUAUUAGUCCAAUGAUCUAGCGCCAGGAACACCCAAAUUUUUUUCCCACAAAAACCAUUAUGUGGACCUCCAUAAUGAGUUGGGAACCUUCAUGUAUACUCACACCAUUUUGUAAACGCCCAUUUCGCUUUUACAAGCCCCUUUUUCAAAGAAUAACCCAAAUUUCCCAACUUUUCAUGUGUUUUAGCCCAUUAAUCUGGCGCCUGGAGUACCAAAAUUUUUUUCCUCAAAAAACAUUAUAAGGACAUUCGUAAUGAGUUGGACAACCUUCACGUAUACUCACAUAAUUUAUUAACGCUCAUUUUCACAUUUACAAGCCCUUUUUAAAGAAUCCCCGCAAUUUCCCAAUUUUUCGUGAGUCCUUAACUCAUGGAUCUGACGCUUGGAGCACCUAAAUUUUUAUUCUCAAAAAACUUUAUUAGGAUCUCCGUAAUGAGUUGGGGAACCUUCACGUAUACUCACACCAUUUUUUAACGCUCAUUUCCAAAUUUACAAGAUUUUUUUUAAGAAUCACCAAAUUCCACAAUUUUUCGUGUGUUUCCAUGGAUCUGGCACCCGAAGCACCUAAAAUUGUUUUCUCAAAAAACUUUACGAGGACCUCCGUAAUGAGUUGGGAAACCUUCACGUAUACUCACACCAUUUUUACGCUUAUUUCCGCAUUUACAAGCCCUUUUUUAAGAUCGUUAAAUUCGAUAAUUUUUGUAUGUAUUAUAGCCCAUGGAUCAGCCAUCGGAGCACUUGAAAUUUUUUAAUCAACAAAUUUUAUGAGAACCUUCGUAAUGAGUUGGCAAAUCUUCAGCUUUACUUACACUAUUUUUAAACUCCCAUUUCCAUAUUUACAAGUCCUUUUUUAAGAAUCACCCGAAUUUCUUGAUUUUUUGUAUGUAUUAGCCCAUGGAUCAGGCGCCCGGAGCACCCAAAUUUAUUUUCCCAAAAAACUUUAUGAGACCUCCGUAAUGAGAGAGAAAACGACAGAUUUUUAAGAGUCACCACUUAAUUUUUAAAGAAAAACUAAGAAAACUAUUUUUUCACAAGAUUAAAACAGAAAUCAAUUGAAAAUAUUUAAAGGGUUUGGUGUUCAUAUUAGCAUUUCGGGAAGGGUUUGAAAGCACUCGAAAUAUUAACUAACACGCGGUUAUUCGAUAAUUAACUAUUUGGCUAACAUUUAAAUAGAGAAAGUAAACAACUUUUGAACUCACUUUUUCUUUGGGGAAAGGGAAUAAGGAUGUUGUUUAAGUAGAAAAUACUAAAUGUUUUAAAGUCAAAAUAAAAUGAAAAUAAACUUAUUUGAUUUUAACAGUUAUGGUUAACUCAUCUUUUUGGGGAAUUGAAUUAAGGAAAAAAAUCUUAGAAUUAACUAGCAAAUAAACAAUUAAACAAAUACGAAAUACGGAUAAAAUAAAGAGCGAGAAGGCAUUGGGUCCAAGUCUGAUUUUCUGUUCGUCUGGACUAAUACUUGGGCCUACUUUGUUUUGGGCCUUUGGCCCACUUAAACCUGUCCUAAAACUAACAAAAAUCUGCCAAAGAUAAGUGUGGGCUUUUGGCCCAAUUCUCUGUCCUAAAACUAGCAGAGUAAUACUAAAAAUAUAUGGACCUUUGGCCCAAAUACAACACAAAUGCAAAACCAAAAUUUAAGAAGGGGUUUUGUCCCCUUUUUGCCACCAUAUACAGCGUAUACACUUAUUGUAUAUCAUUGUAUAUUCUUGAAUACCAUGUCAUUUUCUAAUUCCGAGUUCUACAAUUUCAAUUUUUUAGCCUUGUAUAUUGCCUUCCAUUCGAAAUUCGAAUGCUUGCUUUCCAAUUCUGGACUUGGUAAUGAAAAUGGUGACGCGGGAAUGACUUAGGGCUUAAGUGGCCCAAUCAAUGAUGCAAGAAAAGGAUCUGUCCCCAAAUGGAAUGGUCCACAGUUGCUCACAAUAAACAAAAGAAAGUAAAAUUAGUCAGCAAAAAAAGAAAACAUCUUAGAUUGUUAAGAAAUGAUUAGUUCUGCAAGUGAUUUUGCAUAGGAAACAAUUACUAGAAUAUAAUCAACUUUACAUAUAUUUUCAAACUAGGAGAAAAGAAAUUCAACAAGAUAUAUUCCAACUAGCACAUGCAUUUUAAAAGAAAAUAAAGAAAAGCUAAUUAAUUAUAUUGCUUCAAAACAUGCUAGAAAAGAAAGAAACUCUCAUGCUUGAGCAACAUCUAAUACGCCAAAACUAGGACAACAACAAACAUGCUUAAAAUACAUUUAAACUCCAUGUUAACCAGUUUAAGGUUCUGUCCCUUGCUGGAAGAUUAAUAAAUACUGAAUCGAAUGCUUAAAUCAAGGAAAAGACUUAAGGCAACGAAUUUAAUGAGAUCAAAGCAAUCGAUAAAUUUAAAGGAAGAGAAAGAACAAAUCUUUGAAUCAGGAUGCUUCAUACAACUGGAUUCAAUGGCAGACAAAGAACAGUUAAAUAACAAAGGGUUCACCAAAAACCAGUAAAACACAAAUAGAUGCUCCAACCUAAAACUUAGUUUGUUCACAACAAUGGUGUGAGGAAAGGGAGAAGGAAAUUUCUAAAAUAAAAAUAAAAGACGGAUAACAUCACAAACACCUUUAGCAUAUCAAAGGGGAGACAACAAAAGCAGAAUUUAAAUACAAUCACAGAUAAACACCAAUGCUAAAUAUAAGACGAUAAAGCUUGAAUCGACACUAAAGUUAACUCAUGGAAACGCCUACACACAUAUAAGUCACAUUAAAUCGAUCAGAACUCAAACAUAAAAUAGAAAAUCAGCCACCAAAAAGAGAUUUUCCAACAUCAAAGAUCUGAAUAACAGAAGAGACGAAGAAAAUGUUAUCGAACGAGAAGCGUUACCUUUUUGGGGGCAACGAACUAGGACGAGGAGCUUGAGACCACGAGCUUUCACACCGGAAUACGACUUCAAGAAACUCUGACACCCAAAGCGAGAAUUGAAAGAGAAAAGUGAGCCUCUUCGGCUGUAUUUCUAAACUAAGAUUUAGUUGCUUUCAAUAAAAGUUGUGUUUUGUAAUCCCUUUCCAAACUUUUCCACUUAUUUCUUUCUAUUCCUCUACCAGCCAAAAAACCAACCUAAAUAAUGAAGAAGAAAUAGGCUUAAAUAGAGGAGAUUUUUGGGUUGAUUAAGGGGGGAAACGGGUAGAAUUUCAGAGUGAAUUCGAAAUUUGAAAUUCCAAUUCUCUUUGGAUAAGGUUGCCAGCUUUAAUAGUACAACUCUUCAACAGAUUAAUGAUGGAGGUCGUUUGAUUCGUGGAACAAGGACGGAUGAAGCACAAUAUUGUUCUACCUGGAAGAUUCGAGUAUGAAAGGAUAAGGAGAGAGAGGGAAGACGACACGAUUGGACUCGGGUCACUGGAUUUCUCGAUGGAUUGUUGGACUGCUGCUCGCAAUUUGCAGAUGGGUCACGAGUUUCUGGGUUUCGAUUUUGGUUUGGGUUUUCUGGGUUCGCGAGUUGGGUCGCGUUUCUAAGUGAAAGAAGAAGAAGAAGAAGAAGAAGAAGAAGAAGAAGAAGAAGAAGAAGAAGAAGAAGAAGAAGAAGAAGAAGAAGAAGAAGAAGAAGAAGAAGAAGAAGAAGAAGAAGAAGAAGAAGAAGAAGAAGAAGAAGAAGAAGAAGAAGAAGAAGAAGAAGAAGAAGAAGAAGAAGAAGAAGAAGAAGAAGAAGAAGAAGAAGAAGAAGAAGAAGAAGAAGAAGAAGAAGAAGAAGAAGAAGAAGAAGAAGAAGAAGAAGAAGAAGAAGAAGAAGAAGAAGAAGAAGAAGAAGAAGAAGAAGAAGAAGAAGAAGAAGAAGAAGAAGAAGAAGAAGAAGAAGAAGAAGAAGAAGAAGAAGAAGAAGAAGAAGAAGAAGAAGAAGAAGAAGAAGAAGAAGAAGAAGAAGAAGAAGAAGAAGAAGAAGAAGAAGAAGAAGAAGAAGAAGAAGAAGAAGAAGAAGAAGAAGAAGAAGAAGAAGAAGAACGUACAGGAUUGGGGUAGCUGCUGAUUGUAUUGUAUGUUGUAUUGUUGUAGGCUGGGAAAUUUGGAAAUUGCAUUGGAAUAGGCUGCAGGGAAUGGGUUGGCUGAGUUGAAUUGGGCCACUGAGAAAUCAGAAUUGGGCUGGGAUUUAAGGUAAUGGCCAAUUGUAUUAAAAAGUAGCCAAUUUUGAAUUCAAGUAACAAAAAUUAAAAUCUUUUUGAGAGGAUUUUCAAAAUGUUUAUAAAAUAUGCUAAUUAUAUACAAAAUUAUACAAAACAUAUCUAUUACUUAAAAUUAUAAAAAUGAUAAAAUUAAUUAAAAGUAACUUGAAAAAUAUUUGGACCUUUCUAAACACUAAUUAUUUCAAAACGUUUGGAAUUUAAGAAACUCGAUCAUUAAUAUAUAUUGUGGAGGUCCAAAAUUGGGUGUCAACACCCCCAGUUCCCCGAUUUUUCAUGUGUCUUAGCUCAUGGAUCUGGCACUUGGAGCACCUAAAUUUUCUUUCUCAAAAAACUUUAAGAGGACCUCCGUAAUGAGUUGGAAAACCUUCACGUAUACUCACACUAUUUUUUUAAAGCUCAUUUUCACAUUUACAAGAUUUUUUAAGAAUCACCCGAAUUCCGCAAUUUUUCGUGUGUUACCAUGGAUCUGGCACCCGGAGCACCUUAAAUUGUUUUCCCAAAAAAAUAAUUAAGAUGACCUCCGUAAUGAGUUGGGAAACCUUCACGUAUACUCACACCAUUUUUUUACGCUCAUUUCCGCAUUUACAAGCUCUUUUUUAAGAUCGCCAAAUUCUCUAAUUUUUGUGUGUAUUAGCCCAUGGAUCAGGCCUCUGGAGCGCCCAAUUUUUUUUUAUCAACAAACUUUAUGAGGACCUUCAUAAUGAGUUGGCAAACCUUCAUCUUUACUCACACUGUUUUUAAACGCUCAUUUCCAUAUAUACAAGCCUUUUUUAAAGAAUUGCCCGAAUUUCCCGAUUUUUCGUGUGUAUGAGACCAUGGAUCAGGCGCCCGAAGCACCAAAAAUUUUUUUUUCUCAAAAAACUUUAUGAGGACCUCCGUAAUGAGUUGGGGAUAUUCAUGUAUACUCAUACUGUUUUUUUAACGCCCAUUUCCGCAUUUGCAAGCCAUUUUUUCAAGAAUCACCCAAAUUACCCGAUUGUUCGUGUGUAUUAGCCCAUUGAUUUGGCUCCCGGAGAACCCAAAAAUUAUUUCUCAAAAAAUAUUAUGAGGACCUCCGUAUUGAGUUGGGGAACCUUCAACUCACACCAUUUUUUCAACGUCCAUUUCCGCAUUUACAAGACUUUUUUUAAGAAUCAUCCGAAUUACCCAAUUUCUCGUGUGUAUUAUCCCAUGGAUAUGUCGUUCGGAGCACCCAAUUUUUUUCCAUAAAGCUUUAUGAGGACCUCCGUAAUGAGUUGUGGAAUCCUUCAUAUAAACUCACACCAUUCUCCCAAAUUCUCCAAUUUUUUAUGUGUUUUAGCAGCUCAUGGAUCAGGCGCCCGGAGCACCCAAAAAUAUUUUCUCAAAAAAACUUCAUGAGGACCUCCGUAUUAAGUUGGGGAAUCUUCACGUAUACUCAUACUUUUUUCAAUGACAUUUUCGUAUUUACAAGCCUUUUUUUAAGAAUCGCCCAAAUUUCCCAAUUUUUGUGUGUGUAUGGAUUUGACGCCCGGAGAACCCAAAAAAAAUUCUCAAUAAACUUUAUGAGGACCUCCGUAAUGAGUUGGGGAACCUUCACGUAUACUCACACCAUUUUUUAACGCCCAUUUCCACCUUUACAAACCCUUUUUUAAGAAUUCUCCGAUUUUUCGUGUGUAUUAGCCCAUGGAUCUGGCGUCCGGAGCACCAAAAUUUUUUUCCUCAUAAAACUUUAUGAGGACCUCUGUAAUGAGUUGGAAAACAUACACGUAUACUCACACCAUUUUUUAACGUCCAUUUCCGCUUUACAAGCCUUUUUUUAAGAAUCUCCCAAAUUCCCUAUUUUUUCGUGUGUAUUAGCCUGUGGAUCUGGCACCUCGAAGCACCCCAAAAAUAUUUUCAUAAAAAAUUUAUGAGAACCUCCGUAAUGUGUAGAAGAACCACCACGGAUACUCACACCAUUUUGAAUGUCUAUUUUCGGAUUUACAAGACCUUUGUUUAGGAAUUAUGCAAAUUUCUUCGAUUUUUCGUGUAAAUUAGCCCAUGGUUCAAGCGCUCGGAGCACCCAAAAAACUUUUUUGCAUAAAAAUUAUGAGGACCUCUUAAUGAGUUGGGAAACCAUCACGUAUAUUCACACUAUUUUUAACGCUAUUCAUUAUUUAAAGGUUUUUUUUUAGGAAUUACGCAAAUUUUUAGUGUGUAUUAUCCUAUGGAACUAGCGCUUCGGAGCACCUAAAUUUUUUUUCUGAGAAAAACUGUAUGAGCACCUCUGUAAUGAGUUGGGGAAACACCACGUAUACUCACACAAUUUUUAAGGUCUACUUUCGCAUUUACAGAUCCGUUUUUUAGGAAUCACACAAACUCCUUGAUAUUUCGUAUGUAUUAGCCAAUAGGUCUGGCACCUCGGAGCACCCAUAUUUUUUUCUGAAUUUUUUUUAUCAGGAUUUUUUUAAUGGGUUGGGUAACCACCAUGUAUACUCACAUCAUUUUUUUAUUGCCUAUUUCCACAUUUACAUUUCCUUUUUUAGGAAUUACGCAAAUACCUCAAUUUUUCAUGUUUAUUAGCCCAUGGAUUUGGCACAUUAGAGCUCCAAAAUAUUUGUCUGAAAAAACUUUAUGAGGACCUCCGUAAUGAGUUGGAGCACCACCACGUAUACUCACACCAUUUUUUGACGCCUAUUUCCGCAUUUACAUACCCCUUAUUAGGAGUUACGCAAAUUUCUCAAUUAUUCAUGUGUAUUAGCCAAUGGAUUUCGCGCCUCGGAGCAACCAAUUUUUUUUUUCUGAAAUAACUUUAUUAGGACCUCCGUAAUGAGUUGGGGAACCACCACGUAUACUCACAUAAUUUUUUAACAUUAGUUUUGCAUUUACAGGCCAUUUUUUGGGAAUAACGCAAAUUACUCGAUUUUUCGUAUGUAUUAGCCAUGGAUCUGGCGCCUCAGAGCACUCAAAAUAUUUUUCUGAAAAAACUUUAUGAGGACUUCUGUAUUGAGUUGGGGAACCACCACGUAUACUCACACCAUUUUAUUAACGCCCAUUUUCGCAUUUACAAGCCCCUUUUAGAAACUACACAAAUUCCUCGAUUGUUCGUGUGCAUUAGCCCAGGGAUCUAGCGCCUCGAAGCACCCAAACAUUUUUUCUGAAAAAACUUUAUGAGGACCUCUGUAAUGAGUUGGGGAACCACCACGUAUACUCACACCAUUUUUUUAAUGUCUAUUUCCUUGUUUACAUGCCCUUUUUUUAGGAAUUACGCAAAUUCCUCAAUUUUCGUGUGUAUUAGGUCAAGGAUCUGGCGCCUCAGAGCACCAAAAAAAAUUAUAUUUUUUUUUAUAAGGACCUUCGUAAUGAGUUGGGGAACCACCACGUAGAUUCAUACCAUUUUUAACGCCUAUUUCCGCAUUUAGAGACCUUAUUUUAGGAAUUAUGCAAAUUUCUCAAUCGCUUUUUUGUGUGUAUGAACAAAUGGAUCUAGCGCUUUGGAGCACCCAUUUUUUUUUUUGAAAAAACUUUAUGAGGAUUCGUAAUGAGUUGGGGAACCACCAAGUAUACUCACACCAUUUUUAGCACCUAUUUCCAAAUUUACAUGACCUUUUUUAGGAAUUACGCAAUUUCUUGAUUUUUCAUGCGUAUUAGCCCAUAGAUAUGGCGCCUUGGAGCACUCAAUUUUUUUUCUGAAACAUCUCUGUGAGGACCUCCGUAAUGAGUUAGGUAACCACCACGUAUACUCAUACCAUUUUUUUAACGCCUAUUUCUGCAUUGACAGGCCCUGUUUUAGAAAUUACGCCCAUGAAUAUUUUGGUGAUAUGACUUUCGGACGAAAUUUUUGCGAAAUCCUUAUGGAACCCUUCAUAGGGAGUUGAGGGAGCACUACGUACAAUCCUACCGUUUUUAGAGUGAUUUAUGGGCAUUAAGGAGUCAAUUUACAGUAAUUAGGCGAUUUUCUCAGUUUUUUGUGUGUGUUAGCCGAUGAAUAUUUUGGUGAUAUGACUUAAAGAUGAAUUUGUUACAAAACCUUUAUGGAAUCCUCCGUAAGGUGUUGGGGGAGCAUUACGUACAAUCUCACCAUUUUUAGGGUGAACUUUGGGCAUUUAGAGACCAAUUUACAGGAAUCAUGCAAUUUUCUCAAUUUUUUGUAUGUGUUAUCCCAUUAAUAAUUUGGUGAUAUGACUUCUGAACGAGUUUUUGUGAACCUUUAUGGUACCCUCCCUAGGGAGUUAGUGGAGCAGUACGUACAAUCUCACCAUUUUUAGAAUGAUAUGGAGGAGAAAUAACUCCUACUAGCCCAAAAUAUGUCUGAAAAAUGACAAGACUUCACGUAUUUCUCUCUCAACUCUCUACAGAGGAUUCCGUAAAGGAUUUGCACAAAAAUCGACCGUCAAUCACAUAACCAAAAUAUUCAUGAACUAACUAUGCCAAUAUAAACCCAAUAGCAUAGAUAGAAUUUGGAAAGAUAAUUAUGUUGGGAUAUUUUCUUCCUGUGGUGCUCGCUGCAGCGUACAAUGAUGAGCUAUAUAUGUCUCCAUCUUUUUAUUCUAUUUUUCAUUUAUUUAAAAUGAUCGUUCGAUAGGUGAGAUAAGAUAUGAUAUAUGUUAAUUAUACUAAAAGAUAAAAUUUAUCUCAUAAAUUGAGAUAUUUUAUGAGAUAAAUAAUUAUAUUACUAUAUAAAAAAAUAAUUUAUUUCACUAUUAUAAAAUAUAUAAUUUCAGAACUAACUAAUACUCCUAAUUAUUUAUUCUGUAUUUUAUCUCAAUAUUGUUAUUUUUUUUCUUUAAAUCCCUUUUAAGUUUUUCCUCUUCAAUUAUUAGGGAGCACGUUUAAAUGGCUUGUAAAACAUUGUUGUAAUUGGUUGGUAGAGUCGGCAAGGAGACAACUAAGCAAAUGGAGAAAGCAACGAUAAAUGUGGGGAAAAUUAAAAAAACGUUUUUAGUUCCAUUUUAAGUAACACAUUUAAUUUGAUACAAUAUUUAAAAAGGAAUAAGACGCGAGUAUUUCCUCUAGACUAUGAUCGAAAUCUCAGAACACAUUUAACUAAACUAAGAUCCUAUUACCCCAUGAACCUAAUUUUUUUUGUAAUUUUAUACAUUUUUUGAUUUACUUGACAUCCAAAUAUCUCCCACAUGCCUCAACUACGUAGGGUCACGGAGCAUGCCAUGUAAUAAAUCAAUGGUUUUGUUCAAUAAAAUUGGAUUUUAAAUAUGCUUUUAUUUGAAAUUUAUUCUUCAAUUCUACCUUCUUGAAUAAUCGAUUUCUACUAAUACAACUAAGAAUCAUUUGGUAAUUGAUAAGAACUUUACAAAUAUUAGUAUAAUGGAGAUAUUAGUUAUUAACUAUUCGACACAUAAAAUAAAUACACCAAUAUUUUCAUAACUUAUACGUACAUUAUUCUACAAGUUGUAAAAUUACAAAUCAAACGACAUAUUAAGUCGGACUCCUAACUUUUCUCUGCGCGCGCAUAUAUAUAUAUAUAAACACCCAUUUUUACCACAACUCUUCAUUCACAUUAAAGCUAGAAAUGGCAGAAGAAAUGAUGAACAACAAACAGAUCAUUCUAAAACAUUAUGUGGAAGGUUAUCCUAAGGAAUCUGAUAUGGAAUUUAAGAAUAGUAUCAUUAAAUUGAAUGUUCAAGAAGGUUCUAAUGAUUGUUAUUUUGAAGAAUCUUUACUUGUCUUGUGACCCUUACGUGCUUAACCGUAUGAGCAAACUUGAGGGUAGCUAUAUUCAAUCCUUCACUACUGGUUAUGUAAGUAUUUCAAUAAUUUACUACCACACAUAUGAUUAUUUAGUUGGUAUAUAUUAUACGUUCAAAUUUCGAGAGUCAAAAAAUAUAUUUAAUGUGUUUUUAUAAGUGAGUGUUUGAAUUAACUUAUUUUAAACAGUUUUUGGCUUUUAAUCUUCUUUUUAAACUUUUUGAAGGUGUUUGAUAAAAAACACCUUUUUAAGGCUGAGAAAAUACAAAAAUAAGUUAAAAGUAUGGAUAUUCUCAACUCGUGACUUUUAAGUUUUUGCUUAUAAGCUACUUAAAACAAAGUCAAUCUAAACAGCCCGUGAUCGUGGAUACAUAUUUAGUGCCAAUUGAGCUAUUACCGUUAAUUAAUUGCCACUAAAAGAUCGUUUUUGAUGUAGUGAUGGUUGGUUGGGGAAUAGACUGGUAAUCUGCUUAUAUGGACUCGGACAAUAAUCUUCUGCUCUUGCAGGGAUGCCUGGGGUGACAGCUUAUGCUGGAUUUUAUGAGGUUUGCUCCCCUAAGAAGGGAGAAACUGUGUUUGUUUCAGUUGCUUCUGGAGCAGUUGGUCAACUUGUUGGACAAUUUGCAAAGAUGUUAGGUUGUUAUGUUGUUGGUAGUGCUGGAAAUAAACAAAAGGUAAGUACUUAAACAUUUCAUUCUUGAAUUUUAUUAGUGGCUUAUAAGUUAUCUUACUUAUCUUAAUCAUUGUUAAAUAAUCUAGCUAUCUCAUCUAUUCAUUAUUAUUAUUAAAGGUUGAUAUGUUGAAGACCAAGUUUGGUUUUGAUGAAGCUUUUAACUAUAAAGAGGAGCAGGAUUUAGAUGAUAUGUUGAUAUGUUGAACACUAACUAAUAUGGCAAAAGGAUGGGGACUAAGGACGAAUUUGAAUCAUUUUUAUAACAUUAAGGACAUAUAUGCGCCGAUAGUACUAUAACAUUAAGUGGUCGUUUGGUAGCUGGCUAGAGUUAUGGAUGUAUUACUAAUACAUGAAUUAGUUACGAGACCCUCUUAAUGAAAAUCUUGUUUUUACUUCUUCAUAUUCUUUAAUGAAAAUCUUGGCUCCAUCACUAAUGUACUGAUAGUAUAACAGAGCAUUAUUAAACCUUUUUCAAUAGUAAAGAGGUAAAAGAAGAUGACUUUGAGGCGUGAGGAUUCAUUUUCCUUAAAGAGAUAUUGCAUGUGUAUGUAAUAGUCAUGUUCUUUCAUGAAUAGAUAUGUCUGUUGAGUUUAAGACCUACGAUAUAACUAACAAAUAUGACCUUCUUUUGUAUCGGUUUAUUCCUAUUAUAGGUACUUUUCUGAUGGAAUUGACAUUUACUUUGAUAAUGUGUGUGUGUUGGGGGGGGGGGUGCUUGACCCCUACCAUGUCUAUAACAUCCAAAAAGUUAACAAAAGCAGAGGGGGACAUGGACCUAACCUCUUGAUAGUGAACAACGAGGAUAAACUAAACAAUCUACAAAAAGACCCUUAUGACAUAGACUUUCAUACUAUAAGAAAAAUACACUGGUUCAAUUAACAAAAAAAUUACAUUUGUCGUAUCUUCUCCUUAUGCUAAAGUUGCCACUUAUCUAGUAGAAAUAGUCCCUUCACCUCAGAAGAAUUGUGUGUGGUGGAUUGAACAUUAAGGGCAUAUAUGAAAAGAUAGCUAAUAUAACGCUAAAGGUAUAUAUGAACUGAUAAUAUAACGGAAAAGCAAUACUAGACCUUUAAUUUUCAAUAAUAUAGGAGUAAAUAUGACCUUUUUUCGUAUUGGUUUAUUCUAUUAGGUACUUCCCUGAUGGAAUUGACAUUCACUUUGAGAAUGUUGGAGGUAAAAUGCUUGAUGCAGUUCUUGUGAAUAUGAAACUUCAUGGUCGUAUUGCUGUGUGUGGAAUGAUUUGUUUUGCCUCAUUGCGAAACGAAUCCCUAUGGAAGGAUUUCUUGUUUUUGAUUACUAUCAUCUAUAUCCUAAGUAUUUGGAAAUGAUCAUUCCAGAAAUAAAGGCUGGUAACAUUGUGUAUGUGGAAGACAUAGCUGAAGGUUUUGAAAGUGCUCCUAGUGCUCUAGUUGGUCUCUUCUCUGGUCUCAAUGUUGGAAAGCAAGUUGUGAUGAUUUCAUGUGAAUGAAUGGAUUUGGAUCUUUUCCAUUUUCUCUCAAGUUUUUACUUGAAAGGAAAGAUAUUGUGUCAUGGUUAAAAUACUUAAAUACGCAAACAUUUCUAUCAUGUAUUUACUAAUUCUCUGUAUGGUUUGAAAUAAUUAGUCAUUAAUUGAUAAUUUCAUACUAGAUUUCAAGUCAGAUAUACCUUGGUACAUGUAUUUUUUGUACUAGAUAUGCAGAUACAUAGGAAGAGAGGGAGCGAGAGGAGAAGGAGAGAUGAGAGAGGUGAGAGGCGAGUG
RNAcentral lists this long non-coding RNA (120701 nucleotides) under Solanum tuberosum (potato). RNAcentral's name for it is "long non-coding RNA (STUB_LNC011099)". The record is from RNAcentral. Lineage: Eukaryota; Viridiplantae; Streptophyta; Magnoliopsida; Solanales; Solanaceae.